AAAGAGGAGAUUCAUAUACCCGAGGAGGUAGUCGAUCCUUGGCUUCCCAGUACACCUUUGCUGCUUUUUCUAGUUCUUUCAAAACUUUCCAGUUAUCGCUUGCCCUGAAAUCAGUGACAGAUUUGGAUUACAUCUAGGCAAGUAUAGAUUAAAUGCACUACAUCAUGUUUUACAGAUUCCUUCUUUUCAAGAACUUUUACAGACCUGUUGUAUCUUUCGAAAACGAGAACAAUUAGUGGACUAGGAUGGAAAGCAAAGCUCUCCCACUCAAGACAAUUGAUCUCCUUCACUAAACCAUCAUCGAUCUCUCCCUCCCAGUCAAUUUCAGUACCAUCUUCGCCUACGACAUUUUUUAUAGGAUGUUGCUCGAAAUACUCUGAUGCUCUGAUCCCCCACCCAACGUCAGCAUCCAGAGGCCAAUUGGGAUUCUCCUCCUCUACCAUCAUCUCAUUUCCUCUUGAAUCAUCACCUUUCUCUUCAUCCCUGUCAUCAUCAUCUUCAUCACUGUUGCUAUUGGAAUCAACACCAUCAUCAACUUUAUCUUUCAUUACUUUAUCUUUCAGAAUAUCCGAAUUCUGCUGCCGGAUUGAUUCGAAAGUCCGUUCAAGCGAAUCACGCACAAAAUCCUCAACUGCAGCUGCUUCACUCCGACGACCACGCUUGGGCUUCUUAGAGAUCACUGUAGGGAACUUCCUUCCAGAAUUUUUAUCCUCCUCUCGAGGAACUUCAGUUUUCUCCUGCCGAGCUCUUCCUUUUGGCUUCAAACUAGGACUCUGACUACGAUUCUUGUCGGGUUUUGCAUCAGAAUUCUUUGAACUGGAAAUGCAUACAAAUCGUUUUCCAGUGUAUUUGGAUUUCACAGUCGAUGGAAACAAGAGGAAAUUCGAAUGGCAACAAGAAUUUGUUGUUUCAUGGAGAGACAAUACUGACAAAGAAUGAACACCAGAAUUAUUAUGUAACGCCGAAAGGAACAUCUUUUUAUUCCUCACUUGGAACAAUUCAACCUGUGAUCUUCCUCAGAACACCAAAACUCUCUGGUCAAAUCUCAUGACAGAAAGACAGAACCUGUUGAAGUCGUCAGUAACUUUCCUUCUUUCUUCCGUCCAAGAGGCUGACAUAAGGACAGGGGAACACGUAAAUCAUUGAAAUUCGGAGCAAUUACAUGGACAACUUUCACUAAACAGACAUUAAGAAUAUAGCUGUAGGAAUUGUACGAAAAUGAAGCAAAAACUACAGGGCCAGACUAAUAUCAUUACGCCAAACAUUUCACUUAAUUAACAACAAGCAAGAAAGGAAAAAACAUCAAUAAUAUGAAAAAAGGAAAUCUAAGACAUCAGUUAAUGGAACCCACUUUAAGUACGUUUUUAAAUUCAAGAUUUACUUGUUAACGUUAACGAGAAAUUAAACAGUUCUUAAUCAGACAAAAAAUCAAACACCUGGCAUGCAACUAACAACGGAAUCAUAAAUGACAAAUCCUAACAUGGGAAAUUCAAGAUAAUCAAACUUCUCUUCGCAUGUAUACGUGGGUGCAUACAUUCCAUUUACACAGAGAUACAUACGGGGCGAGAGAGAGAGAGACACUUUUAGAAGUCAAAGCGCACAAAUAAUUUUUGAGUUUAUAAAACCCUUAAAUCACCAAAAUAGGGGCUUUCUAAAAGUACCUUAAAAGGUUCUAUUUCCACAAAUAUAGAAAGAAAUGGCAUUUUAGGAUCUUUUCUAUAUUAUAUGGAUUUCUUUUCUUUUUUUUCUCAAUUUUUCGUCCCAGAUUUAUGGGGACAAAAUUGUCCAAGUACUCAUCAAUUUACGAAUAUUAUUUUUAAAACUUGAUUUUUUUGAACUCGUACUCUUACUUAGUUAUUUGAAGUCUAACAAGACGAGUGUACAUAAUGAAGGCACGUUUCAUUGACAGAUUAUCGUAACUUCAUAUGUGUUACAAAAUGAAAUUGUAAUUAUUAAAAAAAUUAUUAGUUAAAUAGAAGAAGAAAAAAUCCCAUUAAUUAUCGAUGUUGAUUUGUUUCUAUUUUUAAUUUUUACAAAUACUAGUGCAAUUUAAUUAAAGUACUUCCAAACACCCUGAUAGAAAUGCAAGAUGAAAUUACAGUUCUACCCUUAUUAUUAACAAAAGGAAACACUUUGAGUUAGGAGUCAACUGCCAUUAAAUCAAAUGUCACACUAUUUUACGCCAAAUUUUGAUCCAUUCACAUUAGGGACUUUAGGGACCUGGCUUUAAUGGGCUUUCGGGCCCUCUUCCUCCUACUCUCGCUCUCGCUAUUCUCCUCGUCUUCCUCAUCCUCGAUAUCAGAUUCUUCAAUGUCAAUUUGAGAUGAUGAUGAUUGUGCCAUUUCAUGUUGUUGAUCGAUAUUUUUAGACACGUCUCGACUACCGCUAAUCUGAUUUUUCUCGCCUCUUUUUUUGCCCCAACGCGGUCCAAAACCCGAGUAAUAGUAGAAUUCGUGCGGAUUAGAUGACGAACCCACCUUCCUGGCCCGGGGACGCCUAUGAGAGUCAGCCGCCACCUUAUCGACUUUCUUGGCCACCGGUGGAGCCCAAUUAUUGUAGUUCCUUACGAGAGAUAAAUGGUGCUUGCAUAAGGAAUUCCCUUCAGCGGCCUCCCUCUUGCAUUUCCAGCCCUUCCCAUCAGUUUUGCAGCAAAAUAUAAUCUCCCUGUCUUUCUUUGGGACCCCUUCCUCCGCAUUGCCGAUGACGGAGCCGCCCACGAUGACACUGUCUGAAUAUUCCAUUUUCAUAGCCUCGAUCUCCCCAUCAUCCAGAGCCAUUUUCAUCGACACGGCACUGUUAAUAAAGAUCCAGUGGACAACAUUACUGUUCAGCUCAAAUUUCGAAAAAUCAAACUACAAAUAGAAAAAUUCACAAAUGCUGAUUUAUUGCAGAACCCUAAAUGCUUCAACAUCAAUAAAGAGCUGGAGAUUUUGUAAAACAGCCCAAAUUAAACAUAGAAUAGAAAGAUUACCUAUCAAAAGUUGCAAUAGAUUCUCCGAAGCUCCCAUUUCUCGCGAAAUCAUCAUUUUCAUUGACCUGCAGAGAAAUUAUUCUCUGUCGAAAAAAUGGAGCCAGCCAAGCUAUAAUAAACCAAAACAGUGAAAACCCACAAAAGAUUUCAAAUUCCCAAGCCCGAAUAAACAACAAAAACUCUUUGAUUCACAUUUUUUAAUCAACCCUAAUGGUGGGUUUUUAGAAAACCCUAGAAGAAAAAAGAAUAACAGCAAAAAUGGAGGGACAUUUGACAAGAAUCAGAAAUGGGUUUAACAGAUCUGUGCAUAGAAACAAAGUCGAGUCAUUAUAGACUAAAUUAAACUAACCUGGAACGACGGAGGAGGCAGUGGUGGCGAAGGAGUUGAUGGUGGCGAAAAACUCAUAACAUCCCAAGGGGACUGAUUCAACUGGCAAACAUGGGUUUGAAGCACGGUUCCAGGUUUCAAUGAAGAUGCUGCAUAUGUCAAUGAACAAAUUUUGGCGUGCUUCCGUAUUCUCAUGGCGGUUCUGUGGUUUUUUGGGGGAGUUUUUUAGUGGGUAGUCGGGGCAGAAACGCAAAAGAGUAGAGAAGCUUUGUUGGGGGUCCGGGGGUGUGUGUUAGGGGGGUAUAUAAAAGGUUGGGGUGCGUGGGGUUGGCAUGGGUGCCGUUUGCCACGAUGAAAGUAGAUCCAAAAAGGCUUUUUCUUUUUCUUAAAUUUUUUUCUUUCUGUAUGUGCACAGUUCAUUAGUUGUUUUCUGUUUGUUUGGUCAAAAGAAAAAAAAUAUAUAUAUGUAAAUAAGAAAUUAUAAAUAGGUGUGUGACAAAGAAUCUUGUACCAUUUUGGCCCACCAUAACCCUACCAUGAAAGAAAAUAUUUACUAGAAUACAUAAAUUCGUAGACGUUCGAAAACUAUUCAUCUAUGGUGUCGAUAACUUUCAAUACGUUAGGGGAGAUAUCGGUGUUAUAUCUAACUUACUUUGAUAAUCGCGGGUGUGGAUUCGAUUUUUGCUAGACAUUCAAAAGAAACUUUAUUUGAAUUCGAUCUUCAAUAAUUGAAUGGAUACUUUUUAUAACCAAUCAAGACAAAUGACACUACAAAAGAGAAAACACCUUUUUUUGUAAUAUUUACUAAUAAAAAUAUUAACAUGAGUAGAAACUAAGAGAUGUACGAAAACAUUAUUAACAACUACUAUCUUAACACACAGUUGUUACCAUGAGAUAAUAAAGAAUAUGUACGUAAAUCGAAAUUAACUUUGCAUUAUGAAUGUCAUCAUCGGCAUGGUUCUGUUUUGUCUAUUCUUCUAAGAAUGUGUACGCAUGAGAGCAAGUUCAGUACACUCUAAAUACGUAGAAUAAUGUCACUCGACCCUCACAGAUGACACCCCCGAUGACUGCGCCCUUACAUGGAAUGCGUGGGUCCCGUGCGAAUAAAAUAAUCCGGACCCCCCAUAUGUUUGUGCGUGCGAUCAUCCACGUGGAUCGUGUAGCACAGUUGUGAGACGUGUAUAUAUCGAUGUUGUAAAAAUAAUAAUAAUAAUGAUAAUGAUGAUAAUAAUAAUAAUAAUAAUAAUAAUAAUAAUAAUAAUAAUAAUAAUAAAAUUUAAUUUACAGAAAAAUACCUACAUAUAGCUAUAAGCCUAUAAGUGACAAAGAAAAAUCUAACGGUAAAAAGGACUUUUCUAACAUGUUUAGUAGGCUCCAAUCUUCGUUGCUAUUUAGCCCAUGUUUGAGCGACAUUCUAGGAAAAAAAUGUAUUAUUCACGUCAAAUUAAUGAAAAAUAUAUUGUUAAAAAAUAAGAAAUUUUUUUUAGAUUUACAUGUAAUAUUAUUUUAUUGAAGAAUGUGUUGUUGAAAUGAUAUCAAAUCACUGUUGAAAAACAUAUUUUUUUGAAAAUAAUGUGGCUCAAAUAAGGUAGAAUACCUUAUUGGCGGUUGUUGCAUUAAAGUUCAAAUGUCAUUAUAAAUAACUUGUAGUUUCUGCAGAGAAAAUUGAUCAAACGGGCCCUCAAAAUUCUUAAACGAGAUGUCAUGAUAUAAGAAUUUAGGUAAAUUACUAUUUCAUCGCUUACCUUUUAGCAAAGGAGCGAAUUUGCUUUAGAACUUCUAUUUUUUUUUUUUUUUUUUUCCUGUUUUUUUUCCUUAACCUUUUUAAAAAUUUGUAAUUUUUUCCCUACAGGUGUAUCCAUCCAAAAAUCUAUCAAAUUUGUGUAACAUGAAGAUCACACUUUAACAUAAAUAAAUAAAUAAAUAAAUAAAGAAAAAAAAACUUAACAAAAAGAAUUUAAUAAAAAUAAACACGAAAAAAUAAAAAGGAAACGAAAGAGAGAGAAAAAAAAAUUUCUUUCUUCUCUCCUUAAGGGCGUUAAUAGAGUGAGUCAAGCUGUUAAACUGAUCCAUGGGACGAGCCGAGCACCAGUGGUGGGGGGCAAGUGGCUUGCCUAUUUUAUUCUACUAAAAUUGUAUAUUUCAUUCACUAUGUCAAAUGGGCUGUGACCUAACUCGUACAACUCACUCCAUCUAACAUCCAUACUCCAAGCACCUUAACCUAACCUCAAGGUUGUACCAUCUAACUAUGGGAAAACUCUCUCAAUUUAUGCAAGUGGUGGAAAAAUCAAGGAAAAAGCCAAUGGAAUUUGCUUCUGUUUUAUCGCCAUUGUCAGUAGCGGCUAUAACUAAGGGAAAGACCCAGUCGUAUACACAUGCCAUCGACCGUUGGAAAUGGUUUAUUAUUAGUGAAGUUGGUUAAUUUUGAGCCCCAAAUUUAGUGGGACUCGUAUUUCAAUUUUAACGGAACCAAGCAUAUUCAAGUUCUGCUCUGUGAGAUGAUUAACGUGAUAUAUUUAUUUAAUGAAAAUCAUUUAGAAUUUAAUGAUAUAUUUGAUGUUAAAGUAACUCACUUAAAACUAUAUACUAGUAAAAAUUUUGAUUUAUUAAAAAUUGCUAAACAUUUAUCUCCCAUAAGAAAGUUAAGAAACUUUGAUGUGGUUAUAAUGGAAGUUUGAAAAUUAGAUUUGGGCUCCAAAGGGUACCAAUAAUCUUUGAAAGGGAGAGACCUAUAUCCUAUUAGGUUCCGUGCCCAUGUUCUAGUCCGGUUUGACUUGUGUUCGGGUGCAAGGUGCGAGUACGGUUGGAUCCUUGUACUAUAUUAAUAUUUUUGACAAAUUUAUUUAAAUUUUUUGGGCCAUUUUAUAAUUAAUCAAAUUCUUGAGUAGUUAAUGAAAUUAAUUUUGAUUAGCUUAUUUUCGGGUAAUAGUUUGGUUUGGAUUGUCUAUUUACCAACGUAACAGACUUCCGUUAACCGUUUUAACAGAUGCAAUACGGAAUAGUGCUAUCAUUCGAGUUUGAAGGUUGUCUAAACAGUAAUGAUUAUUCUGAAAAUACUUGAAGGAUGUUUGAAUGGCUAAGAAUGAGUCUAUAAAUAGCAUGCACUACUAUUAGAAUAAUUAUAUCAUUUUCAUCGUAAACUUUUUCUACUCUGAAUCUCAUUUUCUCUCUCAUUCUAAUAUUGUUCUCUAAGUGAAAGCACUUCAUUGAAUUCAUUCGAACUCUUGCAGAUUGAUGUGUUGCUUCCGUGGGAGACGAAAUUCGUUAUAUCCUAGAAAACGAUUGUUGCACACUUUUAGUAUAUUUGAAGACACCAAAUUCGUUUUAAGAAAAUAUCGGGAAGUGGAUGGGCUCAAAUUAACAUUCUGAUCAUGUUGAUCAUCUUAUUACAUUGUUUAAAUUACAAUACGAUAAUUUUGACAGUGUAUUAUUUUCAAAUUAUUUGAAAGAGAAUCUUAUACUCCAAGAAUAACAUCAUCGGCAUGGCAAAAACCAUAGGAAAAACCCUCUGUUACAUUGGUAAGGUUUAAGUGGAUGAAAUUUUUUAGGUUUGCCUUUCUAGUUUUUAUUUAUUUAUUUAUUUAUUAUUUUUUUUAUAUCAUGUUUGGAAAUUGUUUAAAAACGAUUUGUUUCAUAAAUAAAUAGAAAUGAGUGAAAAAUAAGUCCAUAAUACUUGUAAUUCUCUAAAAAUGUAUGGAUAAAAAUUAACUUGUAUGUUUAUAAUCAUGGACUUAAUUCCCCUCUUCUUCUUUAUUCCUUUUUCUUUCUUUUUGUUUAUUUAAGUUAAAAGCUAUCAAUUUACAGAAGUGUAAUAGACUUUUGGAGAAAAAUGACUAUAGGGAUGAAAUCUACUAUAUUAGUACAAAACGUCAUUAUCUUUCAAUGUUAUUGUACAAAAUGUUCAUACAUUUCGUUUUUUGAUAUUUUCAUCAUUACCUUCACCUUUUAUUGUGGAAAUCAUUAUUUUCAUCAAAUUUCUCAUGUAAAAUGACAAAUAUACCCCCUAUUUAAAUAAAACAAUAAAAAAAGAUGAAAAAAGUUAAAGAAUAAAUUGCAAACUCCCAAGCUUUUUUAAAAAGUGCAGAUGAGUCUAAAUAAAUUAUUAAAAUGGUAAUUAGCACAAAACGUUCUUACCUUUCAUUCUUAUUGUGCAAAAUAUUCAUACCUUUCUUUUUUGACAUUUUUACCCUUAUUUUUAUAUUUCACUCCAAAAAUCAUUAAUUAUAUACAUUUUCUCAAUUAAAAGCUGUAAAAUAACAAAUAUAUUAUCAUCUUUAAAUAAACAAAAAUAAAGACCAAAUUGAAACUAUAGUUCAAAAAUUAUCAAAAAAAGUACAAAUAUAAUUAUUUGUUUGGAAUUUAUUUAUACUUUUUUGGAAAAUUUGAGAAUAUAGUUGCAAUCUGUUCUUUAUUUUUAUUUAUUUGAAGAGGAUUGUAUAUUUAUCAUUUUACAACGUUUAAUUGAGAAAAUGGAUGAAAAUAAAAUUUUCGUAAUGAAAUAUGAAAUAAUAGUGAAAAUGUCAAAAAAAAGAAAAGUAUAGACGUUUUGCACAAUAAUAUUGAAAAGUAUAAACGUUUUGUGCUAAUUACCCUUUCAAAAAUAUUAUUAUAUAAAAGGUAAAAAAAGAAGUUGAGAGUAGAUCCGCUAAAAUUGGAGACGAAAGGGCAAUAUACCCUGAGAUCCUUAAGAACUACGGACACGAGGUUUCACGGAUAAUCAGGAUACCAAUUUCAAAAUAACAAUAAUAUAAAUAAAUAAAAGAAUUACAAAAUAAGUGCAUAUUUGUCAGAUCUUUACUUAAAAGCAAUAGGUCACAAUGAAUGUAUAACUAAGAAGUAUAUAAAAAUUAUGAAUCAUAUAGAAACUAAUCACUUCAGCAUAAUAUUGUUCACAUUCCAAUGGAUCUUUGAUACUAAUUUUAAUCUAUUUAUAAAUUCUUUCCAAACAAACGAUACAUCUUCAAAACGUCCUUUCACCAAAACUCUCAACUUCAGAUCGAACUCCGUCAAUUUCUCUUCCAAACAUCCCCCACAAUGAUUGUAGUCCAUAACGGCUGCAACAUCACGUUAAUUGCAGCUCAACACCUCAAUUCAACAUUGGCCACGUUAUAUGUAAAUAAACCAACAAAGGUGUCCAACAAAAAGGAGCCAAUCUUGUUUGCAAAGUCAAAAAUGUUACUUUCAAAUAAGUUGUUUAUUAAUAGUAUGUACAAUUAGCAAAAGUUUCUUCUAAAAUUAUAUAAUUAUUAAAUUACAGAAUUGUUUUAUUCUUUUAUAUUUCACUACGUUUUCCAGAAAACAAAUAAAAUAAAAUCAUGACAUAAAUUAAAUCAAGAAGAAAUUUAAGAUUAUAUAUAAAUAAUUUCGAAUGUAACAACAAAACAAAGAACCAUUGACAUGUCUACAAUACCCUAAAUGCAAAAACAGGAACUACAGUUAAACGAGAAUUUAAAAUGCUCCAACGAGUAUGUCGCGCGUGGAAGGGUAGUACCGUAAAAUCAUUGACCAUUUUGUAAGAACCGUACGAGUUGCGUCGGGUUGAAUACACCGGGUAUAUGGGCCCCAUCUGACUUCAACAAAUGGGAUACUUCCAUAUAUCUCUGAUAACUCUCAGCCUCGUUCUCGGCUUUUCUUUGCGGCUCACUUCCCAUUUUCUGACUCGAAGACUGCUUCUGAUUAAAUGUCGCGGCUGACAGAGGAACCACUUCGGCUCGAGCUGGAUCCCAAGGCUGACCAAAUAAGGUACCCUUUGUUAAAAACUCGUUGGCUAGAUACCCAGCCAGAAGGGUAUUAGUAUUGCUGGAAGCCGGCUGAUCUAACGGCUUUGUUGCUGCUGGUCUGUGAAGGCUCGGCUUGGCCAAUGUUUUAGUCGUCACUGUUGACGGUUUCUUCAGGACGUUAGGAGCAUCAUCUCUCCCUUUUCGCUUAUUUGACGGAAAAAAUUGACGGCGUGAGUUGUUCAUCAUCGUCGUACACGUGUCUUCCCUAACACGUACUCACAAUUGCAUAUCGCACAAACUCUCUCCCCACUAAAAUUAAACACAAAAACAAAUCAUUUUCUAAACAUGUGAAAACGACAUCGUUGCACAGUAAAACAUAAAGAAAAUUCGAAUAAAACAGAAAAUUGCUCAUAAUAAACGGGAAAAAAAAAUACAGAUUUAGAUACAGAUCAGAAAUUUAAACAAAAUCUGGUUCUACAGUGUGAAUUUCACACAAAGAAACACGCAAAAAUCACACACAGACACAUAGUAUAUUUGAAGACACCAAAUUCGUUUUAAGAAAAUAUCGGGAAGUGGAUGGGCUCAAAUUAACAUUCUGAUCAUGUUGAUCAUCUUAUUACAUUGUUUAAAUUACAAUACGAUAAUUUUGACAGUGUAUUAUUUUCAAAUUAUUUGAAAGAGAAUCUUAUACUCCAAGAAUAACAUCAUCGGCAUGGCAAAAACCAUAGGAAAAACCCUCUGUUACAUUGGUAAGGUUUAAGUGGAUGAAAUUUUUUAGGUUUGCCUUUCUAGUUUUUAUUUAUUUAUUUAUUUAUUAUUAUUUUUAUAUCAUGUUUGGAAAUUGUUUAAAAAUUAAUUGCUCUUCUUAACCCCACAAAUUAUCCAUUUUUAAUUAUAUAUUAGUAAGAGUUGAAUUUACAUUGCACCUUAUUUUGAAAUAUUUUAUAGGCUCUUGUUUGAUCGUUAUUAUUUUUAAAAUAUAUUUUUUAUAAUUUCUUUUUGAUUACACAUUUUUCAAUAAAAUAAUAUUACUUUUUUCUUAUUUUUCAAUCACACAAUCUCUUAAGGCUGGGCAAAAUUUUCGAAUCGAACCAAACCCGACUCAAACCGAGCAAUUCUUCUUAAGUUAAAUACUCGAACGAGUAUCUAAAUCGAAACCAACGAGUUCAAUUCAAUUCUCAUUUCUAAAUCAAGAAUCAAAUAAUCGAAUAAGAAUCUAAUUUCCUUAAUUUUUUAUUAAUUUAUUUUAAAUAAAUCAAAUUAUUUUAUUUUUUUAAAAUAAAUUUGCUAACUAGUUAAUUUAACUCAAACCCAAAAAUAUAAUUUUCCUAUUUCUAAUUUUUAGUACAAAUCAACUUAAUCAAAUUGACCUAACCGUAGUGUCGUUUCUACCGUUCUGAAGAAAUUGAAAUGAAGCUUGACAACGCCUCUAUUAAUUAUUGUGAGAUCACUAUCUUUCUCUUCCAGUAAUUUUAACAAUCAAAUUUAUGAAGAACUCGGCAAAGAGAGACGCAAAAGACACGAAAGAUUGGACUACGUUAUUUUAUAAGAGUUAAGAUUGAACAUUUCAUUAAUUGAAUUAAUGUAACUUUGUAAAUAUUAAAAAAUUUAAUUAUAAUACGGAACCUGAGAACUUAAUAGAACCGAAUCGAACCAAACCGAAAUGAAUUGAAUAGAAUCGAAUCCCAACGGUUCCAUAAUUAAAUUUGGACCUGACGAUUCUACUUACUAAGUAUCCAAAAGUUUCGAGUCUGGUUCGAGAAUUGUUUUAUUCUUUUAUAUUUCACUACGUUUUUCAGAAAACAAAUAAAAUAAAAUCAUGACAUAAAUUAAAUCAAGCAGAAAUUUAAGAUUGUAUACAAAUAAUUUCGAAUGUAACAACCAAACAAAGAACCAUUGACAUAUCUACAAUACCCUAAAAUGCAAAAACUACAGUUAAAUGAGAAUUUAAAAUGCUCCAAUGAGUAUGUCACGCGUGGAAGGGUAGUACCGUAAAAUCAUUGACCAUUUUGUAAGAACCGUACGAGUUGGGUCGGGUUGAAUACACCUGGUAUAUGGGCCCUAUCUGACUUCAACAAAUGGGAUACUUCCAUAUAUCUCUGAUAACUCUCAGCCUCGUUCUCGGCUUUUCUUUGCGGCUCACUUCCCAUUUUCUGACUCGAAGACUGCUUCUGAUUAAAUGUCGCGGCUGACAGAGGAACCACUUCGGCUCGAGCUGGAUCCCAAGGCUGACCAAAUAAGGUACCCUUUGUUAAAAACUCGUUGGCUAGAUACCCAGCCAGAAGGGUAUUAGUAUUGCUGGAAGCCGGCUGAUCUAACGGCUUUGUUGCUGCUGGUCUGUGAAGGCUCGGCUUGGCCAAUGUUUUAGUCGUCACUGUUGACGGUUUCUUCAGGACGUUAGGAGCAUCAUCUCUCCCUUUUCGCUUAUUUGACGGAAAAAAUUGACGGCGUGAGUUGUUCAUCAUCGUCGUACACGUGUCUUCCCUAACACGUACUCACAAUUGCAUAUCGCACAAACUCUCUCCCCACUAAAAUUAAACACAAAAACAAAUCAUUUUCUAAACAUGUGAAAACGACAUCGUUGCACAGUAAAACAUAAAGAAAAUUCGAAUAAAACAGAAAAUUGCUCAUAAUAAACGGGAAAAAAAAAUACAGAUUUAGAUACAGAUCAGAAAUUUAAACAAAAUCUGGUUCUACAGUGUGAAUUUCACACAAAGAAACACGCAAAAAUCACACACAGACACACACGAAAGCGAGAGAGAGAGAGAGAGAGAAGGGGUACAGGGGUUUCGAAAUGGGAUGAAAUGGGAAAUUUAUAGAAAGAAGGAUGAUUAAUUGCCCCUGAAGUAAGCAAAAAUUACGGGGCAAGGAAAAGCGGUUGUUAAAAGGAUAAAAGUCAACCGGUCUUAAAUGUCGAUUUAAUUGCUCUUCUUAACCCCACAAAUUAUCCAUUUUAGAGAGAGAGAGAGAGAGAAGGGGUACAGGGGUUUCGAAAUGGGAUGAAAUGGGAAAUUUAUAGAAAGAAGGAUGAUUAAUUGCCCCUGAAGUAAGCAAAAAUUACGGGGCAAGGAAAAGCGGUUGUUAAAAGGAUAAAAGUCAACCGGUCUUAAAUGUCGAUUUAAUUGCUCUUCUUAACCCCACAAAUUAUCCAUUUUUAAUUAUAUAUUAGUAAGAGUUGAAUUUACAUUGCACCUUAUUUUGAAAUAUUUUAUAGGCUCUUGUUUGAUCGUUAUUAUUUUUAAAAUAUAUUUUUUAUAAUUUCUUUUUGAUUACACAUUUUUCAAUAAAAUAAUAUUACUUUUUUCUUAUUUUUCAAUCACACAAUCUCUUAAGGCUGGGCAAAAUUUUCGAAUCGAACCAAACCCGACUCAAACCGAGCAAUUCUUCUUAAGUUAAAUACUCGAACGAGUAUCUAAAUCGAAACCAACGAGUUCAAUUCAAUUCUCAUUUCUAAAUCAAGAAUCAAAUAAUCGAAUAAGAAUCUAAUUUCCUUAAUUUUUUAUUAAUUUAUUUUAAAUAAAUCAAAUUAUUUUAUUUUUUUAAAAUAAAUUUGCUAACUAGUUAAUUUAACUCAAACCCAAAAAUAUAAUUUUCCUAUUUCUAAUUUUUAGUACAAAUCAACUUAAUCAAAUUGACCUAACCGUAGUGUCGUUUCUACCGUUCUGAAGAAAUUGAAAUGAAGCUUGACAACGCCUCUAUUAAUUAUUGUGAGAUCACUAUCUUUCUCUUCCAGUAAUUUUAACAAUCAAAUUUAUGAAGAACUCGGCAAAGAGAGACGCAAAAGACACGAAAGAUUGGACUACGUUAUUUUAUAAGAGUUAAGAUUGAACAUUUCAUUAAUUGAAUUAAUGUAACUUUGUAAAUAUUAAAAAAUUUAAUUAUAAUACGGAACCUGAGAACUUAAUAGAACCGAAUCGAACCAAACCGAAAUGAAUUGAAUAGAAUCGAAUCCCAACGGUUCCAUAAUUAAAUUUGGACCUGACGAUUCUACUUACUAAGUAUCCAAAAGUUUCGAGUCUGGUUCGAUUCUCGUUAGAAUCAAACCGAAUCAUAUCCAGUCCUACAAUCUCUAUCAAUCUACUAUUCAAAAAUAUUUUCCACAUAUAAAAUGGGGCUCAAAUAGGCUUUAUGUGCUUGUAAAAGUAACAUUUGAUAUGAGGAGCCUUAAUUUUGAUAUGCUACAGCAUUAGAAGAAUAUGGAAGAAAACAAAAUUUAGGAUAAAAAUUUAAGAGAAGAAAGUUGUACUCUCUCAAUUUGAUUCCAAUUUUUUUGUGAUAAUGAAAUACUACAAAUGAGCAACAUUUCUAUACUACAUUUGGUACAUAAGAAUUAAUGGCUAAUACAUGAAUUUAAACAUCCAUUAAAUUCCCUAAAUAUAUGAAUAUAAAUAAAAAUCAUCCAUGAUAACUCUGGAUUUACAUAGAUCAAGAUACAUCAAAUCAAAAGUCAUUGGGUCUAGAUUAAUAUGAAUGCUAAUUAAUUGAAAAUUAAUAAUACGAAAUUCAUACAUGAUGAAGGAUUGUGUUUUAUUUAUUACAAAUUGAAAAACGAAAAAUAAAGUAUUAUUGAAAUAAUUGAAUUGUAGUAGAGUUAAAAUCGUCCAUAAAAAUGAUUUUCAAAUGCAUUACACAUUAUUUUGAAAAUACUUUAUAAAUGCUGUAAAAAGUAAUAUUUGGCAUACUAAGCCUUGAUUUUGAUUUGCUGCACAAUAAACAGAAUAUGGAAAAAAAUAAAAUUUAUGAUAGAAAUUUAAAAAAAGAAAGUUAUACUCUCAAAACUCGGUUUAAUUCAAAUUUUUUAUUUUGAUGAAAUACUACAAAUGAGCAACUUUUUUAGACGAUACUUUGUACAUAAGAAUUAAUUGUUAAUACAUGAAUUUAAAUAUCUAUUUCAGCCGCAUUCUUUUAAAAAAAUACAUUUUCAAAUAGUGAUUUGACAUCAUUUCAAUCACAUAUUUUUCAAUAAAAUAAUAUUACACAUAAAUUCAAAACUUUUCUUUCUAUUUUAACCACAUAUUCUUCAUCAAUCUACUAUUCCAAAAUACAUUCUUCCAAAAUAAUGUGGCUCAAACACACGCUAAUUUUUCUAGAUAUGUGAAUAUAAAUAAAUUCAUCCAUAAUAACUCUAGAUUCAUAUAUAUUAAGAAUUAUUAAGUCAAAAUUCAUUAAGUUUAGAUUCAAGUAAUUAUUAAUUAAUUGAGAAUUAAUAACACGAAAUUUAUACAUGACUAAGAAUCUUAGAAUUCGUUUGAUUACAAAGAUGGAAUUUGGGUGAAAAGAAAACAAAUUUCAAAAAAUUGAAUUGCAUAGAAAUUAUUUUACCGGGAAUUCUCAAUUAUUGUGUUUGAAUAGUAUAAUUUUUUAUGUGAAAAAUGUUGAAAUAAAAGUGUUUUUUUGUGUUUAUUUGAUUUUUUACAUAAAAAUUAUCAAUUAAAUGAAUAAAAUUUACUGGUAUUGGGGAUAUAAUUUGUUUCCAUUGCCAAAAAAAAGUCAAGAAAAUCAUCUAUCUUUUGGUAUUCAUUUGACUUUAUUUUAUAUGAAAAUUAUCAAUCAAAGGAAAAUAUUUUUUUAUAAUUAGAGAUAAAAUUUGUUUUCAUUGCAAAUAAUAAUAAUAAUAAUAAUAAUAAUAAUAAUAAUAAUAAUAAUAAUAAUAAAAUUGACAGCCUACCUAGAAAAACAAUUCCCAUCAUAUAGGUGGGAAUUGGUUUUCCUUGAAAACUAAAAAAAAUCAACACUUUUCAAGAAAAUCAAUUUCAUGGAAAAAAAUAUACUAUCAAAUAAUCAAAAAGUGAAAGUUGAAAUUUGAAUUCUAUUUUCCAUGGAAAAUAAUGGCCAAUCAAACAUGGUCUUAUAGUAUUUAUUACAUAUCGAAAAAAUGAAAAGUAAAAUAUUAUUGAAAUGAUUGAAUUGUAGUAAAAUUAUAAUUAUCAAAAAAUGGUUCUCAUUUGAGGUGAUACUUAAUAUAUUAUAGAUUUAACGAUUAAUUGUUACUUUCUUAGGUACGCAAAUUCGAUUUUUAUAGAAAAAGUUACACUAUAAUUUUCUAAUUUAUAAAACAAUUUGAUUUUCGAUCCCUUUUUCUUAGCAAUAUGAUCUCCAAUUUCUAAUCUGUAGUAUUAUUGGCCCUCCUCAUAAAUUACUUAAACAUUUGAAAAUGCUUAAAUUGAAUAUAUAAUUAGUUAAUAAAUGACUUUUGACCAAUCAGAUGUACAAUGUUAAACAAUAUCAAAAUUGGACUAUUUUUCAAAAUUUUAAAGAUAACAAGUCACUCAGAUUAAUGUUGGGGAAUAAGCUUACCCGUUCCCCCGUGACAAAAGCAAGUAAUCAAUAGUUAAAAUAUCCAUUAAAUUGUGAAUAGAUUUCGAAAAUUUUGACAUCAUAGCUAGGUUUGUCAAAAUAACAAUGCUAGGUAUACAUCAUUUGGUGUACAUCCCGGCUAACAACCAUCUAAUAUGGGGUGGGGCCUGCGAUAUAUUAUUAGAGGACUGUCAAAUUAAGUCAAGCAUUGAUGUGUGAACAGAAAUUGUACGCUCAGAAACACUACAGAACAGACAUAGCACCGAGGGUGGGUAAUUUUUUGACCUUUUUUUUUUUUUUUUUUUUUUUUUUUUAUCACAACUUGGGGUACAGACAAUGUAAAAUUUUUGGUGCAUUUCUGUGAAACAAUUUUUUGUACAAAUGAAAUUGCUGAAAUAAGUCUACACCAAAGGGUGCAUUUUUCUUGUCAAAAUGUGUGAGCUGUCUAGACCAAUUCACUUGUAUGUAAGUUCGGCUAUUGGCACAUGAUGACUUGAACUAAUCUGUUGAUAGACUAAUUUAUCUUCAAAAUCUUAGGGCCUGCUUGCCGCGAAUUUACUAAUAGUGUGGACUAGCCCGGUCUGAGAUGGGCCAAACUUGUUAUUUUUUAAUCUCUAAAUAAGCACUUUACACUUAUAAUACUAAUACUGGUGCAAUAUUUUUUUUAAUAAAUCAAUCCGAUCGGGGCUCGUCCUCAUGAUGCUCUAGUUUGAAAAACUCAACCGACACGACCUGCCAUUAUUGGCAAACUAACUCACGAGCUCACGUGAGAUGAACUCGAUUGAUUGAUUUGUAUGAUUUGUUAUCGAGAUGGGUCGUUUUGAAUUUUGGCCUAGAUAGGUUGCCUAUUUUAACACCACUAGUAUUGACAAACAAACUGCUAGCUAUGUCAUGACAAUUUUUUGGUAUAGUGGUAGGAUUUUUGAAGGGCCCGGCUGGAUAGGAUGAAAAAAUCUCUACUUCUUGUUUUGUUUAAAUAUUUAUUUUUAUUUAUUUUUCAGGUACUAUUUAAAUUUAAAAAUUAAAUAAAAGAAAAAUAAUACCCCGCCCUUGUUCCAUUACGAGGCGACGCUAGCGGGACAUCUGCCAUCCUAACAACUUAAAAAGUUAUGUAUUAAAUCCUUAUUUGAGUCACAUUAUUUUCAUUAGAAUGCAUUUUUGAAUAGUGUGUGGAAAGGCCUGACGGGAUAGGAUGAAAAAACCUCUACUUCUUGUUUUGUUUAAAUAUUUAUUUUUAUUUAUUUUUCAGGUACUAUUUAAAUUUAAAAAUUAAAUAAAAGAAAAAAAAUACCCCGCCCGUGUUCCAUUACGAGGCGACGCUAGCGGGACAUCUGCCAUCCUAACAACUUAAAAAGUUGUGUAUUAAGCUCUUGUUUGAGCCACAUUAUUUUCUUUAGAAUACAUUUUUAAAUAGUGUGUUGAUGGAAAAUUUGUCAAAAAAUAAGGAAUUUUUUUGAAUUUAUGUGUAAUAUUAUUUUAUUUAAAAAUGUGAUUGAAAUAAUGUCAAAUAACUGUUUAACAAUGCAUUUUUUUAAAAGAAUAUAGGUCAAACAAGGUGUAAGUUAUAUCGUAUUUAGUUCAAUAUUAAAAUAUCGAACAUUGUUAAAGGAUUAAAAUAUAUCUUUAUGUGUUGAUUAUUCAUUUCAUCUUUAUUCAAUGUAUAAUUUAUUAUUUAACAUGAUCAUACAAAAUGGUGGCUCAAUUGAAUAAGUCAAUUUUAAAAUAUAUUUGCUCAUUUGACAUUCAGAUCAAACUGUUCAUUUUAUUUAGGAUAAUUCUCCAUGUAUAUUAUGAUAUCCAUAAGGGUAUCCAUAAUGUACACGUGAAAUUCCAUGAUUGAAGGGUUUAAAAACUAUUUUUCAAUCCUCCAAUGAUGUUAUGCCACUUGCAUAUUAUGGACACUCUUAUCGACACCAUAAUGUACAUGUAGUAUAACCCUUUUAUUUAACGGUGGUGCUAUUGGUACGUAGGGGUAUACCUAAGCAUGUAUGCCCCUCUCACAUAGGGUGUGGGAUCCACCCGAAUAACAUUUUAUUCGGAUGGAUUCCACACCCUAUGUGAGAGGGGCGUACACGCUUAGAAACAUCACAUUAUGUAUCACCAAAUUAAUUGUUUAUUUAAUGAGCUCUGAUAGAGUUUUACUUUUAUAUAUUAAUAAUUUAUUUUAACUUUAUUUGAUGAAGGAUUUAUCGCUCAACCAGUCGUGUCACUAUAUCACCCACCUUUUCAUAAUCACAAAAUUAGGGGUGUACUGCAUGACAAAUGUAUCACGAUUAGCUGAUCUUAAUUUUAUGAUCUUAUUAGGGUUUUUUUUUUUUUUUUUUUUUUUUUUUUUUUUUUUUUUUUUUUUUUUUGUCACUAUAUCACCCACCUUUUCAUAAUCACAAAAUUAGGGGUGUACUGCAUGACAAAUGUAUCACGAUUAGCUGAUCUUAAUUUUAUGAUUUUAUUUGCUGUUUUUUUUUUUUUUUUUUUUUUUGGGUUUUUUUUUUUUUUUUUUUUUUUGGGAAUUUUCAUUUUAUUUUAUCAAGGUUUAUUAAGCCCAUGUUUGACGUCCAUUAUUUUGAAAGUGAGUUUUAAAUAGCGAUUUUUUGGAAAAUAUGUAGUUAAAAAAAUAAAAGUAUAGAAAAGUUUUGAAUUUACAUAUCAAAAUAUUUUAUUGCAUAAAUGUGUAGUUGAAAGUGAGCACAAGAAUAAAAAAAAAAUUAUUUUAAAAGGAGAUUAGCAGGGACUAAGUUAUUGAUUUCAUUUUAUUUCUUGCUUUUGUCAUGGGCAAGCUUAUUUCAAACAUCAUUAUUAACGUGGAUUGACUUGUUAGCUUCUAAAAAAUUAAAAAGGAGCCCUCUUGAAGAGGAUAUUGUCUAGGUCUUAAUGGUCACAUUCAUUACAAGUAUAUGGUCCCAACAUUUUUAAUCAAUACAUUUCACGCUUAAUAAAAAUAAAUCGAUAAAUACAAGAAAUAACAUUUGUAGACAGUAUACAAAAUUAAGGUCAACUGAUAGGAUAUGAUUCUACUUGUGAUACAUACAUUGUAUCUUUAUCAAAACACGUAUUAGUGAACAUAACAAGUAUUGCAUGAUUAAGAUAAUUGAUUACAAAUUUCCAAUAUCGAAAAUUGUCUUUUGUAUACCAAUAAUACUAUAAUUUUGAGAUCAUCCCAUCAAAGAAAAUAGAUUGAGAAUCAGACUGAUUUAGAAGUUAGAGAAUAUAAUGCAUUUUUCAAACCAUAGAAUUUAGGUACCUAAACAUUAAUAAUUCAUCUUCCCUUAAAAACAUUGCUUUUCUAUUUUUGUCCAUGACUUGUUCCUUGUCUACACAAGUCUCAAUCAAACGCAAAGCUAUGUUAAAUUGAAUAUGAAGAAAAAAAUUUAAUCAUUUCGUCUAAUAUUAUUCACUUCAACAUGAAGAAUAGCUACUCGUCAGUGUGAAGUAGACAUACUUAGCGGGGUUGUUAUUGCUUGCAGCGGGCUACAAAUGUGUCCCGGUUGAUCAGGCCGGCCCAAAUGUUACUGGUUCUAUGUUGGGUCAAUUCCAAAAAGUGGUUCAAUCAAAUUAUAAUUUGGGUCAAGAGCUUACUUAUUUUUAAUUCUAAUAUGUUGCAACUCUUAGUGGAGAUCUUUCUUUAAAAGUAACCUUGGUUAUAAAAAUAUUUGGUUUAAUCCUGACAAACCAAUUUUUUCUCAUAUUUCCUUUUUCAUUAAUUGUAUUCAAUAUUUCCGAAUCUAAAAAUAUUAAAUGUGCUAUAAAUACAUGAUAUGAAAUAUAUAACUUAAACAAUAUGAGCCACACGGGUUUUUCAUGGGCCUAGCACAACUCGCUUUUACAAUUUUUUAUGUUACAUUUUUGUUAAUUCCUAAGGAAAAAGUUUGAAAGGCGACACAGGGCAUUUUUUGUCAUAUUUAUCAAAAUGUAGCGUAGAGUAUAUUAUUUAUUCCCUACUUUUGAAUAAAGUAGUAGACCUACGUUCAACAUUUUUUUUGUGAAUUUUUGUGCCUGAUCUUUGGAAAAUUAGUAGAUUUCAUCCAUAUAAUGCAAUCUUACCCCCUAACUUGAAUAAAACUUAAAUUUUAUUUUUAUAUGUUCUUUUGUUCUGUUCCUUUAUAUAUUUUUGUUUUUUAUGUUAAAAAAAAAAGCAAGUUUGCCAUUUUAUUUAAGUUUGACAGAUUUUGGGGGGGAAGCGGCUUUACUAAAUUUUCAAAGGUUAAGUGUAUGUCUGUUAUUUUGCUCAAAAGUUUGGAACGAAUAUUGCAAAUUACCCUAAAGUGUACCUCUCAAGAUCUUUAAAGUCGGGCACAUAAUCUAGAAGUUAGCUUACCCCUUUUUUUUUUCCCAAAAUUUUAUCUUUAUGGCCAUAGGAGACUCGAAUCUAGGCGGUAAAACUUUAUUCUUUUUUCGUGCUAAUGAUAGAUUGGUAAAAAUGUGUACACAAUAGGCUAUAUAAAGCAAAUAUAAGAAUUCACUUCAAUCUAAAACAAAUAUAUUUAGGACAUGUUCGGUAGUGAUUAUGAGAACCAAUUUUGUGAUCUUUAGGGGGAAAAGUGAAUCCUACUUGUGAGUAAAGAACUAAAAAAUGACAACAGACUAUUGAAACUAGUGAUCAAAAUAUUGAUUUUUUGGGGUAAAAAAUAAAAAACAAACGAGGGAUUAAUCUCUUAUUAAAAUACUAUCUAAAAAGUUCGUUAAAAUGUCACGUACUAUUAGUCUCCAUGAAGAAAUGGAUCAUACCAACAUGGAUUCGACAGUAUCUUAUGGCCUCAUGCUGGUUCAGUUUGUUAUUAUAUUCUCUUUUUUCCUUCACUGCAGUCACCUAAAUAAUUUAUAUUCUUUAGUUUUAUAAAGAUUCUUUGCGCUUAUCAGGCUUAUAAUGGUCUUUGUUUUGAAUAAUAUCAAAUGUAAUAUUUUAUUAAAUGUAAUAUUUAAUGCACAGUGAUUCCAUUAAUACAGGUUAUGACUGUUAGAGCCAUCUAUAUAAAUAACAUCUGAAGAUUCUCUGAGCAUUUCAAUGAUAUUUAACACUACUUAACAAAUUAUAGUUUGAUAUUCACAAGAUAGUAACUGUAACAUGAACUUCUGCUUAUGAGAACUUCAGAAAGUUCAGAUAUCUGCAUUUCUUGCUAGUUGCUAAUUCCUCUUCAUUUUUUUGUCCUUUUUAUAUUUUAUAAGGAAAGGGAAAGGCACUGGAUAACUAGUGUAUAAACAAUUUAUGACAUUGAUGAAUUGACAAAUUGUGAAUGGUUUUCUGAUUUAUGAUUUCAUCAUCUUUGCAGAAGCUGUUCAAUCAUGCACAGUUAUUCUGGACAUUGUUGAAUCUUCAUUACCAGCAGGCUUGCCUGAAAACUUUGGCGGUGACUGUAAAUUGCAGGAAACUAUAAACGAGGCUGUAGAGCUGCUUCCAGGAUUAUGGAAACUUGCUGAUUGUCCCAGUGAAGCUAUUUUGUCUUACCGUCGGGCCCUUCUACAUCAAUGGAACCUUGAUGCACAAACUACAGCUAAGAUACAAAAAGAGUUUGCCAUUUUUCUUCUGUACAGUGGAGAUGAAGCCAUUCCCCCAAGUCUGCAAUCCCAAAUGGACCGUGCAUUUGUGCCUAGAAACAAUACUGAGGAAGCUAUUCUUCUUUUGAUAAUUCUUUUAAGGAAAUUUACCCUCAAGAAAAUUGAGUGGAAUCCAUCAAUUUUGGAUCACCUUUCAUGUGCGUUAUCUAUAUCAGGUGGGCUGGGCUUUAGCUGAUCAAGUGGAAAAAUUACUGGAGUUUCCAUUUUUUAUCCAUAUCAAAUGUAACUAAAUAUUCGAAACAUCAAGAAAAUGCAUUAAACAAAAGUACAAUAUUACCCUUUCUAGGCAAAGGUACAAAAUUAUUAAAAACCAUACAUUUUUUGUUUUUACACGAGUAUUCCUUCCCAUCACAUUAGAGACAUUAGUGAACUUGCUUUAAUUGGCUUUCGAGCUCUUGUUCUCCAACUUUCGCCAACCUCCUCAUCUUCUACCUCAUACUUAAUCUCAGAUUCUUCAUUGUUGAUUUGAGAGAAUGUGGGGUGUAUCAUUUCACGUUCCUGCUUGACAUUUUUAGGGAUGUCAAGACUGUUCUCGCCUCUCUUCUUGUCCCAUCGUGGUCCAAAACCUGAAUAGUAGUAAAAAUCAUACGGAUUUGAUGUCAAAGUUGCCUUCUUAGCCCAUGGCGUGCGUUGAGAGUCAGCCACCACCUUAUCUUGUCUCUUCUUUGCUGGAAGAGCCAAGUAGUAGUUUCGCUCGAGAUAAGUAGAUCAUUUUUUAAGAGACUACCGUGCGGUUUUCGUGUUGUGUCUAAUUUACCUUCUAUAGAUGAUUUAACAAACAAAUUUGGCAAGAGAAUUGUGUUUUAAUGAACUCCUAACUUUUUUUUUUAAUUAUAAAUUCUCUAAAAAAUUACAUUUUACGAAAUUGAUUCUAAAAGAUACAUAUGAAAUAAAUCCUUUGUAAAAGUAGAAGUUAAUGAAAAAAAUACAUACAAACGUGUUAGAUUGAAUCUUGUAAUCAUUGAUUCACUCUAGAAUUACGAAAAUAUUUAGUGGAUUACGUGUAUCUAUUGAUCAACGACGUGGAUCACUUUUUAAGAGAGUACCGUGCAGAUCCAUGUUAUAUCUAGAUUACCUUCUAUGGAUAAAUUAAGAAACAAAUUUGGCAAGAGAACACCUUCUAUCUAUAAAUGAACAAACAAAAUGGACUCCCAAAUUUUUCAUUUUUAGUUAUACAUUCUAUAAAAAAUUACAUUUUACAAAAUUUAUUCUAAAAAAUUUUCAUCAAACAAAUCUUUUGUAAAAAGUAGAAGUUAAUGAAAAAAAUACAUGCAGAUGUGUUAAACAGAAUCUCAUAAUCUUUGACCUACUAUAUAAUUACAAAAAUAUUUAGUGAAGUACUUGUAUCUAUGUUAUGUUUUAUUUACCUUUUAUAGAUGAAUUUACAAACAAUUUUGACCCGAGAAAUUGUGUGUCAAUGGACUCCUAACUUUUCUUGUUUUUUAAUUAUACAGUCCCUAAAAAAUUACGUUUUACGAAAUUUAUUCUAAAAAUUUUACAUCAAACAAACCCUUGAAGGAUAUAUUGUUGCUGGAGGAGAUCAUGGGACAGGGUUGGGGUGGUGCUGGUUUAGGUUCGGGAUAUGAACAUGGAGUAGGAGGUGGUGGUGACGGAGGAGCAGAAUGUGGUGGUAGUGGGUAUGGUGGAGGUGGCGGUGGAGGAGAUGAAGUGUCGUGUUUUGAACUGAUAGAAAUGGCACUGAGUUGGAAGAAGUUAAUGGGCCAAGUCAUAUUUCCAUCUUUUGCAUCUGCAUUAAAUGAAAUGCUAUCUACUCGAUGAGUAAUGGAUAAUAAUGGAGUGAAGUUCAGUGGCUACAGGGAUGCUUUGAGAAGUUUGGUGAGUAAGCUGUGACACGGUGCAUAGUUCAGUCGGCAUUCAAACAUUUAACUUGUGGCAAAGAAUAUCAAGGUUUAAGACUAUGUUUAAAACUUCUGGAAUUCCACACUUGAUUUCUCCCCAUACAUACCACAACACGUACCUUACACUAAACAUCGCCAUCAUCACAGUGCUGGGACGGGACUUACACUUUUGCAUCGCACUCUCUUCCUAUACAAUAUCACCUCUUAAGAACGAAAUUUGUCAGUGUUCUUAUGCGAAAUCUCUCUCAAUGUUUAUAUCUAUCUGCACUAUCGGAUCAUGGAAAUUAAAGAUGUUGAGUAGGGGAUCUUUGGCUGCCCUGUACACCGUUGCAGAUGUUUUGAGCUCUUUUAAAGCAUUAUAGCAAUCACUUUCCCUCAAUAACCAUUGCUGAAUUAGCAUUAUUACAUCUAAUGAAGUAAAUUGUUUCAUAGGCAACUUAACAAAUGCAAGAUAUCUUGAUUCUUAGGCAACUCUGUGAAUAUUAGUCUAAAACGUUCGAUUAUCUUUGUUAGAUUCUUUUCCAGAAGAACUCUCACUUGCCUAUUGUAACUGUUGCGGAAACUCUCUUGAAAGAUCUUCAAAUCGAUGAUUUUCGGGCUCAGCCCAACGCACUUUUCUCAACCAACAACCAGUACAAUCGGCUCCAAACCACAACCAAUUAAUUCUCCUCGAUUGCUAUUCAAUCUUACCCACGUAGGAUAAGAAAAGAUGAUGAUUUGUGACCACAAAGGCUAGGAGAAGACACCACAAAGGUAUACUAUGAAGAAUCCACCAAUUGCACACGUUAAACAAGCGUUUUGAACACUUCUAGAGACCUUUAUUUCACACACAAAGGGGGCAGCCGGGAUUCCUCUAUUUAUCUCUCAAAACCACACAAAACAUGAAAAGAAAGUGGCUAGGGUUAUAUAUAUAUAUAUAUAUAUAUAUAUAUAUAUACACACACUCUAGGGUUAGGCUUUAAGUUGGACCUUUAAAGAGGUAAACGGGCCAAGAUUCAAGCCAUCCAAGAGGAAAUACAAUUGGGCCUGGUGUAACUCAUGGACUUGGUUGUUGGACUUAUUUCAUUCAUCGAUCUAUGUCUAUGAAAUAAUAUUAACCCACAUUAGCAUCAUAGCUCGAGAUUUAUUGGGUAUCAAAAAUUCAAUAGUAACGUUUGAAACAAGAACACAAUCUCAUCGCUGUAUUUGUCUGUGAUAUUUUUUACCAGGAGCUGCUCAAAAUACUCAAAUGCUUUGAUCAUCUGCAUCCAGAGGCGAACUAGGAUUCUCCUCCUCGACCAACAUCUUGAGUCAUCACCUUUCUCUUCGUCCCCAUCCUCUUCAUCACUGCUGCUUUUGGGAUCAAAAUCACCCUUUCAAGCGAACAAUCCUCAACAGCAGCCCAACGACUUGAUUUGCCUUCUUAGGGAUCAAUGCAAGAAACUACAUUCCUAAUUUUCAUCCUCAUCUUGAGGAACUUUGUUUUUCUUGAGCUGAAUUUUUCUCUUCAGCUUCUAAGUAGGAUCAUUGUUAGGCUUUUUUUUUUUUUUUUUUGUUUGGUCCAUUAGUAUAUUCCAAUUUCACAGUUGAUGGGAAUAGAAAGGUAUUUUUUGGAGAAAGGGGCAAAAUUGUUCAAUAACUCUAGUUAUGUUAUGAAAAUAUUAGAGUUCCUAUUUUUUAUCAAUAUCAAAUGUAACUAUAUAUUGAAAAAUGAAGAAAAUGCAUUAAAGAAAGGUACAAUAUUGCCCUUAUUAGUCAAAGUAAGGGCCAUAAAAUUAUUAAAAACAAUACAUUUUUAGUUUUUACACAAGUUUUUCUUCCCAUCACAUUACAGAUUUUAGUGACCUUACUUUAAUUGGCUUUUGGGCUCUUUUCCUCCCACUAUCUCCACCCUUCUCAUCUUCUACCUUAUUCUCGAUCUCAGAUUCUUCGUUGAUGAUUUGAAAGAAUGUGGGAAGUAUCAUUUCCCUUUCUUGCACAAUAUUUUUAGGAAUGUCAAGACUGUUCUCGCCUCUCUUCUUGUCCCAUCGCGGUCCAUAACCUCGAAUACUAGUAAAAUUCAUAAGGAUUUGAUGUCCAAGUUGCCUUCUUAGCUUGUAGCCCGUGCUGAGAGUCAGCCAUUACCUUAUCUUGUUUCUUCUUUGCUGGAAGAGCCGAGUUGUAGUUUCGCACAUGAGGUAAGUAGAUCAUUUUUAAAGAGAGUACUAUGCGGUAUCUGUGUUAUGUCUAAUUUACCUUCUGUAGAUGAAUUAACAGACAAAUUCGGCAAGAAAAAUUGUGUGUCAAUAGACCCCUAAUUUUUUUUUUAAACUAUACAUUCUCUAAAAAGUUAUAUUUAACGAAAUUGAUUUUGAAAAAUAUCUACAUUGUGAAAAGUAGAAGUUAGGCCCUGUUUGAUAGGGCCAAAUUUCAUUUUUCAUUUUCCACCUUUUGGCCUGUUUGAUUGCAAUAAUUUUCUAGGGAAUUCAUUUUCUUUCCUCUCCCCACAUAUGUGGAAUUUCCUUGGUUUUGUGGAAAACCAAUUCUCACCAAACCUAGGGAAAUUGGUUUUCUAGGUAUCUUUUUUAUUUUAUUUAUUUAUUUAUUUAUUUUUUGACAAUUGGAACAAAUUCUAUCCCCAAUUGUAACAAAUUUUAUCCCUUUAAUUGAUAAUUUCCAUGGAAAACAAAGUUAAACGAACACCAAAAGAUAGAAAAUUUCAAUAAUAUUUUCCACGUAGAAAAUUAUACCAAUCAAACGCAUUAAUUGACAAUUUUUAGGAAAACAAGUUCUAGGCAAUUAAAUUCCCCGAGAUCAAUUUUCUUUCCACCCAAAUUUCAUUCUUGCAAUCAAAUAGACCCUUAAUGAAAAAAAUAUAUACAAACAUGUUAAAUAGAAUCUCAUAAUCUUUGAUCCAUUCUAGAAUUACAAAAAUAUUUAGUGGAUUAUGUAUAUCUAUUGAUCAACAACAUGGAUUAUGUUUUAAGAGAGUAUCGUGCGGUACUUGUGUUACGUCAAAUUUAGCUUUUAUAGAUAAAUUAACAAACAAAUUCUGUAAGAGAAAUUGCGUGUUGUUGGACUCAUAACUUUUCUUUUUUUAGUUAUACAUUCUCUAAAAAAUUAUGUUUUACAAAAUUUAUUCUAGAAAAAUUUACAUCAAACAAAUAUUUUGUAAAAAGUUGAAGUUAAUGAAAUAAAUAUAUGCAGAUGUGUUAAAUAUAAUCUCAUAAUCUUUUACCCACUCUAGAAUUACGAAAAUAUUUAGUGAAUUACCUGUAUUUAUUGAUCAACGGCAUGGAACACUUUUUAAAAGAGUACCGUGCUAUAUCCGUGAUAUAUCUAAUUUACCUUCUGUAGAUGAAUUAACAAACAAAUUCGACAAGAGAAGUUGUGUGUUAAUGACUCCUAACUUUUCUUCUUUUGUAAUUAUACAUUCUCUCAAAAAUUACAUUUUACAAAAUACAUUCUAAAAAAUUUACAUCAAACAAACACUUUGUAAAAAGUAGAAGUUAAUAAAAUAAAAUAAAAUACAUACUUGUUAAAGAAUAUCAUAAUCUUUUACCCAUUCUAGAAUUAUGAAAAUAAUUAUUGGAUUAUAGGCAUUUAUUGAUCAACCGCUGGAUCACUUUUUAAGAGAGUACCUUUGUGGAAUCAGUGAUAUGUCUAAUUUACCAGAUGAAUUAAUAAACAAAUUCGGUAAGAGAAAUUGUGUGUUAAUGGACUCCUAACUUUUCUUGUUGAAAUACCCGUGUGAAAACCUUCGAGACGUGUAAUACGUAACUACUGUGAAACUGUUUCAAUUGAUUAUUGACUAGUGUCAAAGUGUUUCAAUUUAUUACGGAUGACAUCUGAGAUCCAAUAAGAAAAAGUCACAUAAAUUAUCAGAUAAUGUUGUUUCUAUUUUACCAAUAUCAAACGUAACUAAAUAAUCGAAACAUCACGAAAAUGCAUUAAAUGAAAGUACAUUAUUACCCUUGCUAGUCCAAGUAACGGCCACAAAAUUAUUAAAAACCACACAUUUUUAGUUUUACACAAGUUUUUUCUUCCCGUCACAUUAAAGACUUUAGUGACCUUGCUUUAAUUGGCUUUCAGGCUCUUUUCCUCCAACUCUCACCACCCUCCUCAUCUUAUAACUCAUACUCAAUCCCGGAUUCUUCAUUGUUGCUUUGAGAGAACGUGGGAUGUAUCUUUUCACAUUCUUGCUCGACAUUUUUCAGGACGUCAAAACUGUUCUCGCCUCUCUUCUUGUCCCAUCCCGAUCCCUAACCGAAUAGUAGUAAAAAUCAUACGAAUCUUAUGUCCAAGCUGCCUUCUUGGCCCAUGGCCUGUGCCGAGAGUCAGGCGCCACCUUAUCUUGUUUCUUCUUUGCUGGAAGAGUUGAAUUAUAGUUUCACAUUUGAGAUAAGUGGAUUAUUUUUUAAGAGAGCAUCGUGCGGUAUCCGUGUUAUGGCUAAUUACCUUCUAUAGAUGAAUUAACAAACAAAUUCAACAACAAAAAAAAAAGUGUAUUAAUGGACUCCAAACCUAUAUUUUUUUUCAAUUGUACUUUCUAUACAAAAUUACAUUUUACGGAAUAGUUUCAAAAAAAUAUACAAAAAAUAAAUCCUUUGUAAAAAGUACAAGUUAAUGAAAAAGAAGAUAUAUAGGGAAGUGUUAAAUAAAAUUUAGUAAUCUUUGAGCCACUCAAGAAUUAUGAAAAUACUUAGUGGGUUACGUGUCUGUGUUUAUCAAUCAUGUGGAUCACUUUUUAAGAGAAUAUGGUGUGGUAUUAGUGUUAUGUCUAAUUUACCUUCUAUAGAUUUGCUCACAAACAAAUUUGGCAAGAGAAAUUGUGUGUCAAUGGACUCCUAACAUUUCUUGUUGAAUUAUCCAUGUGAAGCCUUUGAGAUGUGUAAUAUGUAAUUAAUGUGAAAGCAUUUCAAUUUGAUUAUUGACUAGCAUCAAAGAGUUUCAAUUUAUUACUGACGAUGUCUGAGACUCGAGGUGGGUAAUAUGUAAUAAACAUGAAAGUGCCUUAAUUAAUUGGUGGCCACUCUUGAAAAUUCUUUAUUUUUAACUUUUAGUUUAAUUAAUUGAAUGAGAAAAAGUCACAUAAGUUAUCAGAUAAUGUUGUUUCUAUUUUUACCAAUAUCAAACGUAACUAAAUAUUCGAAACAUCACGAAAAUGCAUUAAACGAAAGUACAAUAUUACCCUUGCUAGUCCAAGUAAUGGCCACAAAAUUAUUAAAAACCACACAUAUUUAGUUUUUACACAAGUUUUUUCUUCCCGUCACAUUAACGACUUUAGUGAACUUGCUUUAAUUGUCUUUCGGGCUCUUUUCCUCCUCCAACUCUCGCCACCCUUCUCAUCUUAUACCUCAUACUCGAUCUCAAAUUCUUCAUUGUUGAUUUGAGAGAACGUGAUGUCUAUCUUUUCACAUUCUUGCUCGACAUUUCUCAGGACGUCAGGAGUAUUCUCGCCUCUCUUGUCCCAUCCCAGUCCAUAACUGAAUAGAAGUAAAAAUUAUACGGAUUUGAUGUCCAAGCUGCCUUCCUAGCCCAUGGCCUGUGCCGAGAGUCUGGCAUUAACUUAUCUUGUUUCUUCUCUGCUGGAAGAGCUGAAUUGUAGUUUUGUAUUAGAGAUAAGCAGAUUAUUUUUUAAGAGAGCAUUGUGCGGUAUCCGUGUUAUGGCUAAUUACCUUCCAUAGAUGAACUAACAAACAAAUUCAACAAGAAAAAUAGUGUGUUAAUGGACUCCAAACCUAUCUUCUUCUUUUUUUAAUUGUACUUUCUAUAAAAAAAUUAAGUUUUACGAAAUUGUUUAAAAAAAAUAUACGUAAAUAAAUCCUUUGUAAAAAGUAUAAGUUAAAGAAAAAAAAAUAUAGAGAUAUGUUAAAUGGAAUCUAGUAAUCUUUGACCCACUCAAGAAUUAAGAAAAUAUUUAGUGGAUUACGUGCAUCUAUUGGUCAAUCGCGUGGAUCACUUUUUAAGAGAAUACCAUGUGGUAUCAGUGUUUUGUCUAAUUUACCUUCUAUAUAUUUGUUCACAAACAAAUUCAGCAAGACUAAUUGUGUGUCAAUGGACUCCUAUCAUUUCUUGUCGAAUUAUCCAUGUGAAGCCUUUGAGAUGUGUGAUAUGUAAUUAAUGUGAAACCAUUUCAAUUGAUUAUUGACUAGCGUCAAAGAGUUUCAAUUUAUUACUAACAACGUUUGAGACUCAAGAUGGGUAAUAUGUAAUAAACAUGAAAGUGCCUUAAUUAAUUGGUGGCAACUCUUGAAAAUUCUUUAUUGUAACUUUUAGUUUAAUUAAUUGAAUAAGAGAAAGUCACAUUAGUUAUUGGAUAUUGGAUUUUCUAUUUUUUUAUCGAUAUCAAAUGUAACUAAAUAUUCAAAACAUCAAGAAAAAACAUUAAACGAAAGUACAAUAUUACCCUUAUUAGUCAAGUGAGGGCCACGAAAUUAUUAAAAACCACACAUUUUUCGUUUUUACACAAGUUUUUCUUCCUGUCACAUUAUAGACUUUAGUGAUAUUGCUUUAAUUGGCUUUCGGGCUCUUUUCCUCCAACUCUUGCCACCCUCCUCAUCUUAUACCUCAUAAUCAAUCUUGGAUUCUUCAUAGUUGAUUUGAGAGAAUAUGGGGUGUAUCUUUUCACAUUCUUGCUCGACAUUUUUUAGGACGUCAAGAUUGUUCUCGCCUCUCUUCUUGGCCCAUCGUGGCCCAUAACUGCAUUGCAAUAAAAAUCAUAUGGAUUUGAUGUCCAAGCUGCCUUCUUGGCCCAUGGCCUGUGCAGAGAGUCAGACGCCACCUUAUCUUGUUUCUUCUUUGUUGGAAGACCCGAAUUGUAGUUUUGCACUCGAGUUAAGUGGAUUAUUUUUUAAGAGAGCAUUGUGCGGUAUCCGUGUUAUGACUAAUUACCUUCUAUAGAUGAAUUAACCAACAAUUUUGACAAGAAAAAUAGUAUGUUAAUGGACUCCAAAUCUUUCUUAUUUAAAAAAAAAAAAUUUACUUGCUCUAAACAAUUAUGUUUUAUGAAGUUGUUUCGAAAAAAUAUACAUAAAAUAAAUCCAUUGUAAAAAGUAUAAGGUAAUGAAAAAAAUAUACAUGGGGAUGUGUUAAACGGAAACAAUUAAGUUUUGAACCACUCUAGUAUUAUGAAAAUAUUUACUAGAUGACGUGCAUGUAUUGAUCAAUCGCGUAAUCACUUUUUAAGAGAAUACUGUGUGGUAUCCGUGUUAUAUCUAAUAUACCUUCUAUAGAUUUGUUAACAUAUAAAUUUAGCAAGAGAAAUUGUGUGUCAAUGUAAUCCUAAUGUUUCUUGUCGAAUUAUCCAUGUGGGACCUUUGAGAUGGGUAAUAUGUAAUUAAUGUGAAAUCGUUUCAAUUGAUUGUUGACGCGUCAAAGCAUUUUGAUUUAUUAGUGACGAGAUCUGUGGACCAUGAUGGGUAAUAUCUAAUAAACAUGGAAGUGCCUUAAUUAAGUGGUGGCGACUCUUAAAAAUCUUGUUAUUCAUACUUUGAGUUUAAUUAAUUAAAUAAGAGAAAGUCAUAUUAGUUAUCGGAUAAUGGAGUUUCUAUUUUUUUUUUAUCAAUAUCAAAUGUAACUAAAAUUUCGAAACAUGAAGAAAAUGCAUUAAAUUAAAGUACAAUAUUACCCUUACUAGUCAAAUUAAGGGCCACAAAAUUAUUAAAGACCACACAUUUUCAGUUUUUACUCAAGUUUUUCUUCCCGUCACAUAAAGACCACACUUUUCUUCCAACUCUCGCUACUCUCUUCAUCUUCUACCUUAUACUUCAUCUCGGAUUCUUCAUUGUUGAUUUGAGAGAAUGUGGAAUGUAUCAUUUGACGUUCUUGCUCGAUAUUUUUAGGGAUGUCAAGACUGUUCUUACCUCUCUUCUUGCCCCAUCGUGGUCCAAAACCCAAAUACUAGUAAAAUUCAUAAGGAUUUGAAGAGCCAAGAUGUAGUUUCAUACUUGAGAUAAGUGGAUUAUUUUUUAAGAGAGUACCGUGCGGUAUUUGGGUUGUUUCUGCAGAUGAAUUAACAAACAAAUUCGACAAGAGAAAUUGUGUGUUAGUAGACUCCUGCUUUGUUUAAUUAUAAUUUCUCUAAAAAAAAUUACAUUUUACGAAGUUGAUUCUAAAAAAAAUAUGCAUUGUAAAAAGUAGAAGUCAAUGAAAAAAACAUAGACAGACUUGUUAAAUAGAAUAUUGUAAUCUUGGAUCCAGUCUAGAAUUACAAAAACAUUUAGUGGAUCACGUAUAUCGAUUGAUCAAUGGCGUGGAUCAUGUUGAAAGAGAGUACCGUGCCCGUAUUACGUCCAAUUUACCUUAUAUAGAUAAAUUAACAAACAAAUUCUGCAAUAGAAAUUAUGCAUUACUGGACUAGUAACUUUUUUUUUUCCUUUUUUUCUUUUUUUUUUGAGUUAUACAUUCUCUAAAAAUUAUGCUUUACAACAUUUAUUCUAAAAAAAUUUACAUCAAACAAAUAUUUUAUAAAAAGUUGAAGUUAAUGAAAUAAAUUUAUGCAUAUGUGUUAAAUAUAAUCUCAUAAUCUUCGACCUACUCUAAAAUUACGAAAAUAUUUAGUGAAUUACGUGUAUUUAUUGAUCAAUGGCAUGGAUUCUUUUUAAGAGAGUAUCGUGCGGUAUCCGUGUUAUGGCUAAUUACCUUCUGUAGAUGAAUUAAAAGAAAAAAAUUGACAAGAAAAAUAGUGUGUUAAUGGACUCCUAACCAUUUUUUUAUUUGUACAUUCUCUAAAAAAAAAAAAAAAAAAAAAAUUCAUUUUACGAAAUUGUUUCAAAACAUAUACAUAAAAUAAAUCCUUUGUAAAAAGUAUAAGUUAAUGAAAACAAAUAUAUAGGGAUGUGUUAAAUGGAGGGAUCACUUUUUAAGAGAACCGUGUGGUAUCAAUGUUAUGUCUAAUUUACCUUCUAUAGAUUUGUUAACAAAUAAAUUCCUCAAGAGAAAUUGUGUGUCAAUGCACUCCUAACGUUUCUUGUGAAUUAUCCAUGUGAAACCUUUGAGAUGGGCAAUAUGUAAUUAAUGUGAAACCGUUUCAAUUGAUUAUUGACUAGCGUCAAAGAGUUUCAAUUUAUUACUGAAAAAAUCCGUGACCCAAGAUGGGUAAUAUAUAAUAAACAUGAAAGUGCCUUAAUUAAUGGUGGAAACUCUUAAAAAUUGCUUUAUUGUAACCUUUUAGUUUAAUUAAUUAAAUAAGAAAAUGUCACAUUAGUCAUCGGAUAAUAGAGUUUCUAUUUUUUUAUAAAUAUCAAAUGUAACUAAAUAUUCAAAACAUGAAGAAAAUGCAUUAAAGAAAAGUACGAUAUUACCCUUAUUAGUCAAAGUAAGGGCAACAAAAUUAUUAAAAACCACACAUUUUUAGUUUUUACACAAGUUUUUCUUCCCGUUACAUUACAGACUUUAGAGACCUUACUUAAUUGGCUUUCGGGCUCUUUUCCUCCCACUCUCUCUACCCUUCUCAUCUUCUACCUCAUACUCGAUCUUUGAUUCUUUGUUGUUAAUUUGACAGAAUGUGGGAAGUGUCAUUUCACUUUCUUGCGCAAUAUUUUUAGGGAUGUUAAGACUAUUCUUGCCUCUCUUCUUGCCCCAUCGCGGUCCAAAACCCCAACUACUAGUAAAAUUCAUAAAAAAAUUGAUGUCCAAGCUGCCUUCUUAGCCUGUGGCCCGUCCUGAUAGUUAGCCAUUACCUUGUCUUGUUUCUUCUUUGGUGGAAGUGCUGAGUUGUAGUUUUGCACUAGAGGUAAGUGGAUCAUUUUUUAAAUGGAGUACCAUUUAGUAUCCUUGUUAUGUCUAAUUUACCUUCUACUGAUGAAUUAACAAACAAAUUUGACAAGAGAAAUUGUGUUAAUAGACUUAAAAAAAAAAUUAAUUGUACAUUCUCUAAAAAAUUACACUCAACGAAACUGAUGCUAAAAAAUAUACAUUGUAAAAAGUAGAAGUUAAUGAAAAAAAUUUACACAGACUUGUUAAAUAGAAUCACGUAAUCUUUGAUCAAGUAUAGAAUUACAAAAAUAUUUAGUGGAUUAUUGAUCAAUGGCAUGGAUCAUGUUUUAAGAGUGUACCAGCUGAAACCCGUGUUACGUCAAAUUUACCAUCUAUAGAUAAAUUAACGAACAAAUUCUGCAAGAGAAAUUGUGUGUUAUUGGACUCGUAACUUUUUUUUUCAGUUAUAUAUUCUCUAAAAAAUUAUGUUUUACAAAAAUUAAUCUAAAAAAAUUUACAUCAAACAGAUAUUUUGUAAAAGUUGAAGUUAAUAAAAUAAAUAUGUGUAGAUGUGUUAAAUAUAAUCUCGUAAUCUUUGACCCACUCUGGAAUUACAAAAAUAUUUUGUGAAUUAUGUGUAUUUAUUGAUCAACGGCGUGGAUCACAUUUAGAAGAGUAUCGUAUGAUAUCCGUGUUUUGUCUAAUUUACCUUUUGUAGGUGAAUUAACAAACGAAUUCAGCAAAAGAAAUUGUGUACUAAUGGAUUCCGGACUUAUUUUGUUUUGUAAUUAUACAUUCUCUAAAAAAUUAUAUUUAAGAAAUAGAUUCUAAAAAAAUUUACAUAAAAAAAAAACACUUUCUACAAAGUAGAAGUUGAUAAUAUAUAUCAUAAUCUAUGACCCACUCUAGAAUUAUGAAAAUAUUUAGUGGAUUACAUGUAUUUAUUGAUCAACUGUGUGGAUCACUAUUAAAGAGAGUACCUUGCGAAAUCUGUGUUAUUUCAAAUUUACCUUCUAUAGAUGAAUUAACAAACAAAUUCAGCAAGAGAAAUUGUGUGUUAAUGGACUCCUAAGUUGUCGAAAUACCCAUGUGAAAACCUUCGAGAUGGUAAUACGUAACGAAUAUGUAACUGUUUCAAUUGAUUAUUGACUAGUUUCAAAGCAUUUCAAUUUAUUACUGAGGAAAUAUGUGACCCAAGAUGGGUAAUAUGUAACAAACACAAAAAUGCCUUCAUUAAUUUAUGGCAACUCUUAAAAAUUGUUUUAUUGUAACUUUUAGUUUAAUUAAUAAAAUAAGAAAAAGUCACAUAAGUUAUCAGAUAAUGUUGUUUCUAUUGUUUAUCAAUAUCAAAUGUAACUAAAUAUGCAAAACAUCAAGAAAAUGCAUUAAACGGAAGUACAAUAUUACCCCUGCUAGUCCAAGCAAGGGCCACAAAAUUAUUAAAAACCACAUAUUUAUAGUUUUUACACAUGUUUUUCUUCUCAUCUUCUACCUCAUACUCGAUCUUGGAUUCUUCAUUGUUGAUUUGAGAGAAUGUGGGGUGUAUCAAUUCACAUUUUUGCUUGACAUUUUUAGGGACGUCAAGAUUGUUAUUGCCUCUUUUCAUGUCCCAUCGUGGUCCAAAACCCGAAUAGUAGUAAAAAUCAUACGGAUUUGAUGCCCAAGAUGCCUUCUUAUCCCAUGGCCUGCAUUGAGAGUUAGCCGCAACCUUAUCUUGUUUCUUCUUUGCUGGAAGAGCUAAAUUAUAGUUUUGCACUUGAGGUAAGCGGAUUAUUUUUUAAGAGAGAAUCGUGCAAUAUCUGUGUUAUGGCUAAUUACAUGCUAUAGAUGAAUUAACAAACAAAUUCGACAAGAAAAAUCAUGUGUUAAUGAAUUCCUAACCUUUCUUCUUUUUUUAAUUGUACUUUCUCUAAAAAAUUACGUUUUACUAAAUUUUUUCAAGAAAAUAUACGUAAAUCAAAUCCUUUGUAAAAAGUAUAAGUUAAUUGAAAAAAAUAUAGGGAUGUGUUAAAUGGAAUAUAGUAAUCUUUGACUGACUCAAGAAUUAUGAAAAUAUUUAGUGGAUUACGUGUAUCUUUGAUCAAUUGCGUGGAUCACUUUUCAGGAGAAUACCGUGUGGUAUCCAUGUUAUGUCUAAUUUUCCUUCUAUUGAUUUGUUAAUUAACAAAUCCGGCAAGAGAUAUUGUUUGUCAAUGGACUCUUAACGUUUCUUAUUGAAUUGUCCAUGUGAAACCUUUGAGAUGGAUAAUAUGUAAUUAAUGUGAAACCGUUUCAAUUGAUUAUUGACUAGCAUCAAAGAGUUUCAAUUUACUAUUGACGACAACUGUGGCCUAAGACCCUUACUAGUCAAAGUAAGGGCAACAAAAUUAUUAUAAACCACACAUCUUUAGUUUACACACAUGUUUUUCUUCAUGUCACAUUAGAUACUUUAGUGACCUUACCUUAAUUGGCUUUCAGGCUCUUUUCCUCCAACUCUCGCCAACCUCCUCAUCUUCUACCUCAUACUCGAUCUCGAAUUCUUCAUUGUUGAUCUGAGAAAAUGUGGGGUGUAUCAUUUCACAUUCUUGCUUGAGAUUUUUAGGGGCGUCAAUAUUGUUUCGCCUCUCUUCAUGUCCCAUCAUGUUCCAAACCCAAAUAGUAUAAAAAUCAUACGGAUUUGACGUCCACACUGCCUUCUUGUCCAAUGGCUUGUGCUGAGAAUCAAUCGUAACCUUAUCUUGUUUCGUCUUUGCUGGAAGAGCCGAAUUGUAGUUUUGCACUUUAGAUAAGUGGAUUAUUUUUUAAGAGAGAAUCGUGCGAUAUCCGUGCUAUGGCUAAUCAUCUUCUAUAGAUGAAUUAACAAACAAAUUCAACAAGAAAAAUAGUGUGUUAAUGGACUCCUAACCUUUCUUCUUCUUUUUUUAAUUGUAAUUUCUCUAAAAAAUUAUGUUUUGCUAAAUUGUUUCGAGAAAAUAUGCAUAAAAUGGAUCCUUUGUAAGAAGUAUAAGUUAAUAAAAAAAAAAAAAAAAUAUAUAUAUAUAUAUAGUAACCUUUGACCUACUCAAAAAUUAUUAAAUAUUUAGGGGAUUGAGCGUAUCAUUGAUCAAUCGCGUGGAUCAAUUUUUAAGAGAAUACCAUGUGGUAUCCAUGUUGUGUCUGAUUUACCUUCUAUACAUUUGUUAACAAACAAAUUUGGCAAAAGAAAUUGUGUGUCAAUGGACUCCUAACAUUUCUUGUCAAAUUAUCCAUGUGAAACCUUUGAGAUGGUAAUAUAUAAUUGAUAUGAAACUGUUUCAAUUGAUUAUUGACUAGCGUCAAAGAGUUUCAAUUUAUUACUGAGACAAUUGUGACCCAAGACCCUUCCUAGUCAAAGGGCCACAAAAUUGUUAUAAACCACACAUUUUUAGUUUUUACAUAUGUUUUUCUUCCCUUCACAUUAGAGACUUUAGUGACCUUACUUUAAUUGGCUUUGUGCUCUUUUCCUCCAACUCUCGCCACCCUCCUCAUGUUAUACCUCAUACUUAAUCUCGGAUUCUUCAUUUUUGGUUUGAGAGAAUGUGGGGUGUAUCAUUUCACAUUCUUGCUCGACAUUUUUAGGGAUGUCAAGACUGCUCUUGCCUUCGUUCUUAUUUGUCGCGGUCCAAAACCCGAAUACUAGUAAAAAAUCAUAUGGAUUUUGAAAAUUCACAGGGAACGCUCUAAUAACGCUUGAAAAAUCACCUAAUGCGUUGCAACAUCAAAUUCAAAAUUUAAGCUUACCAAGUUUACGUUCCAAUUAACAAUUAUUCGACCUUACUGCGAAAUUACUAAUAUAAGCAACAAGUCACUUAUUAUUAGUCGUCUAGGUGGUUAAACAAUCAAGUUCAAUUAAUUCCUAAGGUUGAAUUGCCGAUUUGUAAUGCAUAAAGUAAAUAAAACAAUAAAAAUAUAACUUACGAUAUGAUGAUGGAGAAAUCCUAACGUGGAUAAAACUCCGGAACCAAGCCAGUGACUUCCACUAUUCCAAUUCAGCAAGUGCAAGUUCCCAAAUUCCGUACCCAAUCAGAUCCGCUGUUCUAAUCUCACGAUCUACUGCCGUAGAUGCAACUAGCCUCUUACUAGAUUUCCCGAUCUACCUUCUGCAGCCCAAUCUGCUGUCUACUACAGCCUCCUGGUUCUUAGCUGAUUGUAUCACCAAGUGAAAUUUCAAGAACCGUCUGUUCUUGUCCAAUUCACUGCGCUUGUCGUUCACCUCUCUCAAUCCCCAAUGAGAGAGUCCCUUCCUUACAAAAUUAAGGAAGCACCGGUGUUUUGUCUUCAAGACCUUUGAUUUUUUCUACUGAAACAAUGGUUGUCGGAUCACAAGAGUGAUAUAGAUGGAACCAUCAAUUAAUUUAGCCUUGGAUCACUUCGAUAAUAAAAUGGAUGUUAUGAAGAUGAAAGCUCAAUGUUGCAACCACGGCCGCCGACUUUAUUUAUUUAAGAGUUCAAUUCCAGCUUCCUUAAAUUUAGUCGCAAAUUUGCCCAACUUGUGUGAGAACAAGAUUCAAUUCCCAGAUUUUUUAACUCUCUAGAUCACAAGAUGCUAGCACCAAAGUAUGUAUAUAAACAAUAUAAUUCAGCCCCCAGUCGGCAGUCCACUUGUCCUUCAAUUCUCUCAAAAUUGUUGCCAAUAAUGUUAUGUUUGUAUAUAUAUAAAUUCAACAGCUCGUCAGCCCUUCAAUUCUGUAAUUUAACCCCCCCAAUAUGUGUAUAUAUAUCUUAGAAUUCAGCAAAUGCAGCCUCCAAAAUUAGUCGUUUAUAUUUGUAUGUUUUGCUCCAGUUUCCUCUUCUUUCGGCCCAAAAAGAUAGCCUCCAUUUUGGUACGAAUAUAUAUGUUGAAAUUCAGUAGCUUGCCUCAAUUCUUGACCAUUCAAAGUAGCUCCAAGUGCUAUAUAUUGUGUUUGCAAAUUAUUCCGAAGGCCGCCUCAAAUUCCUUGUUCCUAAUUUUGUCUCCUCAAUAGCAACCGCCCAAUUUGAUUCACAAAAUUGUCUUUGCAUGCAUGUGAAUAUAGACAAUUAAAUUCAGUAGCUUGCCAGCCCUUUUCUGCCUCAAUUUUCGUGUAUAUUUAUGGCACAAUUUCAGUACCACCACUUUUUUUAAUUCCUCCAAAGAGCAGCCAGCUGUUCUUAAUUCUUCCAAGCUGCUGUCGGUGUAUGUAUGUGUGUGUGUGUGUGUGUAUUGGCUGCUCUCCCUUUUCAGUUCACCUGCAUGUCUAUAUAAAUAGACUUUGACUUAUGGGCCAUAAUUUUCCAAGCUCAAACCCUAGCCCAACUCAAGUUGCACUUCAUGCCUUGACUUUUAGACAUGUUUAAUUAAGUCCUAUUUUGUUCAUAGAAUGCUAAUUACAAUUAAAAACCAAACAAUCUCCCUCUUUGGCAUUCUGUGACAAUUAUACAAAUUCAAGUCAAGGGAUUACAAUCAAUUAAAACAACCUAAACUACCCAAAAUUCGAAUCACCGAGUCUUGCAUUCCUUGUUGUACCUAUUUCCUGAAAUCUAAAAACUCACAUACCCAGUGUACAAGAACGUGAUAUAGAAAAUAUAAAAACUAAAGCACUUAAUCACAAUUCAACAUGCUAGUUUGAGACGUGACAUUGAUACUAAUCAAAAUACCAACCGAAACACCAAUAUUACUAAACAUCAAAACUCAACAGCAAUGGAUAUGAUAUGGAAUGCAAUGCAAUGCAACGCUCUCCCUUAUUGCAAACUCUCAUAAAUGUUAUGCAGUAAAUCAAUGUAUCUAUGUCUUCUCCUCAGUUAUACUUUUCUCUCCCCUUUUUGUCACAAAUGCUGAAAGGUAUUGUGUCAAGUACAAUCUGAGCAAUAACACAUAAUAACUGAAAAACGUAGAUGAUAGCAUACAAAAGUCAAAUCAAUAAGUUAUAGACCUCCCCACAUACUCAUUUUAGAUCAGAAUGGAGUAAAAAGUGUACAAAUCCAAUGCAAGCAGGACUCCAAACCUUAAAUUUGUGAGAAAAGCCAUGCUAAUCAUUGCCAAUAAGUGUAUUCUCCUACUAAUGAAAGUCUAACCAUGUAACGUGUAGUAGGAUCUAUACUUAAUUAAUUUUUACUUAUCUCCCUCUACUAUGAGCUUUUAUAUUUUUCAGAUUUUCAUAUUAUUCCAGCUCUUCAUAUUUUUCUCAUUUUUCUAGCUCAUUAAUUUUUCAUCUUAAGUGCAGGUUCUUCUCCAUUAGGCAACUAAGAUGACCCUGUACCGAGUUUUAGGCCGGUUAACCCAAGUCAGUUGACCAUAGGCACCAGGUUUUAAGUGACCCCGCAGGCUUAAUUGCUCGAAUCAAAUAGGCCCAAUUGCUCGAAUCAAAUAGGCCCCGAAGAAAAACAUAAAAAUAUGAGCUUUCAUAUAAUGCGGGAAUUAUUUUUGGGUUUAGGUCUACUAAAUAUAGGUUAAUUGAUGUCCAAAGUCACCCUAUUAAUAUGUGACAGCCAUCCCAAAUCUCACACACACAGUAGAGUCCCACUAACAAAUUCAUAGUAAGUGCAGUACAGGUGGUACAUGAAGACACCUAUACUAAGUACUUCAUGAUGAUCUAAUCAAGCAAUGGAAAUAAUGCUACAACUUAUCCAUUUUAGCUCAUACACUGUCACAACAUACAAGUUCAGAAUUAUAUAUCAUGCUGUAGAAAUUUCCAUUUUUUUUAAUUUUUGUUUUGAAUAUUUUUUAACAUGAAUGCGCCACACAGUUGUGUCACUUGAAUUUUUUUUUUUUAAUUUUAUAUGAUGAGACUAAAAACAUAUGAAAAAGACAAAUGUAAACAAAAUAAACAUGCAAUGAAAUGAAUGCAAAAAGGAACAUUCAGGUGAGCUGAACAUGAAUGUUCCUAUAAAACUAGUCAAGGAGGUACAUAAAUACCAACAGCCUUCCUAAGUAACUCAAACCUCAUACCAUCUAAAGAUUUAGUGAAAAAAUCUACAAGCUGAUUUUCUGUAGCAAUGUGUUUAAGGGAUACCACAUUGGACUCAACAAGUUCACGAAUGAAGUGAUGACGAAUAUCAAUAUGUUUAGUCCUAGAGUGUUGAACAUGAUUUUUGGAGACGUUGAUAGCGUUGGUGUUAUCACAAAACACGGUCAUGGUGCCCUAAUUUAUCCUAUAAUCACUCCACAUUUGCUUUAUUCAAAGCAAUUGAGUGUAGCAGUUACCAGCUGCAAUGUAUUCUGCCUCGGCUGUAGACAGAGAAACUGAGUUUUGUUUCUUACUCAUCCGUGACACAAGAUUAGAACCAACAUAGAAGCAUCCACCCGAGGUACUCUUCCUAUUAUCGGCAUUUCCAGCCAAAUCAGCAUCAGAAUAGACUACGAGUUCAAGAUUUGACUCUCUGGAAUAUAAAAUCCCAUGAUUUACAGUCCCUUUUACAUACUUAAUGAUACCUCUCACUGCACUCAAAUGGGAUUCCUUAGGAUCUACCUGAAAUCUCGCACAUGCUCCAACACUGAAAGCUAUGUCAAGUCUACUGGCUGUAAGGUAGAGUAAGCUACCUAUCAUACUCCUAUACAAUGUCUGAUCAAUACUUCUGCUCAUAGGAUCAUGACCUAACUUAGCACUCGUGCUCAUAGGUGUCCUUGUGUGUUUUUACUGUCAGUCCAAAUCACUUAACUAGGUCUUUGCCAUACUUUGAUUGAGAGAUAAACAACCCAUAGUCAGUUUGCUUUAGUUGAAGGCCAAAGAAGUAACUUAGCUAUCCAACCAUGCUUAUUUCAAAUUCUUGUUUCAUACAUUCAACAAAUUCAUAAGCAAGAGAGUCAAUGGAAAAGCCAAACACAAUAUCAUCGACAUAGAUCUAUGCUAUAGUUAUGGUUUCUUCAAUAUGUCUAAUGAAUAGAGUUCUAUCUACACCACCUCGUGAAAAACCAUGGUCAAUGAGAUAUAAAGUGAGUGUAUCAUACCAAGCUAUAGGAGCUUGUUUCAGACCAUACAAGGCUUUAUUCAAUUUGUAGACAUAAUGGGGAAACUUAGAAUCGAUGAAUCCUUUGGGCUGUUCAACAUAUGCCUUUCCUUGAAGUAUUUCAUUCAAGAAGGCACUCUUGAUAUCCAUUUGAUACAGUUUGAACCCUAAAGAAUGAUGUGAAUGGACUCAAGACGUGCAACAGGGGCAAAUUUCUCAUCAAAAUCUACCCUUUCAUCCUGAGUAUACCCAUAAGCAACUAGCCUAGCCUUAUUUCUCAUUAUGGUACCCUAGUCAUCGAUUUUGUUCUUGAAAAUCCACUUAGUAUCUAUCAAAUUGCAAUCUUCAGGUCUAGGCACUAGAUACCAAACAUUGUUUCGAACAAAUUGAUUAAGCUCCUCAUGCAUUGCAUUCACCCAAAAUUCAUCUCUAAGAGCUUCCUCAACUUUCUUAGGCUCAAUCUGGGAUACAUAGCUUGUAUAGGUUAGGUUAUUCAGAACUCUCUUUCUUUACCUCAUACCUUCAUCUAGAUCCCCAAUGAUGUUGACCUUAGGAUGGUUAGAUUUGACCCUGGAUGAUGGUUCUCUAGGAAACUUAGUUUGUUUACUAGGUGAAGGAUCCUUAAUAGAAAUGUCUAUGCCGUUGGGGGACCGUGGAGAUUUUGGAAUUGAUUGUUCUUUAUCCUCAGUUGUGGGUCCUUGAUCAUCACUUAGAUAAGCUAAAUCUACCACAUUUUCAACACUCUCACCCUUAGAGAAAGCAUCAUCAUCAACAACAUUUAUAGACUCCAUGACACUCUGAGUACGCAAGUUGUAUACUCGAUAGGCUAUACUGUUCCUAGAAUAUCCUAGAAAAACCCCUUCAUCACUUUUGUAAUCAAACUUACCUAAGUUUUCUCUAUCCCUCAUAAUGAAACACUUGUUGCCAAACACAUGAAAGUAUUUAACAGUAGGCUUCUUACCCUUCUAGAUCUCAUAAGGAGUCCUAUCAGUUUUUAGUCUCAGGUAUACUCUGUUCACUAUGUGGCAAGCAGUGUUAAUAGCUUCACACCAGAAAUGGAUUGCUAGAUCCUUGUCGUGAAGCAUGGCUCUAGCCAUUUCCUGAAGCACUCUAUUUUUCCUCUUGACAACCCUAUUUUAUUGUGGACUGAUUGGUGAGGAGAACGCAUGCUAAAUCCCCUCUUCCAAACAUAAGUUUUCAAGAUUAGAGUUUUCAAACUCUUUUCCAUGAUCACUUUAAACCCUAGAAAUGGAAAGAUUUUGUUCAAUUCUGAGUCUUUUACACAAGGAUUUAACCAGAUCACAAGUCUCAGAUUUUUCUCUUUGUAGCUCAAUCCAGGUGUAUCUAGAAAAGUCGUCUACCACAACAAGAAUAUAACGUUUACCUCAUAGGCUCUCAAUCCUAGAAGGUCCCAUUAAAUCCAUAUGGAGAAGUUCUAAGGGUCUGUUUGUCAAGAUUUUGGAUGUUUGUUUAUGGUUUAUCCUAAAUUGUUUUCCUUGUUGACACGGCUUGUACACAGCAUUUUCAUUUUGUUCAAUUUUAGGUAAACCAUCAACAAUUUUCUUUUUGACCAAUUUUGACAUGUUUUUAUAGUUAAUAUGGCCGAAUUUUUGAUGCCAAAGUUCAGUCAUAUUAAUUUUAGCACUACUGCACACAUAGUUAGAGUUUGGGAAAACUCCAUAACAGUUAUCAGACGUUCUAACACCUUCAAGGACAACACGACCUGAAAAGUCAUAAAUAGCACAUCUCUUUUGAACAAAACUCACUUCAUAGUCAGCAUCACAAAUUUGACUAAUGCUCAAUAGAUUGGACUUAAGACCCUCUACAUAAAGCACAUUAGAUAUAGUAGGAAGUCCAGAUAUGUUGAUGGUGCCUUUAUCAUGGAUAGGUGUCGUAGCUCUGUCUCCAAAGUUAACUACACCAAUGUUGUAGUCAUCAACGGUCAAAAAUAAGGCCUUAUUACCACAUACGUGUCUAGAACAAGCACUAUCAAGAUACUACAUAUAUGUAUUUUGAGCCUUCUAUGCAACAUGAGCUACAAAACAAUUUAAAUUCUCAUAAUACCUACCCACAUCAGAUUUCUUGGCCCAAACUUUUCUAGAGGUUGAGGUGAUCCUAGUCAAUUUUAUCACCAUCUCAGUUUAAGUGACUAACCUGAUUUGAAAGGAAGUUUACUUGACUAGGGAUAUCCUGACUUCUAUUCCUAUUUGCUAGCUUAUGACACCUAGGUCUCGUGUGUCCUAAAGCACCACAAUGAUGACAAUUGGGUUUGAACCUAGGCUCAAAUGCAUGUGAUUUGUUGGUGCUGAAAUUUUGGUGUGGAAAUCUUACGGGCUCUAGUGAUGUUCAGUUCAGUGACACUCUUAUUUUUGGAUUCACGAUUGAUUGAAAUACUAGAAUUGUUGGAAGCAGGCAUGAAUGUGGUCUUGGAUGAACUACUCACAUUGCUAUCACUCUUUUCAAAUCCUAGACCUUGCCUAUUUCCAGCUGGUUUGUUCAUUCCUAACAGGUCGUCUAGUUUCUUAGUCCUACUCAUAAAAGACUAUAGUUGAGUAAUAGAUUUCUCUAACUCACAAGUUAGUGUCUUAACCUUGUUCUCUAACUUCUCAUUGACACACUUCAACUUACUAUGGUUUUUAGAUGAGACCUGAAGAUCACUAGUGAGUCUCUUUUUCUAUCUCUUUAGCUCGUCUACCUUUUAAAAUAGGGCCUUAUUUACAUUUUUUAAUCUUGAGGCUCUCCUUAAACAGAAGUUGAUAAGCCUCAUGUAUAUCCAUCUCAUCCUCAAUAUCGUCAUUAAACUUCUCACUCUCUACAUCCUCCUCAACCUUCUCGCUGUCCUUAUCUGACUCACUCUUAACUGUAGACACAAAAGCUAUAUACCCCUUUUCAUCUUCACUGUUAGAGGAAUCACUUUAAUCACUUGAGCUUGAAUCAUCACCAGUCAAUGACAAAGCUAAUGGCUUACUCCUUCCUUUCUUCAGAUUUUUCUUAAAGCUAGGACAUUCAUUCCUAUAGUGCCCAAAUCCUUGACACUCAUGGCACCUAACAACUUGAGAUUUCUUACUAAAAUUCCUAGCAGUUGGUUUAUCACUUCUCUUUUUGAAAUUUACUGGGGGCUUCUCUCUUUUUGUCUUGGGGCCAUCUCUUGCCCUUUAAAGCUUUCUGGAACUUCUUUACGAAAUAAGCUAUUUCCUCAUCUCUAAGGGUUUCUAUAUCAGAUGACUCAGACUCUUCUUCUCUAACCCUGUUUAGCGCAAUGGACUUGUUUUUCUUAGGUUGUGAGAUGGUGAGUUCAUAGGUUUGAAGGGAUCCUACAAGUUCUUCUAUCUUAACUGUGUCCAGAUCCUUACUCUCUUCAAUAGCUGUAACUUUAGGUCUAAAUCUCUCGGGCAAAGACCUAAGAAUCUUUCUCACAAUUUUUUACUCGAGAAUCUUUUCACCUAGGUUGAAACUAGAGUUUACGAUGUCAUUUAAUUUUGCAUAAAACUCAUCAAACGAUUCAUCAUCCUUCAUCCUGAUUUCUUCAAACCUAGAGGUUAGCAUUUGCAAUUUUCAAUUUUUUACGAUUUUAGUUCCCUCAUGCGUAGUCUCUAGAAUGUCCCAUACCUCUUUAGCAGUUUCACACAUUGACACUCUCCUAAAUUCUUCGGGAGACACGGCCAUAAACAAGGCAUGAAGUCCUUUGCUAUUCCAAUUGCAAUCAGCUAAUUCUUCCUUAGUCUAAAGUAAAGUAUCAGUUAGAUUGACAACAUUUGACACAGUUGUAGAAGGAGGUUUCCAACCAUUUUAUACACUCACCCAAACAUGUUCAUCUAAAGAUUUAAGAAAAGCACGCAUCCUACCUUCCAGUAGGCAUAGUUGCUUCCGUCAAAAUACGGAGGCACAGAUAGUGAUCGACUCAUCUAGACAACAAUGGGUUAGGACUCGAGUUUUGGCUCUGAUACCACUUGAAAAUUCAUGGGGAACGCUCUAGUAGCGCUUAAAAAGUCACCUAACGCGUUGCAACGUCAAAUUCAAAUUUUAAGCUUACCAAGUUUACCUUCCAAUUAACAAUUAUUCGACCUUACUGUGGAAGUACUAAUAUAAGCAACAAGUCACUUAUUAUUAGUCGUCUAGGUGGUUAAACAGUUCAAUUAAUUCCUAAGGUUGAACUGUCGAUUUGUAAUGCACAAAGUAAAUAAAACAGUAAAAACACAACUCACGAUAUGAUGACGGAGAAAUCCUAACGUGGAUAAAACUCCGGGACCAAGCCAGUGACUUCCACUAUUCCAAUUCAACAAGUACAAGUUCUUAAACUCCGUACCCAAUUAGGCCCGCUGUUCUAGUCUCACGAUCUAUGUCGUAGAUGCAACUAGCCUCCUGCUAGAUUUCCUGAUCUACCUCCUGCAACCCAAUCUGCUGUCCACUACGACCUCCUAGUUCUCAGCUGAUUGUAUCACCAAGUGAAAUUUCAAGAACCGCCUGUUCUUGUCCAAUUCACUACGCUUGUGGUCCACUUCUCUCAAUCCCCAAUGAGAAAAUCCCAUCCUUACAAGAUUAAGGAAGCACCGGUGUUUUGUCUUCAAGACCUUUGAUGUUUUCCACCGAAACAAUGGUUGCUAAAUCACAAGAGUGAUAUAGAAGGAACUAUCAAUUAAUUUCAUCUUGGAUCACUUCGAUAAUAAAAUGGAUGUUAUGAAGAUGAAAGCUCAAUUUUGCAACCAUGGCCGCCGACUUUAUUGAUUGAAGAGUUCAAUUCCAGCUUCCUUAAAUUCAGCCACAAAUCUGCCCGAACUUGUGUGAGAACAAGAUUCAAUUCCCAGCUUUUUAACUCUCUAGAUCACAAGAUGCUAGCACCAAAGUAUGUAUAUAAACAAUAUAAUUCAGCCCCCAGCCGGCAGUCCACUUUUCCCUCAAUUCUCUCAAAAUUGUCACCAAUAAUGUUGUGUGUGUAUAUAUAUAAAUUCAGUAGCUCGUCAGCCCUUCAAUUCUCUAAUUUAAGCUGCCAAUAUAUAUCUUACGAUUCGGCAAAUGCAGCCUCCAAAAUCAGCCGUUUAUAUUUGUAUAUUUUGCUCUAGUUUCCUCUUCUUUUGGCCCAAAAAGACAGCCUCCAUUUAGGUGCGAUUCAAAGUAGCUCCAAGUGCUAUCUAUUAUGUUUGCAAAUUAUUCCCAAGGCUGCCUCAAAUUCCUUGUUCCCAGUUUUGUCUCCUCAACAGCAACCGCCCAAUUUGAUUCACAAAAUUGUCUUUGCAUGCAUGUGAAUAUAGACAAUUAAAUUCAGCAGCUUGCCAGCCCUUUUCUGCCUCAAUUUUCGUGUCUAUUUAUGGCACAAUUUCAGCACCACCACUUUUUUUAAUUCCUCCAAAGUAGCUGCCUUUUUGUGAUAGUAUACGUGUAUAUAUCUUAGCAGCCGACCGUUCUUAAUUCUUCCAAGCUGCCGUCGACGUAUAUAUGUAUAUAUUUUGGCUGCUCUACCUUUUCAGUUCAUCUGCGUGUCUAUAUAAAUAGACUUUGACUUAUGGACCAUAAUUUUUCAUGCUCAAACGCUAGCCCAACUCAAGUAUACAAUAUUGCACUUCACGCCUCGACUUUUAGACAUGUUUAAUUAAGUCCUAUUUUGUUCAUAGAAUGCCAAUUACAAUUAAAAACCUAACAGAUUAGAUGUCCAAGCUGCCUCCUUUGCCCAUGGCCUGUGCUGAGAGUCAAUCUCCAUGUUAUCUUGUUUUUUCUUUGUUGGAAGAGCUGAAUUGUGGUUUCGCACUUGAGAUAAGUGGAUUAUUUUUUAAGAGAGUAUCAUGUAGUAUCUGUGUUAUCGCUAAUCACCUUCUAUAGAUGAAUUAACAAACAAUUUCAACAGGAAAAAUAGUGUGUUAUACCUUCUAUAGAUAUGUUAACAUACAAAUUCAGCAAGAGCUAUUGUGUGCCGAUGGAUUACUAACGUUUCUUGUCGAAUUAUCGAUGUGAAACCUUUGAGAUGGGUAAUAUGUAAUUAAUGCGAAACCAUUUCAAUUGAUUAUUGACGAGCGCCAAAGCUUUUUGAUUUAUUGGUGAUGACAUCUAUGGGUAAUAUGUAACAAAUAUGAAGGUGCCUUAAUUAAUUGGUGAACUCUUUAAAAUCUCUUUAUUUUAUUUUUCAGUUUAAUUAAUUAAACAAGAAAAAGUCACAUUAGUUAUCAGAUAAUGGAAUUCUACUUUUUAUCAAUAUCAAAUGCAACUAAAAUUUUGAAACAUGAAUAAAACGCAUUAAAUUAAAGUACAAUAUUACUUUUGCUAGUCAAAUUAAGGGCCACAAAAUUAUUAAAGACCACACACUUUUAGUUUUGCCACAAGUUUUUCUUCCCGUCACAUAAAAGACUUUAGUGACCUUGUUUUAGUUGACUUUCAGGCUCAUUUUCUACAACUCUCGCAACCCUCUUCAUCUUCUACCUCAUACUCCAUCUCGGAUUCUUCAUUGUUGAUUUGAGAAAAUGUAGGGUGUAUCGUUUGACGUUUUAGUCAUGCACCAGUUUUAACAAUUCUGGAAGAAUUGAAGGUUUUGUGAUCCACGGCAAUACAUCUAAGCAAUGCUUAGUGUGUGUCCCAAUGCACCAUGGAAAGGUGGUUGCUUAUGCUUCAAGAUAAUUAAAGCAAUGAUGAGUGCAAUUUAGACACUUAUUUAGACUAUUUUAUUAAACUUUUACGUCGUCAAAUAAUUUAUUUGUAUCUAACUUAGAUUAAUUUUCAUUUUGUUUUUAGUGACAAACCCGUUUGAAGCAAUUGGGAAGGAUGAAGAACAAAUUGGCUAUUUGACGAGAAAUUUGAAGAUCAAAUUGCACACUUUGAAAGUGGAGGACAUGAAGAAAAUAAUAAAUUAAAUGGGCCUAAGUUUUGAACUUAAAUUUGGAUUCAUAUUUAUUAACCAAUUGGAAUCCUGUUUUACCCGAGAAAGUGAGCUUGUCCAAUUAAUUUCACCAAGUUUAAUUGGGUUGCAAAAAUACAAAAAGGGUGCCUGUUUUAGUGUAUAUAUACCCACAGAAACACGUGAAAAGAAAAAAAAAAAAAAAACUGUCAAGCAAGGAGAGACUAACCUAUAGAGAACAAAAACCGGCAUAUAUACAAGCUACUGCCGGCAGGGAACGAGAAAAAGAAGAUCAAUUGGAAUUCCACCUCAAUUAGGGGACUUUAGGUGGCUGAAAGAUAAAGAUAUAUACAGCUUACGCACAAGAAAAGAGGGGAAUUGCUGGGAAGUUAAUUUGGGGCUGACUUUGAUUCGUUUGCCGAACAAUUCACGCACCCAAGCAGCCAGCUGAUGGAAAUUAGGCAGCUGCAUUGGAGUUUCUGGAAAGAAUACUGGGCGGCUACUGUUGGAAAAAUAAGGUGGCAGCUUAGGAAAUUAUUGAGAGAUACACACAAUUAAAAGGCAGUUGUUGUAAUGUCCCAAAAAUUCAUAAAAUAGAAUUUAAGUUAUGUGUGCUAUAUUUUAAUAUUUCAAAAAAGUUAGGGACUAAAAUGUAUAUAGCAAAUUUCAAUUUCAUUUGGGUUAAAAUGUAGAUAUUGACGGAGUAAUAAUUUGUAUAUGAAUAUUGGGUUCGUUGGAUAGAUCGUAAUUAAUCAUGCAUGUUAGGCUCAAGAAAAAGUUGAUUUGGAUAAUUUAAGCCUAAGAUAUUGACAUUUAAAGAAAUUAAUGUUUUAUAGUAUUUUAAUUAAUUUAAUGGGUAUUUGUCUUUGAGCCUUCCACUUGCUUAGUGUUAAAUCCAUCCUAAUCACAAAUAAUAUAUAUUAUAACUUUCCACCACCAGCCACGUUUCACGUUCAUAAGAAAUGUUUAACUGUCUUCGUAAAUUAUUUGGAUAAGUUUAUCAUUUGAGGCCUUUAUCCAAGUUCCUUGUGGCACACGUUUUCACCACUCUAGAAUUCUAUUUGCACCAAAAUACUCCACACAGCAUAUGUAAAUGUAGGACGUCAGUUUCAAAUUGGGGAUUGUUUCCAGCAUAAAUAAUGAACAAAAAGGGUCCCGAAAGACAGUUUUCACUCUAAGGCAGCCAAGAAAAAAAUUACAAGAUUUGGAACGUAAUUUUGGAUUUCUUCUUUCAAGAAUUUAUUCAAUCUUACGAAGUAGGAUUACGAUGUGCAAGUGGUUCGUCUCGUUUAAAUUAUUUCUUCAUGUUGAUAAAUGUUAUACUCAUGAAAAUUAUGAUAUGAUUAUGAUAUUUUGAAAUGGCAACCCGGUACCAAAGAGAUGAUAUGAUAUGAUAUGACAUGAGCUCUUACCAAUUCUAAAGAUAUGAUAUGACGGUAUGAUAUUUUUGACGCGUGAUUUAAUACUUUUAAUCGGGAUUGCAUGAUUACUCGUAUCCUACUGAGUAUUUCCAUGUACUCACAAUUUUUCCUACUCCUCACAGAUUAGAACGGGUUGUUGGUUGGCGGGCGGUGCGGUGGAAUUGUGAUGCCAGAAAUUAUGGAAUUCAAGAUAAAUAAAUUCUGAGUAACAUGAUUAGGAAGUUUUAUUUAUUUAUUUUUCUUUGCGUUAUUUCAGUUUUAUUUUCAUGUUAAAUUUGAAAUUUAAUGUUUGAAACAUGGUUCAGUUAAUAAUGUUUUCCAUAGAAUGUUUGACAUCAUUUAUUUAAUUAUGAAAUAAAUGUUUUUGGUAACGAUUCCAAAUCUUUAAAUUUUGGGUCGUUACAGUUGCUUGGAGAUUGAUUUACACACUAAUUAGGGGACAAAGGUGACGAUUGAAUUGGGCAUAAAUUUGAGAAAUAAACACGCAAAUUGAAGGGAAUUUUGAAGAAACAGCACGGCCACGACAGAUUCACUUUGAGAAAAUUAAUAAUGCUCCGUCAAUUGGUGAUCUCCUUCCACUUUUAUGUGUUUAAUUCCAACGAUAUGUUAGGCUAGAUCUUUUUAUGUAUUGGAUGGAUGACAAAAUUGUUUAAUUCUAAGUUUUAAUUCAAGACCUAUGUUUUUAUGUUAAUUCUUGCAUUGUGAUUUCAUUAAUAUUCAUAAUUAGAUUAUUUUAAUAUUUGCGCACCAUUAGGACAAUAAGUUGCUUAUUCGUAGUGUUGGAAAACUCACGGUAGGUAGAACACUGUUGAUGGAACAUACGGGCAAUAAAUGUUAGGAAUAAUAUUUGUGGCCUGUGCAAUCUUAUGUGAUAAUCCUAAAUGUCAAUGCAUGUUUGUCAUAUAAAUUCGGACUAGGAAUAGAAUCGUCUUGUGGUAACCAUAAGUUUAUUAUAUUUUGGGAAAGAAUAAUAAAUAAAAGUGGAAUUCUCGAUCGUCGCAGUUGCAUGAAUUAAGAUAAUUAUUAUUGGUUGGGAAUUAGAACUAAGAAUUGAUCAAUGGCGUCGGAAAUCCAAUAUGUUCACACACUUGAUUGUUUUUAAAAACCAAAUUUCAUUGAUUUCAUAAGUUUUAGUUAUUAAAAAAAAUAGUUAGUUAUUCAUCAAUCGUCUUUCGAUUAUAAACAUGAAUUUAAAUAUAUUAAAUAUACUAGAAUUAAUCCUUAUUCCCUGUGGGACGAUAACUCUCUCAUCACAAUUAUUACUUGUACAACGAACUUGUACGCUUGCGGAAUUUUGACGAUCAAGUUUUUGGCACUGUUGCUGGGGAAUAACGGUGUUAAUUUUAGUUAUUAGAUAUUUUAGAUUCGUUUUUAUUUUUAUUUUUUUAUUUUUAUUUUAUUUUUAGUUGCUGUUUUUAGGCUACAUUAAACUUUUUAGGAUACUUCAAUUUAUGCAAAAUCUUGACUAGCCAAAUCUCUUUCUGAUAGACCACGAAAUUGAAAGGAUAUUCAGAAAUCGUAGAAGAGUUCAAUGUCAAGCAAGGAGAAUGGUUGAUAACUAAAAUCAACUGUAGAAUCAAGUUCAGCUUCACGAGCCAAUACUACAGCCAAAUCAAUAGAGAGCCAUCCAGAAUGAAGCUCCUGUCUUAGUUGGAGAUUACGUCAAUCCAAUUCCCACACCAGUGCAACCUGCUGUGGUAUAUCUUUCCUUCGAACAACCUAAUUUUCACCUUAGACCAGAUGUCAUCAAUCUGUUUCAUAAUCACCAAGACAUCCGGUUCUUUGGAAAAGCCACGGAAAAUCCUCAUGAGCAUAUUUCUGCUUUUCUCAUUUUAUAUGAAGUGAUCAGUCAUGAAGGGAUAUCAACAGAUACAUUCCGAAUGAGAUUAUUUCCUCAUACCUUGAAAGAUGCUGUUAGAGAAUGGUUUCUAAGUUUACCACCAGGGAGCAUUCAAUCAUGGGGCGAUAUGGUUCAAAAAUUCACGAUGAAAUUCUUUCCACCUUCUCAAGUUAACCAAAUUAGGAAUGACGUCCACACCUUCAAGCAAAAAGAUCUCGAGAGCUAUCCUGAGGCAUGGGAGAGGUUCAAGAAUUUUUCCAAAAAAUGCCCCAGCCUUGACAUUCCCAAGCAGGCUCAGCAUUAUCUUUUCUACCACGGUCUAAAACAAGAGUUCAGAAAUAUGAUAGAUGCUUCAGCAGGAGGAUCAUUGAUGAAACUUGAUGUGGAUGAGGCAUAUGACCUGUAUGAAAAAAUAGCUAAAAAUCAAUCGAUGUGGCCAACUAAUAGGGAAGCUCCAAGGAAAACAUCAGGGUUACACAACGUGGAUACAGUGACAACACUGACCGUGCAAAUGGAAAUUCUUACAAUGAAAAUGGACAAUCUAUCUAAGUCAGUCAACAUGGUACACCAAUCGCCACCUGUUUGCAAAGGUUGUAGAGCGAAUCAUGCUAGUAUACACUGUCCUUUGGCGUCUACACAUGUUAAUCAAUUCGAAGAAGUAAGUUACGCGCAAAACUUUCAGAGACAACAAAAUAAUCCUUUCUCCAACACAUUUAAUCCGGGUUGGAGUAACCAUCCAAAUUUUCCUUGGUCCAAUAAUCAAGUACAAGAACAAGGAGAAAACAAUCAAAAUAAACCACCAAGGUUCCAAUGGUAACAACAGCAAGGGAGAAAGCCAUCGUUGGAAGAUUUGUUGGCUCAAUACAUUACUAAAACUAAGACCAAUUUUCAGAACCAACAAGCUUCGAUCAAGAAUUUGGAACAACAGAUGGGACAAAUUGUAGCCGCACUAUAAGGUAGAGCUCAAGGGACAUUGCCUAGCAAUACUGAGACAAAUCCUAAGGAGCAGGUCAAAGCAAUCACUAUACGUAGUGGCAUCCAGUUACCAGAAAUAUAUGUAAAGCGGCCAGCAACUGUCAUAGAAAAGGUACCUACCAUAGGUGAGGAACAAGUCGAUGAAUCAGACAAAGCCACAAAGGAAAAUCAAGUUGAGUCAUCAGAUAGUCCACAGGUGAAGGCAACUAUUCCUAUUAAAGCAUAUGUUCCUCCAAUCCCAUUUCCACAAAGAUUGCAAAAACAUAAGCUCGAUAAGCAAUUCCAAAAAUUUUUGGAUGUGUUCAAGAAACUGCAUAUGAACAUACCAUUUGCUGAAGCUUUAGCUCAAAUGCCCAGCUAUGACAAGUUCAUGAAAGAUAUUCUAUCAAACAAGAGGAAGCUAGAGGACAAUGAAACUCUCAUGCUUAUUGAGGAGUAUAGCGCAAUUCUCCAACAUAAGUUACCAUCGAAGUUAAAAGAUCCAGGGAGUUUUACUAUUCCUUGUAACGUUGGUAAUUUAUAUAUAGAUAAAGCAUUGUGUGAUAUAGGAGCUAGCAUUAAUUUAAUGCCUUUAUCUCUUUUUCGGAAACUAGGUUUAGGGGAAGCAAAAUCAACAACAGUUUCACUGCAAUUGGCUGACAGGUUGAUCAAGUACCCUCGUGGUAUUUGUGAAGAUAUUUUGGUGAAGGUUGACAAGUUUAUCUUCCCAGCGGACUUUAUUAUUUUGGAUAUGGAUGAAGAUAGGGAUGUCACCCUCAUAUUGGGUCGCCCAUUUUUGGCUACGGGAAGGGCUCUGAUAGAUGUGCAAAAGGGUCAGUUGAUAUUGAGAUUAAAUGAAGAAGAACUGACAAUCAACGUAUUCAGAGUUUUAAGAUUUCAGAGCGAACCGGAUUCUUGCAUGCAGAUUGAUGUAAUAAAAGAAGCGGUGUCAGAGACAUUCAAACUAGAUCACCCUUAUGAUCCACUUGAGGCAUGUUUAGUGCAUUCUCAAGAGUUACCACCCAAAAAAGAAGAAGCAGAAGAAUGUGCACAUUAUUUGGCAGGCAUACUACCAUUCUUCAAGCAACCACAUUUGGAGCUCGGUGAAAGGCCCAUAACACCUUUACCAUCUAUACAACAAGCUCCAACUCUUGAACUCAAACAACUACCCACUCAUCUUCGUUAUGCAUACUUGGGGAAAAAGAAUUCACUUCUAGUAAUUAUCUCAAACAAUCUUACAGAAGUGGAGGAGGAUCAGUUGCUGAGGGUGCUUCGAGAGCACAAGACAGCAAUAGAAUGGACUAUAUCAGAUAUAAAGGGGAUCAGCUCUUUGCUUUGCAUGCAUACUGAUGGAAGAUUAUUACAAAGCUUCAAUUGAGCAUCAACGCAGAUUAAAUCCGACUAUGCAUGAAGUGGUAAGAAAAGAAGUAUUAAAGCUUUUGGAUGCAUGGAUCAUCUAUCCCAUAUCAGAUAGUCAUUGGGUCAGUCCAGUACAGGUCAUACCGAAAAAUGGAGGGAUCACAAUGGUUCCAAAUGAAAACAAUGAGCUCAUCCCGACACGCACAGUCAUGGGUUGGAGAGUUUGUAUUAACUAUCGCAAACUCAACAACGCCACAAGGAAUGAUCAUUUUUCCCUUCCUUUCAUUGAUCAAAUGCUAGAGAGACUUGUUGGACAUUCUUAUUACUACUUCUUGGAUGGUUAUUCAGGGUACAACCAGAUUCCUAUAGCGCUAGAUGACCAAGAGAAGACGACAUUUACAUGUCCUUAUGGCACUUUUGCUUAUAGGAGGAUGUCCUUCGGUCUUUGCAACGCUCCUGCCACCUUUCAGCGUUGUAUGAUGUCUAUUUUCUCGGACAUGGUGGGAAAUAUCAUUGAGGUGUUUAUGGAUGAUUUCUCAGUAUUUGGAAAAUCAUUUAAGAAGUGCCUUGAACAUUUGGAAAAAGUGUUACAGCGGUGUGAAGACAAAAACCUUGUAUUAAAUUGGGGAAAAUGUCAUUUCAUGGUUCAAGAAGGGAUUUUGUUAGGGCAUCUGAUUUCAUCACGAGGUAUUGAGGUGGAUAAAGCUAAGAUACAAGUCAUCAAAAAACUAGCACCGCCAGUAACAAUGAAGGGAGUAAGAAGUUUCUUGGGUCACGCUGGGUUCUACCGUCGCUUCAUCAAAGACUUUUCCAAAAUCUCAAAGCCAUUAUGUAAUCUAUUGGAAAAAGUGGCUCCAUUUCACUUUUCUGAGGAGUGCUUGACUGCUAUCAACACUUUAAAGGAAAAAUUGGUCUCUACUCCAAUGUUGUCUCCUCCAGACUGGGAUUAUCCGUUUGAGCUUAUGUGUGAUGUCAGCGAUCAUGCUGUGGGAGCAGUGUUAGGUCAACGCAAGGGGAAGAUUUUUCAUGUUAUCCACUAUGACAGUAAGACUUUAGAUGAGGCUCAAAUGAAUUAUGCUACUACAGAGAAAAAGCUUUUGGCAGUGGUAUUCGUCGUUUACAAAUUCAAGUCAUAUUUGAUUGGUUCAAAAGUGAUUCUCUAUACAGAUCAUUCAGCAUUAAAAUAUCUAAUGAGCAAGAAGAAUGCAAAGCCGAGGCUUAUUUGAUGGAUACUCCUAUUGCAAGAGUUUGAUUUGGAGAUCAAAGAUAAAAAGGGAAGUGAAAAUGUUGUGGCAGAUCACCUUUCUUGCCUUGAAUCACAUGAGUCAAAUCCUAUGGUGGAGAUCAACAAAGUUUUUCCUGAUGGAAUGCUUUUUCAGAUUAUCACUACGCCAUGGUAUGCUAACUAUGUAAAUUAUUUGGCUCGCUCCAUCAUCCCGCCGGACUACUCAAGUCAUCAGAAUUAGAAAUUCUUUAGUGACUUAAACACUACUUUUGGGAUGAUCCAAUUCUUUACAAAAAGGGUCUAGAUUAGAUCAUACGCCGUUGUGUACCAGAAGUAGAGCAGCAUCAAGUAUUAGAAUCGUGUCACUCUUCACCAUAUUGGGGCCACUUUUCAGCAACCAAGACAGUAGCAAAGGUACUACAAUCUGGUUUUUAUUGGUCUACAUUGUUCAAGGACGCCCAUUAUAUGGUGAAACAUUGUGAUAAGUACCAAAGCACUGGAAAUGUCUCAAGGAGGAGCGAGAUGCCUUUGAACAGUAUUGGUUGCCACAAUGGUCAUCUACAUUGUAUUUCAUUCGAAUCACGUGCAGAUGUUUUUACAAAUGUAAAAAUAUUUUGAAGUUAAAAACUCUUUAUUUCGUACAUUAAGAAAAAUUAUUUCAAGUAAUUUGAAUGGAUAAGUGCUUUUGUUAGUGGACAUUCAUAGUGAUAGAUUACAAAUUAUAUAAAUAAUUUAUUUUCCUCCAUUUUUCAUCAUGUAAAUGUUUUAUAAAAAUUAUUUUUUAUAGGCUUAAAACUCUUUAAAUUCCCACUUAAAUACUCAAUUUAAUGAGACUACUGAUGGUAUAAUUCUCUUAUUUAGUUUUUCACUAAAAAUAGAGGUUACAAGAAGAGGAGUAUCACUUUUUUAUCCCACACUUCCGUAAAUUCGAAUUUGAUUUAUUUUUCUCUCAAAAAUCUCUUUUUUAAUUAAGAUAAGCUCAAAAGAUUAGCAAGGGUGUAAAGGAGAAAGGCUUCAACACAUCUUGUGAUGUAUAUUGGAAUUUUUGAAGCUAUGAACAAAGAGGUUUAUGAAUGGCCAUAAUCAGUUUGUACGAUACCAAGAGAUUCUUCAAAAUUAUGAAUUUGUUGUUAUUCAUCUAUGUGAAAUGUUAAAUUCUUUUCAAUCACUUUGUAUAUAUAUGCAUAUAAGUUUAUGAUCAAAUGGGUUCAUCAAGUGAUAUAAGUCCUCCUAAACUUAAAGGUCACGCCUAUGUUGACAAAUGUUUCAGAUUAAAGGAUAGUCAAGCAAGUGGAAUUCUGUGGAUUGUGGAGGAACGAAGGGAGAAAUAUUCUUCAUUUGUAUAAUUAAUUACAUCUGAAGAAUUUAUAGUCUUACUAGUUAUGCAACUUAUGUUUAAUGUCUAAAAGAUGACAGUUUAUCUAUACCUUUUAGAAGACUUCUUAGUUCUUUUUCUUGAUGUGAACAUUGAAAUUUUAGUUGGUUUAAAUAUCCAUGAAAUUAAAGUUGCUAGUGGGAUUCAAAAGCCCUAUGAAUUCUCUAUCUGUUGGCUUUGGAAUCAAGUCAAUAGAAGGUCAGUAGGAUAAAAUAUGCCCUCUUCCGUGUGUUGUGUUCAAUGUACCCAAGAGCCUUUUUUUUUUUUUUUUCAUAUAUUUGAGUUCCAUUUGAGAGCAUAAAUGAUGUUAGAAAAUUCUGAAAUUUUACUUUGUUAUACUUGAAUGAGUUUAGAAAAUUCUAUAAAAAUUUCAUAGAAUUAUGCAUCUGAAAAAUGGCCCAACUAAACUUGAUCAUUGGAUAGCGCAUUGCUAGAUUUAACUCCGUUAAUGUACCCUAAACUUCAUUUUAAUCCUAUAUUAUAAUUUCAUUAUCUAAAAAAAGAAAGUUGUCUACCUUAAAUCAUCUGUUUCCAACAAUUUUUGAAACUUGUAAUCAAAAGUAGGGGUAAACUACAAACUAGAAAGGAAAUUAAGGGGAAAAAAUUUAAAUUAACCCAAAUUUUAAAAAAAAAAAAAAGCAUGUUUUUUUGUAGCAAUUUCAAAUUUCAAGAUUUGAUUAGUUACAUUAAUGGACUCCUAACUUUUCUUUUUUCUUUUUUUUUUUGUUAAUUAUACAUUCUCUAAAAAAUUAUAUUUUAUGAAAUUUUUUCAAAAAAAAAAUAAAAUUACAUCAAAAAAUCCUUUCUAAAAAAUUAGAAGUCAAUGAAAAAUAUAUGCGGAUGUGUUAAAUAGAAUCUCAUAAUCUUUGACCAUUCUAGAAUUAUGAAAAUAUUAAGGGAUUAUGUGUAUCUAUUAAUCAACAGCAUGGAUCACUUUUAAGAGAGUAUCGUGCAGUAUCCAUGUUAUGUCUAAUUUACCUUCUAUUGAUGAGUUAAAAAACAAAUCCGGCAAGAGAAAUUGUAUGUUAAGGGACUCCUAAAUUUUUUACUUUUUUUUUUUAAAUUAUACAUUCUAUAAAAAAAUUACAACCAACGAAAAUUAUUCAAAAAUAAAUUUUCAUCAGACACAUCCUUUGUAAAAAGUAGAAGUUAAUGAAAAAUUAUAUACAAAUAUGUUAAAUAGAAUCUCAUAAUCUUUGACUCACUCUAGCAUUACAAAAAUAUUUUGUGGAUUACGUGUAUCUAUUGAUCAACGACGUGGAUCAUUUUUUAAGAGAUUACCAUGUUGUAUUUGUGUUAUGUUUAAUUUAUCUUCUAUAGAUGAAUUAACAACCAAAUUCGACAAGUGAAAUUGUGUGUUAAGACUCCUAACUUUACUUUUUUUAAUUAUACAUUUUUUCAAAAAAUUAAGUUUUGUGAAAUUUAUUUUAAAAAAAUAUACAUAAAAUAAAUCCUUUUAAAAGUACAUGUUAAUGAAAAAGAAUAUAUGCAGACGUGUUAAACAGAAUCUCGUAAUCUUCAACCCACUCUAGAAUAACGAAAAUAUUUAGUGGAUGAUGUGUGUUCAUUGAUCAAUGGCGUGAAUCGAUUUUUAAGAUAAUACCGUGCAGUAUCCGUGUUAUGUCUAAUUUACCUUCAAUAGAUAAAUAAACAAACGAAUUCAGCAAAAGAAAUUACGUGUUAAUGGACUCCUAACUUUCUUUCUUUUUUAAAUUGUACAUUCUCUAAAAAUUAAGUUUUACGAAAUUUAUUCUACAAAAAUUUAAAUCAAACAGAUAUUUUGCACAAAGUAUAAGUUAAUGGAAAAAAAUAUAUGCAGAUGUGUUAAAAAGAAUCUCAUAAUCUUUGACCCACUCAAGAAUUACAAAAGUAUUUAGUGAAUUACGUGUAAUUAUUGAUCAAUGGCGUGGAUCACUUUUUAAGAGAGUACCGUGCGGUAUCCGUGGUAUUUCUAAUUCAAAUUCUAUAGAUGAAUUAACAAACAAAAUCUACAAGAGAAAUUGUGUUAAUGGACUCCUAACUUUUCUUUUUUCUUUUUUAAUUAUACAUUCCCUAAAAAAUUAUGUUUUAUGAAAUUUAUUCUAACCGUCAUUGCAGCAAAAAAAAAAAAUUAAAAAUUAAAAAAAUAAUAAUAAUAAUAAAUAAAUUACACCUUUGAUCUUAAUAUUGAAGUCUAUACUCAAUGUAGAGUAGCAGUCUACAUAGACAAAGCUUGAUAUUUUUUAUCCAAAGACCAUAAAAUUGGAUCGAGUUUUUGCCAAACUCUGAUCAGUGAAUCCAUCAGGAAGGAUUAAGCCCAAAUCCUACUAACCAUUCCGAUCAAAACAAAACAUAGAUAGGAAGGAAAAAAAAAGGCUUAAAAAAUGUCGGAGUACAAGAUAAGGACACAAUACAACAAGAUAUGGUCACAAUGCUGCCCCUGUUGAACUUAAGUGGUGAUGAUAGACCCUCGUCUUUAAUGCACGGAAGUUUUUUCGUGUUAUUUUAAAAAAUGUGGAAUCAUCUGAACCAUUUUGUUUGCUGUUCUUGUUUCUGCAUAUUGUGAAGAACUUAUUAGUAAUGGAACUAACCAAUGGGGUUACAUAUAAUAUAACAAUGAAGGAGAUUAGUCCUCACCUUUCUUCCUAUACAAUAUCCUGUUUCCACAUAAGAACAAAAUUUAUGGGGAUUCUUUAACUUUAAGAGCGUAGGUCAAAUCUCUCUCGUUGUUUAUGUCUAUCCUGAUGGUCUAAUCAUGGAAAUUAAAGACAUAGGAUUAUAAUAAACAAAUAGGAAUAGAGAAAGAAAGGGUGUCAAAAGAGAAGAUUCAUAUGCUUGAGGAGGUCGUCGAUCCUUGGCUUCCCAGUAAACCUUUGCUACUUUUUCUAGCUCUUUCAAACUAGUGAGAAAUCGGGUUGUUUAGGUCAUCGGGUUGAUUAGGUCAAACGAGUAACAAGAGGUCCAAACAUUGUUGUUUCAUUUGAGAGAGGGAAAAAAAAAUAUUCAUGUUCAGACUCACAAAAAAUAAAAAAUUCAAAUAUGACAAAAUUGAGGCACUCGUCUUGAUUCAAUGAGGCAUCUGCCUCAGAGAAAUAGCACAAAAAUUAGUAGCCUGAGGCAUUACAGGUGCACCUCACUCUGAGGCAUGCCUCAUGGCCAUCUUCUGAAAUCAUGCUCCCAGUGGAAUCGAGUUAGAGUCUACCAAAAACAUCUUUAUGUGAUUAUUGUCAUGGCAGUAAAAGUCACAAACUUCCGUUUGAAUUUCAAAUUUAAAAGGUUCAUAUCCUUUACACUUGUUAUUUACUUAUGUUUGCUGCGCAACAAAGGUAACUAAAUAUUCAAAACAUCAAAAAAAUGCAGUAAACAAGAGUUCAGUAUUACCCUUACUAGUCAAAGUAAGGGCCACAAAAUUAUUAAAAACCACACAUUUUCAGUUUUUACAUGAGUUUUUCUUCCCGUCACAUUAGAGACUUUAGUGACCAUGAUUUAAUUGGCUUUCAGGCUCUUUUCCUCCCACUCCCGCCACCCUCUUCAUUUUCUGCCUCAUUCACGAUCUCAGAUUCUUCAUUGUUGAUUUGAGAGAAUGUGAGGUGUGUCAUUUCACAUUCUAGCCAGAAAGUUUUAGGGACGUUAAGACUUCUCUCACCUCUCCUCUUGCCCCAUCGAGGUCCAAAACCUGUAUAGUAGUAAAAUUCAUAUGGAUUUGAUGUCCAAGCUGCCUUCUUGACCCAUGGCCAGCGUUGAGAGUCAGCCAUCACCUUUUCUUGUUUCUUCUUUGCUUGAAGAGCCGAGUUGUAGUUCCACAUUUGAGAUAAUUGGAGCGUUUAUUAACACAAUAUCCGUGUUAUGUCUAAUAUGCCUUCUACAGAUAUAUUAACAAACAAAUUCGGCAAGAGAAAUUAUGUGUUAAUGGACUCCUAACUAUUCUUUUCAUUUUUUAUAUUACACAUUCUCUAAAAAGUUAAGUUUUAGGAAAUUGAUUCGAAAAAAUAUAUAUACAUAAAAUAAAUCCUUUGUAAAAAGUAGAAGUUAAUGAAAAAAAUAUAUACAUAUGUGUCAAAUAGAAUCUCGUAAAUUUUGAUCAGCUCUAAAAUUACGAAAAUAUUUAGUGAACUAAGGUGUGUAUUUAUCAACGGCAUAGAUCACUUUUUAAAAAAGUACCGUGCGAUAGCCAUGUUAUGUUUAAUUUACCUUCUAUAAAUAAAUUAACAAAUAAAUGCAGCAAGAGAGAUUGUGUUAAUGGACUCUUUAUUUUUCUUUCUUUUUUUUAGUUAUACCUAAAUUAACAAAAAAUUCGGCAAGAGAAAUUGAGCGUUAAUGGACUCUUAAUUUUUCUUUUAUGUUUUUAGUUAUACAUUCUCUAAAAAAAUUGUGUUUUACGAAAUUUGUUUUAAAAAAAUUUAUACCAAAGAAAUAUUUUGUAAAAUGUAGAAGUUGAUGAAAAAAUAUACACAGAUGCAUUAAAUAGAAUCAGGUAAUCUUUGGCCCACUCUAGAAUUAAGAAAAUAUUUAGUGAAUUACAUGUAUUUAUUGAUCAACAGCGUAGAUCACUUUUAAGAGAGUACCGUGCGAUAUCCGUGUCAUAUCUAAUUUACCUUCUAUAGAUGAGUUAACACACAAAUUCUUUUUUUUUAAUUAAUUAUACAUUCUCUAAAAAAUUAAGUUCUACGAAAUUUAUUUAAACAAAAUUUACAUCAAACAGAUCCUUCGUAAAAAGUAGAAGUUAAUGAAAAAAAUAUAUAUACAGAUGUGUUAAAUAGAAUUUCAGAAUUUUUUAUCCACUCUAGAAUCAUGAAAACAUAUAGUGGAUUAAGUGCAUCUAUUGAUCAACGGCGUGGAUCAUUUUUACGCGAGUACCGUGCAGCAUCCAUGAUAUGUCUAAUUUACCUUUUGUAGAUGAAUUAAUGAACAGAUUCUGAUAGAGAAAUUGUGUUAAUGGACUCCACACUUUUCUUUUUUUCUUUUUUAAUUAUACAUUCUCCAAAAAAUUACGUUUUAUGAAAUUGAUUCUAAAAAAUAUACAUAAAAUAAAUCCUUUGUUAAGAAAUAGAAGUUAAUGAAUAUAUAUAUAUAUAGUGUUAAGUAGAAUCUCGUAAUCUUUGCUCCACUCGAGAAUUGCUAAAAUAUUUAGCAGAAUACGUGUAUGUAUUGAUCAAUUGCGUAGAUCACUUUUUAAUAGUAUCAUGCAGUAUCUACAUUAUAUCUAAUUUACCUACUAUAGAUGAAUUAUGAACAAAUUUAGCGAGAGAAUUGUGUAUUACUGGACUCCUAACUUUUCUUCUUUUUUUUUCUUUUAGUUAUACAUUCUUUAAAAAUCUCGUUUUACGAAAUUGAUUCUAAAAGAAUAUACAUAAAAUAAAUCCUUUGUAAAAUGUAGAAAUUAAUAAUAUGAAUUACAAAAACAUUUAGUAGAUUAUGUGUAUCUAUUUAUCAACGGCGUGAAUCAUUUUUCAAGAAAUUGUCGAACUGUAUUUCUGUUAUGUCUAAUUUAUCUCGUCUAAUUAAGAAAUAAAUUUGGCAGGAGAAUUUGUGUAUUAAUGGACUCGUAAAUCUUCUUUCCUUUUUAAUUGUACAUUCUCUAACUAUAUUUUAUGAAACUUAUUUAAAAAAAAUUACAUCGAACAAAAUUUUGUAAAAAGUAGAAGUUAACGAAAAAACAUAUGAAGUAUUAAAUAGAAUCUCAUAAUCUUAGACUGAAUCUAGAAUUACGAAAUUAUUUUGUGAAUUACGUGUAUUUAUUGAUCAAUGGCGUGGUUCACUUUUUGAAAGAAUAUCAUGCAAUAUUUGUAUUAUGUCUAAUUUAUCUUUUAUAAAUGAAUUAACAGACAAAUUCGAGAGAAAAUGUGUUUUAAGGGACUCCUAACUUUAAAAAAUAAAUUAAUUAAUUAUGCAUUCUCUAAAAAUUACGUUCUACGAAAUUUAUUAAAACAAAAUUUACAUCAAACAAAUCGUUCGUAAAAAAUAGAAGUUAAUGAAAAAAAUAUAUACAAAUGUUUUAAAUAGAAUUACGUGUAUCCAUUGAUCAACGGUGUGGAUCAUUUUUUUAAGAGAGUACCAUGCGGUAUCCAUGUUAUGUCUAAUUUACCUUUUAUAAAUGAAUUAAUGAAUAGAUUCUGGAAGAGAAACUGUGUGUUAAUGGACUCUCACUUUUCUUUUUUUCUUUUUUAAUUAUACAUUCUCUAAAAAAUUACGUUGUAUGAAAUUUAUUCUGAAAAAAAAUACAUAAAAUAAAUCAUUUGUUAAGAAGUAGAAGUUAAUGAAAAAAAUAUAAACACGUUUGCUAAAUAGAAUCUCGUAAUCUUAGACUGAAUCUAGAAUUACGAAAAUAUUUAGUGAAUUACAUGUAUUUAUUGAUUAAUAGUGUGGAUCACUUUUUAAGAGAGUAUCCUGCGAUAUCCGUGUUAUGCCUAACUUACCUUCUAUAGAUGAAUUAAGAAGAAUAUAAACAGAUGUAUUAAAAUUGAAUCUUGUAAUUUUUUAUCUACUCUAGAAUUACGAAAGCAUUUAGUGGAUUACACGUAUCUAUCAAUCAACGUGGUGGAUCACUUUUUAAGAGAGUACUGUGUGGUAUCCAUGUUAUGAAUUAGCGAACAACUUUGGUUAAAAAAAAAAGUGUGUUAAUUAAGAGAUUAUAUUAAGAAAUUGUGUUAGUUCACAUAUUAGUUAGCUAGACAUUCUUCUGUAUAAAAUUAAUGAAAUAUUAUGCAGAGUUUGUUUUUCCUUGAUGGAAGUAUUGGGUCGUUAUAAAGUUUCUUUCUAAUUAUCACUCAUACAAUUUCAUAAGGAUUAUCUUCACGAGAGAGGUAGUAAAACGAGUGGACCUAACCCCAAGGAUUCUACUCCACGAGGUUUGACAAAAUGUCCCUACCAUAUUACGAUAAUACGAUAUAUAAAGACCGUCGUCAUUUCAAAAAAAAAAUAUUACUCCUUGGAUCUUAAUAUUGAAGUCUAUACUCAAUAUAAAGUAGUGGUCUACAUAGACAAGCUUUUGAUCGAGUUUGAUAUUUUUUAUCCAAAAAUUAUACAAUUGGAUCAAGUUUCUGUGACACUCUCAUCAAUGAAUCUAUCAGGAAGGAUUAAGCCCAAAUCCUACUAACCAUUCCGAUCAACACAAAACAUAGGAGAAGUUCAAAAAAAAAAAAAAAAAAGGAAAAAAAAAAAAAAAAGAAAAAAAAAAAAAAAAAAAAAAAAAGGAAAGAAAGAAAGAAAAGAAAAAGAAAAUGCCAGAGUACAAGAUAAGGACACAAUGCAACAAGAUAUGGUCAUAAUGCUGCCCCGGUUGAACUUAAGAUGGUGAUGAUAGAAAAAAUAUGCACUAAUUUGUCUGUCGUUCUUGUUUCUACAUAUCGUAAAGAACUUAUUAGUAAUGGAACUAACAAUUGGGAGUACAUAUAAUAUAACAAUGAAGGAGAUUAGUCCUCACCUUUCUCCACAUACAAUAUCAUGUUUCCACGUAAGAACAAAAUUUUGUGGGCAUUCUUUAAUUUUAAGAGCGUAGGCCAAAUCUCUCUUGAUGCUUAUAUCCAUCUUGACGGUCUAGUAAUGGCAAUUAAAGACAUGGGAUUAUAAUAAACAGAUAAAAAUCUAGAAAAGAAAGGUGUCAAAAGAGGAGAUUCAUAUAUUCGAGGAGGUAGUCGAUCCUUGGUUUCCCAGUACACCUUUGCUGCUUUUUCUAGCUCUUUCAAAGCUUUCCAGUUAUCGCUUGCCCUGAAAUCAGUGACGGAUUCGGAUUACAUCUAGGCAAGUAUAGAUCAAAUGCACUACAUGUUUUACAGAUUCCUUCUUUUCAAGAAUACAGACGUGUUGUAUCUUUCGAAAACGAGAACAACUAGUGGUCUACGAUGGAAAGCAAAGCUCUCCCACUUAAGACAAUUGAUCUCCUUCACUAAAGCAUCAUCGAUCUUUCCCUCUCAGUCAAUUUCAGAGCCAUCUUCGCCAACGACAUUUUUUAUAGGAUAUUACUUCAAAUACUCUGAUGCUCUGACCCCUCCCCGGGCCGACAUCAGCAUCCAGAGGCCAAUUGGGAUUAUCCUCCUCUACCAACAUCUAUUUCCUCUUCAAUCAUCACAUUUCUCUUCAUCCCUGUCAUCAUCCUCGUCACCACUGUUGCUAUUGGAAUCAACAUCAUUGUAAAAUUUAUCUUUCAGAAUUCUGCUGCUGGAUUGAUUCAAAAAUCCGUUCAAGCGAAUCACACACAAAAAUCUUCAACUGCUUGGGCUUCGUAGGGAUCACUUAAAGGAACUUCCUUCCAGAUUUUUCAUCGUCAUCUUGAGGAAAUUCAAUUUUCUCCCGCUGAGCUCUUCCUUUUGGUUUCAAACUAGGACUCUGACUAUAAUUCUUGUCGGGCUUUGGAUCAGAAUUCUCUGAACUGGAAGUGCACACCAAUCGUUUUCCAGUGUAUUUGGUUGUCAAAGUCAAUGGAAACAGGAGGAAAUUUGAAAGGCAACAAGAAUUUGUUGUUUCACGGAAAGAUAACAUCGACAAAGAAUGUGUUGGUCACGGACAAACAAAUCGACAUUUUAACUUGAGCUUGCUUCGUAAAAAUAGUAAAGAAAAUGCUCAAAACAACAAGAACACAAGAUUUGUCGGCCAAAGGCUUUGAAGGUGCAACGACAACUUCUAACGCCUAAUCCCCAUUGAGCAUCCCUAAGGAUAUUGCUCGAAUUCACUAUAAAGCCCCAAAAUUGGACAAAGAUCGAAUACAGUACAAAAAUAGCAGAGAGCUCAACGAAACCAUAAUUACCUCAAACUCUCUAUUACAACAAUCACUCACAAAGAAUUGUGUUCCCAUACCUUCUCUCGAACACAAUAAUCUCACAAAGAAAUCACUCAAGAUCAUCCAGUUGAUGACCAAAAUAUGAACACACAGAGAGAGUUUUCACGAAGACGGAAGAGGGAGAGUCAAAACCAACUACAACCCUAAAAGGCAUACAAGUGCCUUUUAUAUGAGAUAAGCCCAAGAGACGGAUCCAAUGGUGCAAAUCAUUCCAGGUUGUUUGGAUUGUGAUGCCAAAUCAAUCAAUUGGGCUCUGAUGAAAAGGGCCCGGCCCAAUAGCUAGUAUUAUAUUUCCAUUGCCCGAUAAUUCAAUGGUAGAGGCCCAUCUACCCGAGCCCAAACAUGAGGCCACGUGUGCUGCUCUGAGCCCUUGGAUCACCCAGCUGAUCUAGGGUGAUUUGUUCUUCAAUAUAAGGGACCUUUGGUGGUGCCCUAGUUGACCGAGCGUGAUAUUUUUCUGGUGACUCUUGAACUCUCUAGAAUGAGUCAUUUUCUCUGCCUCUUCUCUCCUUCGUCUUCUUCGUGUUUUUCUUUCCAAGAUCUCUGUAAUUUGGAACUUGAUUCAUUCUGUGUGAACAGUAAAUCUAAGUGAUUCUUUUGAAAGGAGUUAGUGGAGUCAUUGAAGGAGGUUUUCUUUGUGGCUCGUCGAAGUAGUUGCGUCCCGGUUCCUUUUGUGGGGUUUAGGUUUGAUUCUUGGUGUCUCUACUAUUGUACAGAAGGGUACAAUGUUAAUUUCUGAGCCCUGACAAUUGAUUGAACAAUAUACCUUUGGUUUGGUCCUGUUCUAGGUCGAAUUUUUUCUCUAUGUGAGAUCUGAAAAUACUUUGUGUAUUUCUUGAGUUCUAUUAUAACAGUGGUAUCAGAGCCUUCAAGGCUUCCUUCAACCGUGAUCUGGAUGUGAAAAAUUCAUUUUCACAGUCCAAUCCUUUUUUUAGAUCUGACUCUUUUUCGCUGUUUUUUUUUAAAUCACUUCAGUACUUUAUGUGUACUAACCAUUGAUCUAUUGUGGAGUUCUUGUUUCCCAAAACGCAGGUCCUGUUUUUCGCGAACUAUUGGUUCGCCCCUUGAGUAACCCAUACUGUUCGUGAGGCUUUUUUUUUCUUGGUCACUAGCUUGAGUGAUCGAUAUUGAAUGAUCACUCCUCUGGUUUGCGACUAUUUUUCCCUUUAUUAACGUUUAAUCCAUUCUUCCUAGCCAUAUAUGUUUUACAUAAUUUUUUUGAUUAUUGUUAGUCAGUGAAUUACUGGGUUAAUAUUUCUGAAACGUACUUAUUGUGAUUACUCUAAAUUGGUGAAUUACUAAGUUCUUAUUUCUGAAGUAUUACAUACGUUGAUUUAAUCUGAUACUCAUAUAAUCCUUUUCCUGCUUCCUGUUCUGAUGACCUAAAUUGUGCCUUGACCUAAGGACAUGAUCCUUACGAAAUCCUGGUGAAUUUGGGCAUUUGGAACUUGAAGUUUGUUGCAUUGAGUACAUUGCGAUUUCUUGUUAUUUUUUGAACACUGUGUGUGUUAAUGUUUUCUUGAUUCUUGAAGCUUCUUGGUACAUAAUAACCUCUGUGAUCUUGUGUAUUAUCACAUUUUAUUCUGCACCACCUCUUUUCUGUUAAACGUUGAACUUCAAAUAAUUUUCUUGUGUUGGUUAAACAUUCCAAAUGACAACAACUACGUUUGAACUUGGAGUUUUUAAUGGAAAAGGGGAUUUCCCCAUUUGGCAACAAAAAUGAAAGGAGUUCUUGUUCAACAGAAAGUUGCAAGAGCCAUUACUGGUGAUUUUCCUGAUACUAUGACUGAAGCACAAAAAACUGAAUGUGAUGAACUUGCCUAUACCUCUAUUAUAUUGCAUCUAUCUGAUCAAGUUUUGAGAAAAGUUGGGAAACAUGAUAGUGCUAGAGAUUUGUGAGAAAAACUAGAAGAACUUUAUUUAGUUAAGUCCCUACCUAAUAAACUGUUUCUCUUAGAAAGAUUUUUUAGUUUUAAGAUUGACAUCACUAAAGACUUAGAAGAUAACUUUGACAUUUUUAAUAAAUUGGUUCAAGCUAUUACCAAUGCUGGAGACAAAGUCUCUGAUGAAUACAAGGUUGUGAUUCUUCUAAAUUCAUUACCUGAAAUGUAUAACGAUGUCAAAAGUGCCAUUAAAUAUGGUAGGGAUUCUUUGACUCCUGAAGUUGUUAUUAACUCUUUAAGGAGCAAGGAUCUGGAACUUAAAACUGAGAAGCAUGGAAGAGAAUUUGAGAAUUUAUUUGUUAGAGGGAGGUCACUUAAUAGGCAAAACCAUAGUCAGGAUAAUCAGAGUUAUCAAAGAAAUAAUAAUAACAAGAAGAAAGGGAGAGAAAGACCUAGGUCAAAGUCUAGGACUGGGACUGGGAAUAGGAAAUGUUAUGGAUGUGGGAAAUCAGGUCACUUUAUUAAGGAUUGCUUUAAGAAAAAGAAUGAACAGAGGGAUAACAAAGUAGAUGAGGGAAAUGUAGUUGAAUCCCUAGAUGAUAAAACUGUGGAUGUCUAUGUUGUUACUGAACCUGUUACUGAUCAGCAUACUGUAAAUUUUUCUGAAAAUAUAGACCAGAAUCAAGAAUGGAUUCUUGACUCUGGUUGCACUUUCCAUAUGACUUCUAAAAGGUCUUGUUUAGAAAAUUUUAAGGAAAUGAAUGGAAGUGAGGUAGUAAUGGGUAAUAAUGCAGCCUGUAAAGUUUUAGGAAUUGACAGUGUGACUUUAAAAUUUGAAAAUGGAUAUAUCUUUACCCUAGAGAGAGUAAGGUAUGUUCCUGACUUAAAUAGAAAUUUAAUUUCUAUGGGUGAUCUAGAUGACAUUGGUCUCCAAGCUAAACUUGGAAAUGGUUUGUUAAAAGUUUUUAAAGGCUCUCUUGUAAUAUUCAAGGGUGCCAAAAGAAAUGGUAUAUAUGUCACUAGAGCUGAAAUAGUUUCAAGUCAUACUGCUGAGUCCUUAACUGCUGGAGUUGAUGCCACCUUAAAAUUGCACAAUAGGCUGGCACAUGUUAGUGAAAGAGGUCUGCAUAUUUUGAAUAAAAUGGGUGUUUUUGGAAAAGAUAAUGUUUCAAAAAUUCCUUUUUGUGAUUAUUGUAUACUUGGUAAACAACAUAGACUUCACUUUAAUACGGGUAAGCAUGAAACUACUUCUGUUCUGGAGUAUGUACAUGCUGAUUUGUGGGGACCCUCAUCUACUAUUACCCAAGGAGGAAACAAAUAUUUUCUGUCCUUGAUUGAUGAUUUUUCAAGAAAAGUUUGGAUUUUUCUGUUAAAACAAAAAUCAGAUACUUUUGAAAAAAUUUAAAUUUGGAAAACCUUGAUUGAAAAUCAAACUGGGAAGAAAAUCAAGGUAUUAAGAACUGAUAAUGGUCUAGAAUUUUGUAGUGUUGUUUUUGAUCAAUUAUGUAAGGAUAGUGGGAUCCUUAGGCAUAAAACAGUUCCUUAUACCCCUCAGCAAAAUGGAAUUACUGAGAGGAUGAAUAGGACUAUUCUAGACAAAGUAAGAUGCAUGAUGAUCAGUUCUGGAGUUCCUAAAGUACUGUGGGGUGAAGCUGCUAUGACUGCAGUUUAUAUCAUAAAUAGAACCCCAAGUAGUAGGGCUGAGCAAAUCUCUCGAACCGAACCCGAAGCGAACCGAACCCAACGGUUCUUGUUAAAUUGUCAAAUUAAAUACCCGAACGGGUAUCUGAAUUGAGAAUCGACGGGUACGGUUCGGUUCUCGGUUCUAGACCAAGAACCGAAGAACCGAAUCUUUCUAAUUUUUUUUAUAUUAAAUAAAUCAAAUUAUUUUAAUUUUAAUUUUUUCUAAACAAAUUAACAAAUUAACAAUUUGUAAAUCCAAAUUUUUGGCCCAAGAAUUUGUUUAAUUUCUAAUUUUUAAAUUUUUGGCCCAAUUACUCAUUUUAUUGUUUUAUUUCUUAGCCCAAAAAGAUCCAAUCCACUAAAUAACUCUAAACACCUACACUAAAGUGUAUAACGUUGUGUCGACUCUCGUACUCACUCUCUCAGCCCCGCUAAUAUUCCAAAACCUAUACAAUCGUCAGCCGACACUGUGACCUCCACCGAUCGAAGCUUUGACCAUAGCGAUCAUUUGAACAAUGUAGUUUACUAGUCUCUAACAUUCCAAAACCAUUGAAUGUAUCAUUAGUUGUAUUUAUAUAAUGUUGUUAUAAAUGUUAAAAAAUUUAAUUAUAGUACAGAACCGAACCGAACCGAACCGAACUAAACCGAACGGAACCGAACCUGAACGUUUCCAUAAUUAUAUUUGGACCCUACGGUUCCAUUUACUAAAUACCCGAAAAUUUUGGUUCGAUUCGGUUCUAACCGAUUCUCUUUAGAACCGAACCGAACCAACCUGCACCCACCCCUACCAAGUAGUGCCAUAGAUGGCAGAACACCUGAGGAAAUAUAGUCUGGAAAAAUACCAGAUUAUAGUCAUCUAAAAACCUUUGGUUGUGCAGCCUUUUCCCAUCAAAAUAGUGGUAAACUUGAACCUAGAUCCCAAAAAUGUGUUUUUAUGGGAUACCCUGAAGGAGUUAAAGGGUAUAGAUUGUGGGAUAGGAGUGUGAAGGGGUUUAGAAUGAUCACAAGUAGGAAUGUGACCUUCAAUGAGUGUGAUAUGCCUUGCAUGACUAAUAAACAUCAUAUUAGUGCUUCUAGUAGUGAGGAAGAAGAGAUGACUAGGCUGCAGGUGGAGCAUUUGUCACCUCCUGAACAUACUGAUAAUGUUCAGGAAGAGACUGGUGAAGUUUUUGAUGAAAAUAUAGAAGGUGAAGGUGAUGUUCAAGAAGUUGGUGAAGAAGAAAAUUCAUUAGAUGGUUACCAGUUAGCUAGGGAUAGGGUUAGAAGAGAAAUAAGGGAACCCAUUAAAAUGAGAGACUACCUAUCUCUAGCUUUACUGACUUGUCAAGAUCUGGCCUUUAAGGAACCAAAAACAUAUGAGGAGGCUAUGAGUUGUCAGUCUUCAAAAGACUGGCAAUUGGCUAUGGAAGAGGAAAUGAACUCUUUAAGGAAAAAUGAAACCUGGAUUUUGGUUCCUAAACCUAAAGAUAAAUCCUUAGUUGAUUGUAAAUGGAUCUAUAUAAUUAAUGAAGGAAAUAUAGCAAAUCAGCCCCUAAGAUUAAGGCCAGAUUAGUGGCAAAAGGGUUUACUCAAAAACCCGGUAUUAAUUAUAAUGAAAUUUUCUCACCUGUAGUUAAAUAUACUACCAUACGUGUUAUGCUUGCAUGAGUUGCUCAUUAUGAUCUUGAACUUGAACAAAUGGACGUAAAAACUGCCUUUUUGCAUGGAGACUUGGAUGAAAUUAUCUAUAUGAGACAACCACCUGGAUAUGUAGAUAACAAGAAACCUGAGCAUGUGUGCUUGUUAAAGAGAUCAUUGUAUGGACUUAAACAAUCGCCUAGACAAUGGUAUAAACGCUUUGAUAACUUUGUGUCAUCUGUAGGUUUUCUUAGAAGCUCUUUUGAUCAUUGUCUAUAUUUGAAAAAAGAUAAAUCUGAAUCUGUGAUUUUUUUACCUACUUCUUUAUGUGGAUGAUAUGUUGUUAAUUGGACAGCAUCUUAGUGAUAUUAAUGAUAUUAGGAGAUCUUUAUGCUCUGAAUUUGAAAUGAAAGACUUGGGACAUGCUAGAAGAAUUUUAGGUAUGGAUAUUAAGAGAAAUAGAUCCAAACAGGUUCUUUUUCUAUCACAAUCUGCCUAUGUUGAAAAAGUCAUAUCAAAAUUUUCCAUGCAUGAAUCAAAAACUGUCACUUUAGCACUUGCAAGUCAUUUUAAAUUGAGUAAAGAUCAAUGUCCAGUUGAUGAAUUUGAUGUGAAAUCCAUGCAAAAGGUCCCCUAUGCUAAUGCUGUGGGGUCUGUAAUGUACACUAUAGUGUGUACCAGACCUGAUGUAGCUCAUACGAUUAGUACCCUAAGUAGAUUUAUGGCCAAUCCUGGCUUGAACAUUGGACAGCCUUAAAAUGGUUACUUAGGUAUCUAAAAGGAACAUCUAACUUAGGUUUAUGUUUUAAUCCUAGUAAAGAAGAUGUUAUAUUAAAGGGGUUUGUAGAUUCAGAUUAUGCUGGGGACAGGGACAAUAGAAAAUCAACCACAUCUUACAUGUUUACUUUGUGUGGCACUUGUGUGAGUUGGAAAUCACAAUUACAGCCUAUUGUUGCACUUUCAACCACUGAAGCAGAAUAUGUGGCUGCUACUGAAACCAUAAAAGAAGCACUAUGGCUCAAAGGUUUGUUAUGUGAAAUUAAUAUUUUGUCACAACCUGUUGUAGUUUACUCAGAUAGUCAAAGUGCAAUUUAUCUGUGUAAAAAUCCUGUAUUUCAUGAAAGGACCAAGCAUAUAGAUGUUAGAAUGCAUUUUAUAAGAGACAUAAUUCAUAAAGAAUCUGUUGUACUUGAAAAGAUUCCAACAGAAUUUAAUCCUGCUGAUAUGGGGACCAAGGUACUGUCUCUUAAUAAGUUUAGGUCCUCUUUGAAAAUGCUGAAAAUUGAUACUGGGUAACCUUUGUUGUAAUGCAGGUACUCUAAACCUCUUGGUGCAAUGAUCUGUGGAACUUAAAGAAGAAAAUGAAUUUGUUUCAUAUCUUUGUAGUAUGCAUGUUGGUCAUUAGCAUCAAGGUGGAGAUUGUUUGGAUUGUAAUGCCAAAUCAAUCAAUUGGGCUAUGAUGAAAAGGGCCCGGCCCAAUAGCUGGUAUUAUAUUUCCAUUGCCCGAUAAUUUAAUGGUAGAGGCCCAUCUACCCGAGCCCAAACAUGAGGCCACGUGUGCUGCUCUGAGCCCUUGGAUCACCCAGCUGAUCUAGGGUGAUUUGUUCUUCAAUAUAAGGGACCUUUGGUGGUGCCCUAGUUGACCGAGCGUGAUAUUUUUCUGGUGACUCUUGAACUCUCUAGAAUGAGUCAUUUUCUCUGCCUCUUCUCUCCUUCGUCUUCUUCGUGUUUUUCUUUCCAAGAUCUCUGUAAUUUGGAACUUGAUUCAUUCUGUGUGAACAGUAAAUCUAAGUGAUUCUUUUGAAAGGAGUUAGUGGAGUCAUUGAAGGAGGUUUUCUUUGUGGCUCGUCGAAGUAGUUGCGUCCCGGUUCCUUUUGUGGGGUUUAGGUUUGAUUCUUGGUGUCUCUACUAUUGUACAGAAGGGUACAAUGUUAAUUUCUGAGCCCUGACAAUUGAUUGAACAAUAUACCUUUGGUUUGGUCCUGUUCUAGGUCGAAUUUUUUCUCUAUGUGAGAUCUGAAAAUACUUUGUGUAUUUCUUGAGUUCUAUUGUAACAUAGGUGUCAAGCAUCCAAUGAAGAGGUGAAUUUAAUCAAGUAUGAAAAUACAUUAUUAUCUAUUCUAGAACCAUCUUAUCAAUAAUGGACCGAUUUUGGACUUCAAAUCUUACUGAAUCAGUUUGAGUUGAGCUCACAAAAAUGAAGCAACCCAUCUUCAUACAGUGAUCACCAAAAUUAUUAUGGACCAAGCUACAAGAAUAUAAGGAUGAUAUAGGGGAUGACCGAACACACACACAUGGGAGGGUCGGCAUUCUUUAAUUCACGCGGACCCAUGCACAAUGUGAUGGUUGUUUAACCGAGCUGUCACCAAAAUUCGGGCAAAGUGACUUUUUCCAAUUAUUAUAUAACACCAAAAGGAACGGCUUUUUAUUCCUCACUUGGAAUAAGUCAACCUAAAAUCUUCCUGAAAACACUCUGGUCAAAUCUCAAGACAACCUGUUGAAGUCGCUCAGUAACUUUCCUUCUUUCUUCCGUCCAAGAGACGAGGGAACACGUAAAUCACUGAAAUUGGGAGCAAUUACGUGGACUCCUUUCACUGAACAGAAAUUAAGAAUGAAAUUGCAGCAAUUAUACGAAAAUGAAGCAAAAACUACAGGGCCAGACUAAAAUCAUUACGCCACACAGUAAUUUCACUUAAUGAACAGCCAGCAAGAAAGGAAGAACAAUCAAGAAUGUGAAAAACCGAAACCUAACACAUUUAAUGGAGUCCACUAAGUUUGUUAUUAGUUUCAAGAUUUACUAGUAAAUGUUAACGAGAAAUUAAACAGUCGUUGAGUAGACAAAAAAUCAAACACCUGGCAUGCAACUAUCAACGGAAUCAUAAAUGACAAAUCCUAACAUGGAAAAUUCAAGAUAAUCAAACUUCUCUUAGCAUGCAUACGCGUGUGCUCACAUUCGAUUUAUACACAGAUAAACGCACACAGGGAGGAGAGAAAAUCUACAUUUAGAAGUCAAAGAGCACAAAUAGAAACGGAGUUUUAAUUUUUCAAUUGUAUCGGGUGUCCAAAAUUAAGAAGAAUUUUAAAAGAUUAUAACGCUCUCUUAAUGUUAUAAAAACACUUAAAAUUUCUGAAAUAGAGGCUUUCUAAGAAAUAACAAAAGGAUCAUGCUGCAUGUACAAACUUUUUAUACAAACUCCCUUAUUCACUAAUCACAGUGGGGGUGGGGAUCGCAAAUCGACAUUUUUUAAAUUCAUGUGAAAUCCGUUAAUUUUGUGAGAGCUAGUACAUCAUUUUGUCAACAAGAUUUUGUACAAAUAUCUUUAUCCUACCAAAAAAGGCUCUCUGAGUGUAUUUCCCCAAAUAUGGAAAGAAUGGCAUUUUAGGAUCUUUUCUUACGAUUUUUCUUUUCUUUCUUUCUUUCUUUCCCCAUUCAUUUCUUGAAACUUGGAAUUUUAUGGCAUUUUAGGAUUUUUUUUUACGUUUUUUUUUUUUUUUUUUUUUUUUUUUCCCCUUUUUUUUUUUUUUUUGUUUCACUUUUUCAUCCAAGAUUUAUGGGGACAAAAUUGUCCAAGUACUCGUCAAUUUAUAACCAUUAUUUUUUUCACAUGUUUCAAACACAUACUCUUGCUUAGUUGUUUGAAGUCUAGUGAUACACUCAAUGUGAGAGUGUAAAAAAUUCCAGUUAUCACUUGCCCUUUAACAAUCGGUGCCGAAUACUCAAGUAAUUAACAUAUGCAAGAUUGAAAUACAUUCCAUUAUCUUUGGAACUAUAACUUGCAUGUUGUAACACUCAAAACAAUAAUACAAUCUCGACGUUGUCAUCUAUGACAUUUUUUAUCGAGUGUUGCUCAAAAUACUUAAGAUGCUCUUAUCCCAACUUGACAUCAGAAUCCAAACGCCAAUUGGGCUUCUCCUCCUCUACCAACAUCUCAUUUCCACUUCAACCAUCACCUUUCUCUUCGUCCCUUCAUCAUCCUCUAAAUUUUCCUGCCACCAACGAGGGCUGACCCAAGAUUAUAGUUCACUGGAGACGAGACAAAAUUGUGUAAAAAAUAAUUGUGAAAAUUAUGAUCCAAAAUUAUGGGGAUUUUUUUUUUAAAAUGUCAAAAAUUAAGGGUUCAAUGGUGGCAAUUGCACCCAGUUGGACCCUUAACGGGACCGCCCUGCAUUCCAGGAUUUUUGUGGAACUUCGCUUUUCUUGAACCGAGUUCUUCACUUUGGCGUUAGGUUUUUUCCAUCAAAUUUCCUUAAAAUGGCAGUGUGUACAAAUAGUUAUCUAUUUAUUCCAAUUUCAUGAUAAUAGGAAGGUAUUUUACGAAAAAGGGGUAAAUUUGUCAAAAUACACCAGUCAUUUUUUAAGCAAUUGAUUUAUAUGCAAUAAACUGUUUAGUUAAGCAAAGACAAUAUGACCGAGAUGGGUAACAUGUAAUUAACGUGAAAGUGUUUCAAUUGAUUAUUGACUAAUGUUAAAGCGUCAUAAUUUAUUAUUGAUGAUAUCUACGACCCAAGAUGGGUAAUAUGUUAUAAACAUGAAAGUGCCUUAAUUAAUUAGCGGCAACUAUUAAAAAUUGAUUUUUCAUAACUUUUAGGGUCCGUUUGAUUGUAAGAAUGAAAUUUGGAUGGAAAGAAAAUGAAUUUUAGGCAAUUGAAUUGCUUGAAACUUGUUUUAUCAGGAAUUGUCAAUUAAAUAUGUUUGAUUGGUAUAAUUUUUCACCUUAAAAAUAUUUAAAUUUUGGAUCUUUUGGUGUUCAUUUGGCAUUGUUUUCCAUAAAAAUUGUCAAUUAAAGGGAUAGAAAUUGUUAAAAUUGUAAAUAUAAUUUUUUUUCCAUUGUCGAAAAUUAAAAAAAAAAACUGAAAAACCCAAUUCCCACCCAAACCAUGAUAAUUGGUUUUUCACAAAACCAAGGAAAAUCAUUCACGUGGGGCAGGGCGGGGCGGGCGGGGAGGAAAACGAAUUGUCGGGGAAAUUUUUGCAAUCAAACAACAAAAAAUAUGAAAAAUGAAAAAUUAACCAAAUCAAACAGACUCUUAGUCUAAUUAAUGAAAUAACAAAAAAGUCACAUGGGACCUACCAUACAUCAAGGGCCACAUGGCGGGGCCGUCAUGUGGCCUGGACAAGUAGCUUUUCCAAGUCACAUUAGCUAUAAUUAAUCGACUUUUUACAUUUUUAAUCAAUAUCCGAAGUACCUAAAUAUUCGAAACAUCAAAAAAAAAAAUUGCAUUAAACCAAAGUAUAAUAUUAAAAGGGUCAAAAAGUUAUUAAAAACCACACAUUUUUAGUUCUUACACAAGGUUUCCCCCCAUCACAUCAGGGACUUUAGUGACCUGGCUUUAAUUGCGUGGGCGGAUUCAGUAGUGGGCUGCACUUGGCUGCAGCCCACUGUCUUCCAACCCGGAUACCAAAAAAAGGUUUGAAUUGUAAUUAUUCAGCCACAUUAGCCCACUAACAAAUAAAUUCAGUGGGCUAGCCCACUCUAAAAAAAAAUUAUUUAAUUUGUAGCCCACUAACCUAUAUAAAUUUAGGCCCAAAAUAAUACCCAUUUCAUUAGUAAUUACCGUGUAAUCAAAUAAUUAAUCCCCAAUUCCCAAACAUUUUCCAUUCCCGUCAUUUGCAAAAUCAACUCACAGAAGUCCCAAAAAUAAAAAAUUAAAAUCCCUAUCUUCACUUUGCCAGUUUGCCCCUACCCGUAGCCGCCGGCGUAACGGAAUUGUCAAUUGUCGACUGGCCCAACUCACUUCCGGCCCGUAAGUGACGGACUUGCACAGUCGCACUGAUUCGUCGCCUCAAGCCUGGCUACCGACGACUUGGGUUAGGUUUUAGGGUAAGUAAUUUACUAAUUAGUUUCUUAGAAUUUGAAAAUCUUUCCGGCCCGUUAGUGGCGGACUUGCACAGUUGCACUGAUUCGCCGCCUCAAGCCUGGCUACCGACGACUAGGGUUAGGUUUUAGGGUAAGUAAUUUGCUAAUUAGUUUCUUAGAAUUUGAAAAUCUUUCAAUAUCUUUUCAAUUAAUUAUACUUGGUUUGUUGUAUUGAAAAUCUUUCAAUAUCUUUUCCAUUCCCGUCAUUUGCAGAAGAAAUAAUUAAAUUUGUUCAAGAUGUUGGUCAUUGGAAACUUGGAAUAAUUUAAUUAUACUUGGUAUUUUGGGUUAUUGCCUUAUUGGAUAGUUACUACUUAUUAUGUUUCUUGUUCAAUUGUUUGUCUUUUAAUUAUGUGGGAACAAGAACAGACGAGCAGGGAACUGAAAUUUUACUCACUUGAUGGAAUGAAUGAAUGAUGGUGCUUAUAGUCGAUCAUUUGAGGCUUUCAAGCAGUCGAUAGGAAUAUUUAAGAAGAUGAUUUGAGCAUAUACCUGUGAAGCUGUGACUCCUGAAAUUUCAAGCACAGUUCCACCCUUUAUUUCUUUAUUAUGUAGAGAGACUUCUCUUGACCAUAGUUUUUUGAGUUCUCUGAUUGGCCAUUGCACUAACUGCUUCCCUUUUUUGUCGAGCAAUACGGUUCUUGGAAUUGACUGCCAAAAAUCCAAGUAUCAGGAAAUACAGUCUACAUUCAUAUUUUCAUCAAACUCUUGCCUUGUGAAAUAUUCAUAAAUGGGUGGCCACGAUUUAUAAGAUGUUAAUAUUCGAAAAAAAUCAAGAAGCAAUAAAUUGCCAAAAAUGAGGAGAGCACAGAAAAGAUUAGACAUAGAUUACCUGAACUCCAGACCAUCCUUUCUCGAUAUAAAAUGUUUUGGAAGCAUAGAACAUACCAUAAUCAUAUCUAAGCUGCUUAAUACUAUCCAUGAAAUCAACAUCAACAUUAUAUCUAUCCGUUUUCAAAUCAUAAUUUCCUAUUACAUAGUAGUCAUGAUCACUAAAACUCGCCUUUAUGACAUGUUUAGUUUUUCGACCAUUGAAAGAUGAGUGGAGCCCAGUUCUACGAUGAGUACUAACCGGAUAAUCAAGACACUCCCACAUUCCUGUUUUGAUUGACGAAUGAAGAGGACUUCGACUCUUGUUGAAAUGGAAUGAUUGCCCCCCCCCCCCCCUAAAUUGUACUCACUUGAUGGAUUUUUUUUGUUUAAUUGUAGGUGAAGUAUUUUGAUUCUUUGAAGUACUGUGCUAUUUGUUAAGAAGAGGGUCCAGAGGUUGCUGAACUAGUUGAGAAUGUUUAAGGUUGGUUCUCUGACUUUGGAUAAAAAAAUCUCAUUUCAUAGCAAACGGUAAAUUGGUUUUAUGAUUAUGGUUUUAUAAAUUUAUAUUUAUGCCUUUAUGGGAUAUUGAAGCAUUUUAAUUUUUAUACUUUUAGAUUUAAUAUGGAAGAAGAUCGACCUUCUACCAAGAAAUAACAAAUCUCUGGAUUCUCCAAUUCCUACGGUGCCUAUUCCUCCAAUUUCAUGCCCUGGAGUUGAACGGCCUUCAUCUUCCAAUCUUAAUUUUGAACCAUCUGAUUCUAUUGAAUGGACCCUGAAAAAAGAAAGCAAAUAUAUGAAUAUCCAUUUAAUGAAUACGAUCAAAUUAGGCGGGCCUAUCUAAAUGUUGGACCUUAUCAACCAAAACUUUUGGAGUAUAGAGCAAAGGAUGUAAAAAGCAAAAACGUCGAUUUCAGAAACGUUGGUAUAAUCAAUUUCCUUGGUUGGAAUAUUCGCCUUCCACACAUAAGGCAUAUUAUUUUUACUGCUUCCUUUUUCUCAAUGAUAGUACUCUACCUAAUAUUUCAUCAUUGGUUACUGUUGGAUUUGAUAGUUAGAAGAGGGUUAACCAAGGAAGUAAAUGUGCAUUUCUUAUUCAUGUUGGUACAACAUCGUCAUCAUUUCAUAAUAGAUGUAAGAGAAGAGCUUAAGAUUUAAUGAAACCAACUCAACAUAUUGACAAGGUAAUGCAUUUUGUAUCAAAUGAGGAAAAACAGGAAAAUUGUUUGCGUCUAAAGACCACUAUUAUGAGUGUUAAGUGGUUAGCUCUUCAAGGUUGUUCCUUUAGAGGCCAUGACGAAUCUCCAUCUUCACUGAAUAGUGGGAAUUUUAUUGAAUUAGUGGAUGCAUUUGCAAAAAUCAAUAUUGAAGUAGGAAAAGUUGUGUUGAGUAAUACUCCCAAAAAUACUACAUACACGUCUCCAGACAUUCAAAAAGAAAUUUUGAGCAUUAUAGCCAAUAGAGUGGGACAAGGAAUUCGUACGAAAAUUGGGGAUGCAAAGUUUAGUAUUCUUGUUGAUGAAGCACGAGAUGAAUUUUCACGAGAACAAAUGGCUAUUAUCCUGAGGUUUGUAAACAGUAAUGGAAUUUUGACAAAGUUUUUUUUCUGCAAUUAAAAGUGUCAGUGACACUACCUUAUUAAAUUUUAAGAAUCAGAUUUCUGAUGUUAUUAUUCAUUUCAACCUUCAAGUGCAAAACAUGAAAGGCCAAGGGUAUGAUGGUGCUAAUAAUAUGCGUGGUUCUUGGAAUGGACUACAGGCAUUACUUUUUAAAGAUUGUCCAUAUGCGUUUACAACUCACAUUGGUUUUUGCAGGUAAGGAUGUCUCAGUUAUUAAUUCAUUUUUUUCUCAUUUGGACAAUGUUAUUAAUAUGAUUACAUCAUCUCCUAAGCGCAUCAAUGAGUUGAAAAGUGCCCUAAGAAAAUAAAUUGAGUAUUUGUUAGAAAUUGGAGAACGAGAGUCCAGAAGUUGUGCUAAUCAGAUUGGUAAUUUGCAACGAUCCAAAAGUACUCGUUGGUAUUCUCAUUACAGCUCUGUAAAGAGUUUGAUUGAUAUGUAUACUGCAACUUGCAAGGUGCUUGAGUAUCUUAGUGAUCGUUCUCCAAGUACAAGAUCUCGGUCCGAAAUUGGUGGUGUAUACAAAACCAUAACAACAUUUGAAUUUGUAUUUAUCUUACAUUUAAUGCAUAGAAUAUUAGCAAUUGCGGAUGUUCUUUGUCAGUCCCUUCAAAAGAAAACUCAAGACAUCUUAACUGCUAUGAAAUUUGUCUAUACUACAAAAACUAUCUUUCAAAUAUUGAGAAGAGAUGGCUGGGAAGAAUUUCUUGAAGAGGUGAAAUGUUUUUGCUCCAAAAAUGAUAUACAUGUACCUGACUUUGAUGGCUCGUAUAUGGUUGGUCAUUCUCGUGGUCGUGAGUAUCCUACCACUGAACAUCAUUAUCACUUUGAUAUUUUCAAUGCAGCCAUUGACUUUCAAAUGAUGGAGUUAGAUACAAGAUUUAACGAGACAUCAAUAGAGCUCCUUUCUCUCAGUACAACUUUGGAUUCAAAAAAUUCUUUUGAAUCAUUAAAUAUGGAUAAUAUUUGCAAGCUUGCAGAGAAGUUUUAUCUUGAAGAUUUUAAAUAGUAAGAUAUUUAUUGUUUGAAAGUUGAGUUGCAACAUUAUCAAAAUGAUGUGAUUUCUGAACCUCGAUUUCAAGUACUUACACUUUCUGAUUUAUGUCGGGAAUUGGUUGCAAGUAGAUGGUCGGAGAGUUACGUCAUUUUGACUAAAUUGAUUUGUUUAGUACUGACACUAUCUGUUUUAACGGCGAUUGUGGAGCGAGCAUUUUCAUCAAUGAAACAUGUGAAGACGAAAAUUCGUAACAAAAUGGAUGAUGGUUCUCUUGCUGAUUGUUUAACACUAAACAUUGAACGAGAAUUUAGUAUGAAUUUAGAUCUAGAUUCUAUUAUAGAUGAAUUUUAUGCUGUAAAACAUCGCCGAGUAUAACUUCAACAGGUAAUUUAUAUUUUAAAUUUUUCUUAUUAUAUAUAAAUUUUAUUCGUACAUUAAAUUUUUUAAAUUUUUAGCCUAUCGUAACAGUAAUUCUUGACUCUGCCCUUAUUUAAUUGGCUUUCGAGCUCUUUUCCUCCUACUCUCAUCACCCUCCUUGUCUUCCUCAUACUCGAUCUCGAAUUUCUCUUUGUCAAUUUCAGAGAAUGUGGAUGAUAUCGUUUCACAUUCUUGCUCUACUAGAGUACUACUACUAACUCGAUUGUUCUCGCCUCUUUUCUUGCCCCAACGCGGUCCAAAACCUGAAUAGUAGUAAAAUUCAUUCGAAUUUGACGUUGAAGCUGCCUUCUCGCCCAGUGGCUUGAGCGGAGAGUCAGCCACCACUUUAUCUUGUUUCUUUGCUGCUGGAAGAGACAAGUUGCAGUUUCGCACUUGAGAUAAGUGGUGCUUGCACAAAGAGUUCCCUUCGGCCGCCUCCCUCUUGCAUUUCCAUGCUUUCCCAUCAGUCUUGACACAAUAUACAAUCUGCAUUUCCUUCUUUAACCCGGGAUUCUCAGGCCCUUCCUCCGAGUCCUCAUGGGCAGAGCUUCUCAGAUUGCCGCCAUCGCCUUCGCCAUUGGAAUUAUCCCAUUUUACAGCUUUGAUCUCUCCAGUCAGUUCAUUCUCCGCGGCAAUUUUCAGUGAUGCAGCACUAUUGAUAAUAAUCCAAAUAAACAUUUGACUCCAAAUUUUAAAAAAUCAAUAAUGCUGAUUGAAGAACCCUAAUUAUUUUCAGCGUCAAUAAAGAGCUGGAAAUUGUAAGAUAAUCCGAAUUAAACACAAAAUAAAAGGAUCACCUAUGAAAAGCUGCAUUAGGUUCUCCCAAGCUUCCAUUUCCCGCUAAAUUAUCAGUUCCAUUGACCUGCAUAGAAAUUAUUCUACGUCGAAAAAAUAGUAACAAGCAAGCUAUAAUAAACAAAUACAGUGAAAAUACACAAAAGAAUUCAAAUUCCGAAGACCAAAUACACGACAAAAACCCUUUCAUUCAUAUUUUUUAAUGAACCCGACUGGUGGGGUUUUCAGAAAACCCUAGAAGAAAAAAGAAUAAAAGCAAAAACGAAAGUAAAUUUGACAAGAAUAAAAAUGGUUUCCAACAGAUCUGUAUACAGAAUUAAAGUCCUGUCAUUACAGAUAAAACUUCACUAACCUUGAACGACGGUGGAGGAGGUGGUGGCGGAGGAUAUGAUGAUGGAGAAAAGCUCAUCACGUCCCAAGGGGAUUGAUUCAAUUUGCAAAUAUGGGUUUGAAGAACAUUUCCAGAUUUCAGUGAAGAAGCUGCAUACAUCAAUGGACAAAUUUUAGCGUUCUUCCGUAUUCUCAUGGUGGUUCGGUGGCCUUCUGGGGGAGUUUUUUGGUGGAUGGUCGGGGCAGAAACUCACAAGGGCGGAGAGGCUCUGUGAGAGUGGGCAAAGGGUAUUCUUUUUAUAUUUUUUUCUCUCUCUCUCUCUGAAUGUGUGUGUAUAUUCUCAGUUGUAUGUAUAUUAUAUAUUUAUUGCUUACAGAACAGUACAUAUCUUCAGACAACCACUUAUGGCCCACAGGGUAAUAGUGUUAAAGAGUGUGUUCUGUAAACCCACUCUAGUUAAUUUUAAAGUCCCAAAUUUUAUAGUGUUAAGUUAAUGAAAAAAAAUCUACAGAUGUAUUUAUAGUGUUAGCCGUGAAAUCCUGAAUUUUAUGUGUGGAAAUUACAGAGAUGGAGCGUUUACAAAAGCUCAAUUCAUAAUUAAGAGUUACAGGCUUUUUUUUUCAAAAAUCAUAUUAUAAUUUAAAUAUUAAAUAUUAAUAAUAUUAUUAUUAAAUUAAAUUAAUUUAUCAACUCAACUCUACUCUACCCUACCCAUCCUACCUCAACUCUCACUUCCACAAAACCUAACUUACAGUUUCAAAAGCUAUUCAGUAUUCAUUUCUACUUCAACUCCAUGGCGCAACCACUCCCAAGAUGCUUCACCCUAGCAACUCUCAUUACACUACCGAGAGACCACCACAACGGCAUCAUCGUCGCAUUGCGCUGAGGUGGCGUCACUCUUCCCUAUCGACGAUGUCAUCAUAGCAACGAUGAGUUAUCCUUCUCUCUACCUUUUCUUCACUCGCAGCAAUCUCUCUUUCCCCCGAUUUUUACAGCAGCCACGAGUACCGCAACAACAACACCGUGCUACUGUUCACAACAGCAUUGCCCUGCCAUUCACAAUAGUUCCAAGCGGUUUCAAGGGCGUUGCCGUUAGAGACGCUGAUUUUACAGCAACGGUUCCAGACGGUGCACCUUUUCAGCGAGACACCAUUGCCGCGAGACAGCACAGCGUCAUUUUGAAAAUGGAAGUAAUGCUUUCAGAUCCAACGACACUGAUUUGAACAUCGUAGCGGGGUUUAAAGCGCCGCUGUAGGGUACUGAUCUGCACACCUCUGUGUAGUGUUUGUCGCAACGAUCUCCGUGGUUUUGGGGUUGAUCGAUCUGAAAAUAGAAGCGAGGCUGAUUUGAGUGUCGCAGCAGCAUCUACAACACCACUAUGAGGCCCUGAUCUGUGCGGUGUUUACCAAGGUGGUGAUGGUUGCGGUGGUGGUGGUGGUUAAAGCUAUGGCGGUGGUGUCGAUGACGACGGUGCUGGAGAUGUCAGGGAUGCUAGUGUAGUCAUGGUGAUGCUGAUGGCGAGGACAAUCGUGGCGAGUGAAGGUGUUUGUAACCAACCAAUAAAUUGGUUAAUUUUUUUAUCAAUAAAUCAUAUCUAAUCUAAAAAUGUGAUCGUGACUCACAAUUUAUUAUGUUGUGACAGAGAUAUAACUUGUGACCAAUUAAUUUGAUAAUGAUCAUAAAGUAAACUGUUACUUAUAAAAUUUGUGAUUUGUAACCAAUAAUAAUAUAUAACCAAUAACUUGUGACCAAUAAUAAUAUGUGACUUAUAAAUUUGAAUCUUGACUUAUAAAUUUUGUGUUUUUUGACAUAUAAAUUUUUUUAUUUGUGAUCGAUGAAUUAUAAAAAAAAAUUUAUUUAUAACCGUGAAAUAAUUUGUGGCCUAUAAAAAUUUUUAUUCGUAAUCGAGAAAUAAUAUAUAUAUAUAAUUAUUUCAUAAAUAAAAAUAUAAUUAAUAUCUAAUUUUUGAAGUUUAAACCAUGUUUCUUAGUUUUGAUAUGAGUCAUACUUGAUUUCUUAUAAUGAAAUUUUUCCAUUUUAUAUUCUUAAAUUGAUUGGUGUAGUCCAUUAAGAAACAAGCAAUGGAGGCUUAGACCAUUUAAAAUGAUGAAAGCCCAUAAUAUAAGUUAUUUAAGGCUCUGUUUGAGCCAUAUUCUUCAAAAAAAAUCUUAAACGGUAAUUUUAUAUCAUCUUACUUACACAUUCUUUAAUAAAAUAAUAUUACACGUAAAUUCAAAAGUUUUCCUUAUUUUUUAACAACACAUUCUAUAUCAAUCUGCUAUUCCAAAAUACAUUUUUUUAAAAUAAUGUGACUCAAACACAAUUGAAUGCCCAAAGAUUUAAGACAUUACAUUUAAAUAAAUUUGAUUACAAGAAUUUAACGAAAAACUAGGUUGCCACAGUGGUUAUCUAUUUCACAUACGAAACCCAAGUUUGAAUCACCAUGCAAAUAUUUUUAUAAAAUAUAAAAUAUUUUGAGUCAAAACUCCUCAUUUUAUACAUUAAGGAUAACUAUAUCAAAUUAAGUGGAUUGAAUAAUUAUUCUUGUUAGUGGACAUUCAUAGAGACAGGUUACAAAUAACAUAAAUAAUUCAUUUUCAUCAAUUUUUCAUCAUGUAAUGUUUUCUAAAAAAAAAUUAUAAGAAUUAUUUUUUUAUAAGCUUAAAACUCUUUAAAUUCUUACUUAAAGACUCAAUUUAACAAGAUUAAUGAUGGUAGUACUCUUCUAUUUAGUUUUUCACUAAAAAGGGAAGUUACAAGAAGAAGAAUGCCACUUUUUUAUCGUACCUCUUCUCAAAUCUGAAUUUGCCUUUAUUUUUCUUUCAAGAAUUUCUUUUUAGUUAAGUUAAGCUCAAAAAGAAUUGCAAGGGUGUGAAAGAAAAAUACUUCAACACAUUUUGUUCCUUUGUAUGUGUAUGUGUGUGUGAGAUCAGAAGGGUACACCAAGUGAUAUAAGUCCUAUUGAGUUUAAAGCUCACACCUUCUAUAUUGAAAACUUUUUCAGAAAUAAGGAUGGCCAAGAAAGUGGAUUGCAAAAGAUCCAAAUGAAGAAUGUGCUUCAUUUGUGUAAGUAGUUAUAUUUGAAGAAUUUAUAAUUCUUACUAGUUAUGCAACUUAUGUUUGAUUUUUAAAAGAUGUUAGUUUAUCUUUACUUUUUUUAAGACUUCUUAGUUCUUUUUUCUUGAUGUGACUGUUGAAAUUUUAAUCAGUUUAAAUAUGCAUGUAAUUAAAGUUGCUAAAGAAGUUAAGAUUAAACCUUAACUUGUAAAAAAUAAAUAUCAGCUUACUCCAUGAAUUUUAUUGAUGUCAUCUCGUAUAGAAUUAUUUGAGUUUUUUGACAAAACUAAUGUGGUUUGACCGCCCUAUGAGUCCUCUCUCUGUUGGUUUUGGAAUCAAGUCAAUUGAAAGUCGAUGAGAUAAGAUAUGCCCUUUUCCAUGUAUCGUGUUCGUGUACCAGAGAACAAUUUUUUUUUUCAUAUGUUUGAUUGUCCAUUUGAGUGCCUAAAUGAUGUUAGAAAAUUUUGAAAUUUUACUAUGUUGUGCUUGAAUGAGUUUAGAAUAUACUGUAAAAUUAGAGAAAUUGGAUAAGGAUUUGAAUUCUCCUUGGUUCUCUACAUCAUCAAUCACCCACAUCCUCAACCCAGGUAUGAAAAUUUUAUUGAACAUUUUCAUGAAAUUUUAAAGUUAUGUUUUCAUAAAUUUUUAUUUUUAGUUGUGAAAAAAUAUGUAUAUUGGACUAUGAUAACAAUGGGUGAUAAAUGGCUAGAAGAAGAAGAUGCAACUUAGUCAGCAUCUUAGAAAUGGCGAUUAGAACGUAUUUGGAUUUUGAAGUUGAGGAUUCCUUAGAUCUGGUGGAUCACGUACAUAGUGUUAAUGAGCAUUAGGUAGCAACUAAGAAUGCACGCUAUCAGAUUAGCAAUCAACAAGCCAUUCGGCUUCUCUUGAAUACAUUAGCAACUCAUGAAGAGUGUAUUGGCAAGCUUUUAUUUAAAGAAAUGGGUUCAGUAAUUCCAUUGAGGAAUCCUCAUACCAUAGGUAUAAAGAUUUUUGUAAUGCUCUUUUAGAUUAUUGAGAGACCUACCUCGGGAAAGUAACCUUACAUUUUAGUUUAGAUUCAAGAGUGAUGAUAGACGAUGAUGUAAUUCAACCAUUAAGGAUUAUAAGGUAAAUCAACCAAUCGGGGAUCAUCAAGGAAAUGGUAGAAGAGGACCCCGAAGAGUAUCCAGUUGAAGAUUGAGAAAGGGAUGUAGAAGUCUUAUAGAUAGGCAAAUAAAAUAAAUAAAUAAAAAUAAUAUCAAUCAUUAUAGUUUUCUUUGCAAUUUCAAUUAAGUCCAGUGACAUGUAAACUUUAAGUUUAGGCGUUUUAGAUUAUAAAUGGAUUUGUGCACUUAAAAAAAAAAAAAAAUCAUUCUUGAGUUGGCAGCAUGCAUGUCUAAAGGAUGAAAAGCUUAUUUUCGUGUUUAAAAGAAAUGGCACAACCAAACCAGAAUGAUUUGAUAAGAGAUUUGUUGUAAGCGGUGCAAGGGCUUGGAAGGCAAGCCCUGCAAGCAAACCAUUUAGUUGCCCAACUCAAACAUUGAUUUUGGAAAUUUUCAGAAGCAUAGUGAUCCGUUAACAGCCGAGGAAUGGCUACGGAAGUUGGGACAAUUUUUCUAGCUUAUAGAUGACAAUGAUACACAAAAGUACGGUGCACGGAGUUUAUAUUCACUGAAGCAGCAAAUCAUUGGUGGGAGUCAAUGUUUCGAACUAGGACCAAAGCUAAGCAAGAGGCUUUGACUUGGAAUCAAUUUGAAGAAAUUACUAGAAGUUCUUUUCCCGAGCAUUAAGGGACUUUAAAGAACAGAUUUCUUACAGCUAAGGCAAGGAAGCAUGACUCUGGCUGAUUGUAAGAAAAAGUUCGACCAGGUAACUAAGUAUGCUCUACAUUUGGUGACUACUGAAUUUAGAUAAAUAAAGGGAUUUUAGCAAAGGCUUCAUCAGGACAUUCACAAAAUCCUCAUGUCUCACCGUUUUACUACCUAUAGCAAAAUGUUGGAAAGAGCUCAUGCUUUCUGGUAUCAAACGGCUAGUACUAAAAAGUAUGGAAUAAAGACAAGUUCAGACUAUCAUGGUAAAGGCUGCUAACAAAAUAAGUUUGUGGCUAGUAAAAGGAAGUGGAACAACUAGGAUAAGAGAAAGAAAAAUGGCAGAAUAAGAAUGUGACGACCCAACCUCUGUACACAAGUCAUCAGCUUACAUACUGUCCGCUCUAGGAGAGUUAAAGCCCAUCUUAUCCCUCAAUAAUUUCUUUAGCGUCUCAAAGAUUUGAACACAUGACCUUCCUUUAAGAGAGACUUAAAUUAUGAGACCUCCUAGGGGACACGACAACUUUGGUGGCUAUGGCUUCAGGGGCAAGAGAAAUGGUGGUGGUUGUGGCAGUUGCUUCGAUGGCGGCAGCUUCUACCCUAGUCACGACGAAGGUCCACUUGAUGAAGUCAUUGAGGUUUCAUCAUUUGCUCAUGCUUAUGAGGCAGAUGUUGUAACAAAGCUCACAAGUAAAAAAUUACCAUACUUUGACGCACCAAUUUACCUUCAAAACAAGACACAGAACGAUAAAGUUGAUGAAAUAUUUGGCCUCAUUAAUGAAUCUAAUUUGUGAUUAAAAUGAUGGAAUAAAUUGUGGCCAUGUCGUAUUCAGCAGGCGAGAAGUUCUACAUUGACCCGACUAAGUUUUUGCUGCUUUCAAGAUUUCUUCCACAGCCAAAAGGACAAGCGCAAACUGGUGGUAGAGGGGGAGAAAAAAGGUGGUGAGAGAGGUGGACGUGGCGGUGGCUACUUUCACGGAAGGGGUGCUCCAAGGAGAAGAGAUGGUUCUCGAGGCGGUGGUCGUGGUGGAGGUUUCAGGGGUAGAGGGAGAUCAUAGAAUGACUGUAUUUGUGCUUUUCUUCUUUUAGUUGUCAAUCCAAGGUGCUUCCCAAUCAAACAGAACAAAAAAAAUGACGAAUUUUUGUCUUAAUGUAAUUUUGUUAUUUUCAAUUGGGCUGCUGUAAAAUUAUAUUACUCUAGUUCGGAUUUUAUUGCAUUAUUAUAUACUUUUGUUAAAUUUAAAAAUAAUAAUAAUGAUAACUUAAAUUGAAUCCUAGCACUGAUUGGACAAAACCACGUAAAAGUAGUUUAGGAUAAACAAAAGAGUUAUGCAGACAAUCAAAGAAAACAAUUGAAAUUUGAAGUUAGUGAAAAUGUCUUUGUGAAAGUGACACCUAUGAAGGAUGUAUUAAGAUAUGGUAAGAAGGCAAGUUGAGACCGUAAUAUAUGGUACCUUUCAAAAUUCUUGAUAAGGUUGAUAACGUAGCGUAUCUGUUACCUCUACCUUCCGAACUAUCUAUUGUACAUAAUGUAUUUCACAUGUCUAUGAUAAGAAAAUAUGUGCAGGAUCCAAGUCACAUGGUAAAUUAUUAAAUAUUAGAUGUUCAAAAAGAUCGAUUUUACGAAGAAGUUCGAAUUGCUGUUUUGGAUAGAAAGGUACAACAAUUAAGGCCUAAAAAAAUUCUAUUGGUCAAGGUUCAAUGAUGACAUCACGGGAUAGAGGUGGUUACUUGGGAAACGGAAGUAAAAAUUAAAGCCAAGUAUUUGACAUUGUUUGUUUAAUUUAAGUAACUUAAAGGACGAAAUUUUUUAAGGUGUAAAUGAUGUAAAUCUCGAAUUUUAUAUUCUUAAACUGGUUGAUGUGAUUUAUUUAAGAAACGAGCUACGGUGGUUUGACCCAUUUAACGUAAUGAAAGCCUAAGACAUAAGUUAGUUAAGACUCCAAAGAUUUAAGACAUUCAGUUUAAAUAAAUUAGAUUACAAAAGUUAAAUGAAUAAUUGGAUUGUCACAAUGGUCAUCGGUACGAUAUUGCUCAUAGGAAACUUAGGUUUGAAUCACCAUAUAAAUGUUUUUAUAAAUAUUUUGGAGUUAAAAACUCCUCAUUCUACACAUUAAGAAUAAUUAUAUCAAAUUAAUUGGUUGGACUAAGUGUUUUUGUUAGUGGGCAUUAAUAGAGAUAGGUUAUAAAUCAUAUAAAUUAUUCAUUUUCCUCCAUUUUUUAUCAUAUAAAUGUUUUAUUAAAAAAACUAUAAGAAUGAAUUUUGUGUGAGCUUAAUACUCAUUAAAUUUCAGCUUAAUACUCAUUAAAUUUCUACUUAAAGACUCAACCACUGUAUGACAAUAAUUAUUUUGAGAAAAUUGAGUUUUGAAUAGUAAGUUUUUGGAUAAUAAGUGAUUAAAAAGCAGGAAAAAAAUUUGAUUUACAUGAAAAAUAUUUUAUUAUAUAAAUGUGUAAUUGAAAACGAGUAUGAGAAUUAAAGAAUUUGAAGUAAUGGUUGUCAAACAAGGUCUCAAUUUAACCAUGUUAAUGAUGAUAUAACUCUCCCAUUUAGUUUUUCACUAAAAGGGAUGUUACAAGAAGAAGAAUGUCAUUUUUUUAUCCUGCAUCUCCUCAAAUCCGAAUUUGUCUUUAUUUUAGUUAAGUUAAUCUCUAAUGAACAAUAAAGGUGUGAAAGAGAAAUGCUUUUAGACAUUUUAUUCCUUCAUAUUUCAAGAAAUUCAAAUUAGGUGGUGCUAAGUAUCUACCCAUUUUGUCCAUUAUACUCUCACACACACUAGUAAUGUAUAUUAGAAUUUUUGAAGUUAUGAACAAAGAAGUUUAUAUAUGGCCAUAACUGAUUUCCACAAACCAAAGGAAUUCUUUGGAAUCAUGAAUUUGCCUACAUUCAUCUACAUGAAAUGUUAAAUUCUUUUCUAUCACUUUAUAUAUGUAUCUUCGUGUGUGCAUGCGUGUGUGUAAUCUAAAGGGUUCUACUGAGCUUAUAGUCCACACCUUCUAUGUUGAAAAAUUUUUAAGAUUAAAUGAUGGUUGAGGAAGUGGGAUUCACGUAGAUUGUGGAGGAUCUGAUGGAGAAAUGUGCUUCAUUUGCAUAAUUAAGCAAAUUUGAAAAAUUUGUAGUUCAAACUAGUUAUACAACUUAUAUUUAAUUUCUAAAAGAUGGUAGUUUAUAUUUACCUUUUUAAAAGACUUCUUAGUUCUUUUUCUUGAUGUAAACACUAAAAUUUUAAUUGGUUUAAGUAUGUAUACAAUUAGAGUUGCUAAAGAAGUUAAGAUUAAACCUUAGACAUUUAAACAAUAAAUUGCAUGAAAUUUGUCGCACCGUCUUGGACAAAACUUUUUGAGUUUUUGGACAAAACUAGUAGGAUUUGAAAGCCCUAUAAAUCCUUUGUAUGUUGGCUUUAGAAUCAAGUCAAUUGAAGGUCGAUAGGGCAAGUUAUGUCCCUUUUCUAAUUGUGUUGUGUUUAGUGUACCCGAAAAUAGUUUUUCAUAUGUUUGAGGGCUUAAACGAUGUUAGAAAAUUUUAAAAUUUUACUAUGCUAUACUUGAAUGAGUUUUUAAAAAUAUUGUAAAGAUUUCAUAGAAUUAUGAAUUUGAAAAAUGCAACCAAGCUUGAUCAUUGGGUAGCGCAUUGCUCGAUUUAACUCCGCUAAUAUACACUAACCUUCAUUUUAGUGCUCCGUUUUAAUUUCAUUAUUUAAAAAUCAAAGUUAUCUACCUUAAAUCAUUUGUUUCCAAUAAUUUUCGAAACUUGUAAUAAAACAUAAUGGUAAACUACAAAAUAAAAAGGAAAUUAAUAAAAAUUUUAGUGGAUUACACGUAUCUAUUCACCAACGGCGUGGAUCACCUUUUAAGAGAGUACUGUGCGGUAUUCAUGUUAUGUUUAAAUUACAAUCUAAAAAUAAAUUAACAAACAAAUUCGACAAGAGAAAUUGUGUUUUAAGAGACUUCUAACUUUUCUUUUCUUUUCUUUUUUAAUUGUACAUUCUCUUAAAAAUUACGUUUUACAAAAUUUACUCAAAAGAAUUUAUAUCAAAUGAAUCCUAUGUAAAAGGUAGAAGUUAAUGAAAAUAUAUAUAUGCAGAUGUGUUAAAUAGAAUCUCGUAAUCUUUAAUCCACUCUUAAAUUAUGAAAAUAUUUAGUGGAUUACAUGUAUCUAUUGAUCAACGGCAUCGAUCAUCUUUUAAGAGAGUAACGUGCAAUAUCCGUGUUAUGUCUAUUUUACCUUCUAUUAUGACUAGCCUUUGCCCGUGCAAUGUAAGGGUUGGAUUAUUUUGAACGUAAUGCUAGUAUGUUAAAUAUAUUCGGUUAUAGUGUGUCACUUUCGUCAUUUACAUUGAUAGAUGAUAAAAGAAUCAUUUAUCAUACUCUAUUAACAUAUAUAGAUUUCUUUAUAAUUAGAAUUGAUAAUAUGUAAUUGUCUAGCUAUUUAGAAAUCAAAUGUAUAAAUAUCAAACCAUGAGCAUUUAUGGUAUGGAAUUCAAUUCUUUCUUCCACGUUGACUUUUUCUCUGGAUACAAAGGCUCCAGUUUCAAAUGCUAGCCGAACAUCUAAGCUACAUGACAAAAGUUAAUGAGAUUUGUUUUUUUUUUUUUUAAGUAUGAAGGACUCUUUUAAAAUGUUAGUUGGGUUACAAUAUUUGAAAUAGUAGCAUAAAUAUUUGUCAUGGCAUUUGAAAUAGUCACUAAAGUUUUGUUAUAUGGCAUUCAAAAUAGUCAUUGCCACUCAAAUAUGAAGAAAAACUAACAGACCAAGUCAAGAUACUUAGCAAACACCAAACAUGAUAUCUCUACGCACAAGAUAUUAAGACUAAUAACCCAACAGAUUUUUAACUAUCCUCCUAACUAUAGAUGUUAAACUGCAAGAUUUUACUUAGUCAAUUCACCAGAUAGAAAAUAAUUAAAUUAAUAUCAUUUGGUACACAAGCAAAUUUCAAUUUAUAAGUUAUCUUAGAAACUUCCAACAAAGGUUUACUUACAUGGUGAAAGAGCAAGAGAGGUAAAAUAUUGCAUUCUUCUGGUCACGCUUUAUAAGACACUGAUAUGAACAUUCUCGAGGCCCUGGCUGCAAAAUAAAAGAAAGUUAAAGCAUCAGUUAGCAUAAUUUCUAAAGUUCUUAGUUCGGCAUAGAUAAGGUUUAAAGAAUCACGCAUUGUUAAACAAUAAUAAACACGCUGAAUGCAAAUAACAUAGAAAACUAAAAAAACAAUCAGUAACCACCAAAUCUUUUUUGCCCAAAUCGCAUAUCCAAUGCUUUCAGUUAAUCAACUAAUGCAGAUUGUCUUCUCACUUCAUACUGUAGUUUCCUUCUCAAGAUCUCUCCUUCGACCCUCUGAGUUUCAAUAUCUCAGAUUAUAAGAAUCAGUGUGGUAGGGUUUUCUUUUUUCAUAGAGAAAUGAAAGCGAGAGAGAGCAAAACCCACUUUUAAGUGACAUUUUGUGAACCGGUUAAUGAAUAGUACAAACCAAACAAGUGUGAAAACUCAAGUGACAAGAAGAAUAGUGACCCCAACCCCAUCUUUUAAGAGUUUUUUAUUUUUAUUUUUAUUUUUAUUUUUAAAUUAAAUAUUAUAUUAUCUAGAAUGUAAAAAAUUGCUUAUAAGUAAAAUAACACUUCGAGUUAUUUAAAAGUAAUAAAAAAAUUUAUAAUUGUAAAAGCUACUUUUAUAUAUAUAUAUAUUCAUCAUUCUCUUAUAAUUGCAAAAGCAACUUAUAAGUACAAAUAUAUUAACUUAACAUGUUUUAAGUAUAAAUAUUUAGAUAUAUUUAAUUUAUUAAAUUAAAUAUUAAUAAAAAAAAUUACACUAUCUAGAAUGUAAAAAGUUACAUAUAAAUAAAUAAAUAAUCAUUUCAAGUUAUUUAAAAGUAAUAAAAAAUUAUAAUGAUAAAAACUACUUAUAGAUUUAAAAAAUAUUAAUUUCAACAUUUUUAAGUAAAAAUUUAGAUAUAUUUAAUUUUUUAAAUUAAAUAUUAAUAAAAAUUUACUAUAAAAAAAAAAAAAACAUAACACUCCGUGCAUGGAGUGGUUAUGCCGCAUGGAGUGUUAAAAUGUUUGUUUUUUUUAAGUAAUUUUUUAAUAAUAUUUAAUUUAAAAAAUAAAUAUAUCUAAUAUUUACUUAAAAUGUUGAAGUUUAUAUUUUUUUUAUCUAUAUAAGUAACUUUUACAAUUAUAAAUUUUUCAAUUACUUUUAAAUAACUUGAAGUGAUUUUUUUACUUAUAAGUAACUUUUUACAUUCUAGAUAGUGUAAUCUUUUUAUUACUAUUUAAUUUAAAAAAAUAUAUCUAAAUAUUUAUACUUAAAAAUUUUUAAGUUAACAUUUUUUUAUUUUUAAGUUGUUUUUGCAAUUAUAAGAAAACAAGGGAUUUGUAUUUUUUUACCUAUAAAUAGCUUUUAUAAUUAUAAGUUUUUUUUUUACUUUUAAAUAACUUGAAGUGUUUUUUUUUUUUUUUUACAUAUAAGUAAUUUUUUACAUUCGAGAUAGUAUAAUCUUUUUAUUAAUAUUUAAUUUGAAAACUAAAUAUAUCUAAAUAUUUAUACUUAAAAAAUUCUAAGUUAAUAUUUUUUUUAGUUAUAAGUGGCUUUUACAAUUAUAAGUUCAUUUUACUUUUAAAUAAUUUGAAGUGAUUUUUAGUUAUAAGUAACUUUUUACAUUUUAGAAAUAAAGAAUAACUUUUAUGUAAAAAAUUAAUUAAAAUUGUUAUUACUAAUAAAAUUAUAUGAUAUGGUCACUAGUUGAUUGCGUGAAAAAAAAAAAGAGAAGAAAUAGUUUGUUAGAUUCAAAGCAGGUAUACUGCGAGUAAAAUAAAAAAUGACGUCGUUUCUGCUCCACCAAUUAAAAAAAAAGCUAUAGUGUGACAAAAUAUUAUUUAAAAAAAUAUUGCUACUAAUAAAAUUAUAGGAUAUAGUUGAUAGUUGAUAGCGUGAAAAAAUAGAGAAAGAGUAUUGUGUGUCAAAUUCAAAGGACCAAACCAGUUCAAUGUGAAAACCAAUGUGACAAAAAUGAAAUGCUAAAAAGAUCACUUCAAGUUAUUUAAAAGUGAAAUGAACUUAUAAUUGUAAAAGUUACUUAUAAGUAAAAAAUAUUAACUUAAAAUUUUUUAAGUAUAAAUAUUUAGAUAUAUUUAGUUUUUAAAUUAAAUAUUAAUAAAAAUUUUACACUAUCUAGAAUGUAAAAGUUACUUAUAAGUAAAAAAGCACUUCAACUUAUUUAAAAAUAAUAAAAAAAACUUAUAAUCUUAAAAACUACUUGUAUAUAGGUAAAAAAAUAUUAAUCCCUCAUUUUCUUAUAAUUGCAAAAGCUACUUAUAAGUAUUAAUAAAAAGAUUACACUAUCUAAAAUGUAAAAAGUUACUUAUAAGUAAAAAAAUCACUUUAAAUCAUUUAAAAGUAAUAAAAAAAACUUAUAAUUGUAAAGGAUAAUUAUAGGUUAAAAAAAUCAUCAUUUUAAGUAAAUAUUUAAAUAUAUUUAAUUUUUUAAAAAAAUAAAAAAAUUACUUUAAAUAAAAUUUAAAAAAAUAAUAUGUGGAGUAGAAACACUUCGUGCACGGAGUGGAAAUUCUCACUCCAUGCAUAAAAGUGAGAAACACUGCGCGGAGUGUUUUUCACUCCACAUAUGUUUUGGUUUUUUUUUUUUUUUAAAUAUAUAAAAGUGAUUCCUUAUUUCUAAAAUAUAAAAAGUUACUUUUAACUAAAAAAAUUACUUCAAGUUAUUUAAAGGUAAAACGAACUUAUAAUUGUAAAAGCUACUUAUAAGUAAAAAAAAUAUUAAAUUAAAAUUUUCGAAGUAUAAAUAUUUAGAUAUAUUUAAUUUUUUAAAUUAAAUAUUAAAAAAAAGAUUACACUAUCUAGAAUGUAAAAAGUUACUUAUAAAUAAAAAAAUCACUUCAACUUAUUUAAAAGUAAUAGAAAAAUUGAUAAUUGUAAAAGCUACUUAUAGGUCAAAAAAUAUUAAUUUGUCCUUCUCUUAUAAUUGCAAAAACUACUUAUAAGUAAAAAAAUAUUAACUUAAAAUAUUAUAAGUAUAAAUAUUUAAAUAUAUUUAUUUUUUUAAAUUAAAUAUUAAUAAAAAGAUUACACUAUCUAGAAUAUAAAAAGUUACUUAUAAGUAAAAAAAAUCAUUUCAAAUUAUUUAAAAGUAAAGAAAAAAUUUAGGAUUGUAAAAUCUACUUAUAGGUAAAAUAUAUAUAUAUAUAUAUAUAUAUCAACUUAAACAUUUUUAAUUAAAUAUUUAGACGUGUAAUUUUUUUAAAUUAAAUAUUAAUAAAAAAAUUUACUACAAAUAAAAGUUAAAAAAAGAAAAAAUAUGUGCAUUACUCCGUGAACGAAGCAUUGUUAGCUCCAUGCACGAAGCAUUGCUUAAAGGUUGGUUGAUUUUUCUUUUUCUUUUUCUUUUUUUUUUUAUAUUUUUGCUUUCAUUUUUGGGCUUAUUAUGGGAUAUCAAAUGAAGUCGAAAUAUUAUAUUCUUGAUAUCAUUUUGAAGUACUCACGGCAUAGUAUUACACGUCAUUAACGGUGCGCGAAACGGCCAAUCGUAGCAAAUGUUACGAGACGUCAAAAUAGGUAUUUCCAAACUAUCAUUUCGAGAAUUUCGAUAACAAGUUAAUUUUAAAAAUUCAUCGAUGAUUGUACGGUAGUCGAAUGAAUAAAUCUUCUAUAUUCUUUCGAAGCUCAUUUGGAGAACUAUAUCAUAGAUGUAUCGAAUGAUUUAUAUGAAUAUCGAAAAUAGUUAAAUGUGUAUGUUAAAAAAUGAGCAUAACUAGUCUUUUUCUUAAGAAAAUUAAUUAUUUUAUUAAUGUUUAUUAUUUUUUCUCGACAAUUUUCUCAAAAAGUUACUUCAAUUUAUUUAAAAGUAAAAAAAAAAAACUUCUAAUUAUAUAAGCUACUUAUAAGUAAAAAAUAUUAAAUUAAAUUUUUAAGUAGAUAUGUAGAUAUAUUUAAUUGUUAAAAUAUAUUUUACACUAACACAUUUAUCUAAAUGAAAUUUGCUGAAAAAAUAAAAUAAAUUAAAAAUAAAAAAAUUUAUCUCUCCAAAACAUUGCUCCGUGCACGGAGAACAAUAAAUCUCACAUUCUCUCUUUUAAGAUAAGGAAGGAAUUUUUUAAAAUUAAAUAUUUAUUAAUAAAAAAAUUUUAAAAAAUUAUCACCACUCCGUGCACGGAGUGGAAUCACUUCAUCCAUGGAGUGUUAUCACUCUAUGUGAAAGAAGAAUUUUCUCCUUUUGAAAGUAGAGAUUCUCUCCGUGGAUGGAGAGAUUUUCUUGGUCCAUGGAGAGAUUUUUUGUUUUUUUUAUAUUAAUUUUUUUUCAAUUUUAAUUAAUUAAAUAAUAUUUAUGUAUUAUUUAUUUAAUUUUUAUAACUUUCUUCUAUUUUAUUUGCUUAAUAAAAUAAUCUUCAUACAUUUCUUAUGAUAUAAAGACAUUCAUUAAAUUUGAAUUAAAUAAUAUUUAUUUUUUUCUUUAAAUCGUUUUAAUUUAAUUUAAAAAUUUAUAAUAAUUUUUUUAUUUUUAUCUGCAAUUUUUUUUAUAUAAUCUUUAUAUUUAAUUUCGUUUCUUUAUUAUAUAAUAUAUGGUAUUGCUUUUAAUCAAGUGAAGUAGUGUGUGAAAAUGAAGAAAUAUUGUAGUGGAUAUGACAUCACAGUGAAACGACGUAUAAAAAUAGUGAAAUGGCGUAUGAAAAUAAUGCUACAGCGCCAUUGAAUAGAAUAAUUUACUGCUGUCAAAUCGACUUCAAACCGUUUCGUAGGAAAAUCUAUGUGACAAAAAUGAACAGUAAACAUCACAUUCUCUCUUUUAAGAUAAGAAGGAAAUUAACAAAUAAAUUGGGUAAGAGAAACUGUGUGUUAAUGGGCUCCUAAAUUUUAUUAUUUUUUUCUUUUUUCAAUUAUACAUUUUCUAAAAAAUUACGUAUUGUGAAAUUUAUUCUUAGAAAAAUAUACAUAAAAUAAAUCAUUUUAAAAAGUUGAAGUUAAUGAAAAAAAUAUACAGAGGUGUUAAAUAGAAUCUCGUAAUCUUUGACCUACUCUAGAAUUACAAUAAUAUUUAUUGGAUUAUGUGUAUCUAUUGAUUAUCGAAGUUUAUCACUUUUUAUGCGGUAUUUUUGCUAUGUCUAAUAUACCUUCUAUAGAUGAAUUAAUUAACAAAUUCAGCAAGAGAAAUUGUGUGUUAAUGGACUCCUAAUAUUUCUUCUUCUUUAAAAAAAAUUAUACAUUCUAUAAAAAAUUACGUUUUAUGUAAUUUAUUCUAAAAUAUUUAGUGAAUUACAUGUAUCUAUUGACCAAUGGCAUAGAUCAUUUUUCGAGGACCGUGCGACACUCAUGUUAUGUUUAAAUUACCUUUUAUAGAUGAAUUAACAAACAAACUUAGCAAAGAGAAAUUGUGCAUUUUUUUGUAUAGACUUGAGAAUCAGGCAGGACUAUUCUCUUACGUACUAUUUGUUUCAGGAGGAUAUCUAACCCUCUUACUCCUCACGACUUUUUGUCGAGUUUUCCAGGACUCAAACCCUUGACUUUUCCCUUAAGAAUGACUUAAGUUGAAUCCUAGUAUCAAUUGAGUCGAUAAGAUGGGCAUUGUCUUUUAAAUGGACAGUAUGUAUGAUAUAACGGUUUAAGCACAGAGAUCAGAUCUUUACAUAUACAUAUGAAAUUUAUUCUAAAAAAAUUUAUAUCAAACAAACCAAUUGUAAAUAGUAGAAUAAAAAAAAAAUAUAUAUAUAUAUAUAUAUAUAUACAGAUGUUUUAAAUAGAAUCUCAUAAUUUUUUACCCACUCCAAAAUUAUGAAAAUAUUUAGUGGAUACAUGCACCUAUUGAUCAAUGGUGCAGGUCACUUUUUAAGAGAGUACCGUGUGGUAUCUAUGUUAUGUGUAAUUUAUUUUCUAUAGAUGAAUUAAUAAACAACCUUCAUAAUAGAAAUUGUGUGUUAAUUAAGAUAAUAUAAUAAGAAAUUGUGUUAGUUUAUACAUUGGUUCUUUAUAAAAUUAAAGAAAUAUUAUGCGGAGUUCAUUUUUCCUAAAUUGAAGUAUUGUUUCAUUAUAAAGGUUCUUUCUCAUUUUCAGUUGUACAAUUUCUUUAGGAUUAUCUUCACAAAAAGGUCGUAAAAAGAGUGGACCUAACCCCAAGGAUUCUACUUUAUGAGGUUUGACAAAAUGUCCCUACCAUAUUUCAAUUUUUAAUAUGAUGUAUAAAGACUGUCAUCACAAAAAGUAUUACACCUUUGAUCUUAAAAUUGAAGUCUAUAAGUAGUGGUCUACAUAGACACGCUUCUGAUCGAGUUCAUAUUUUUUAUCCAAAAACCAUACAACUGCAUCGAGUUUUUGCCACUCUCGGAUCAGUGAAUCCAUCAGGAAGGAUUAAGCCCAAAUCCUACUAACCAUUCCGAUCAAAACAAAACAUAGAACAAAUUCACCAAAAAAUAAAACUUAAAAUGCCAGAGUACAAGUUAAGGACACAACGACACAAGAUAUGGUUACAAUGCUGCUGCCGUUUGAACUCAAGACGGAGAUGAUAGAGCCUCAUCUUUAAUGCACGAAGGUUUUUUUGCGUUAUAGAAAAAAUGUGCAAUCAUCUGCUGUUCUUGUUUCUGCAUAUUGUGAAGAACUUGUUAGUAAUGGAGCUAACAAAUGAGAGUAUAUAUUAUAUAACAAUUGAAGAGUUUAGUCUUCGCCUUUCUCCCUAUACAAUAUCCUGUUUCCACGUAAGAACAAAAUUUGUGGGCAUUCUUUAACUUUAAGAGCUUAGGCCAAAUCUCUCUCGAUAUUUAUAUCUAUCUUGACAGUCUAGUAAUGGAAAUUAAAGACAGGAUUAUACUAAACAGAUUACGGAUAGGAAUAGAGAAAAAAAGGUGUCAAAAGAGGAUAUUCAUAUACCCGAGGAGGUAGUCGAUCCUUGGCUUCCCAGUACACCUUUGUUGCUUUUUCUAGUUCUUUCAAAGCUUUCCAGUUAUGGCUUGCCCUGAAAUCAGUGAUGGAUUUGAAUUACAUCUAGGCAAGUAUAGAUUAAAUGCACUACAUCAUGUUUUCCAGAUUCCUUCUUUUCAAGAACUGUUACAGACCUGUUGUAUCUUUCGAAAACGAGAACAAUUAG
This 96964-nucleotide long non-coding RNA is filed under the name Olea europaea (common olive). Its description in RNAcentral is "long non-coding RNA (OEUR_LNC002408)". The record is from RNAcentral. Lineage: Eukaryota; Viridiplantae; Streptophyta; Magnoliopsida; Lamiales; Oleaceae.